Molecule: long non-coding RNA, 92082 nt
Filed under: Triticum aestivum (bread wheat)
Lineage: Eukaryota; Viridiplantae; Streptophyta; Magnoliopsida; Poales; Poaceae
Description: long non-coding RNA (TAES_LNC019905)
Source: RNAcentral
UGACUUCUAAUUUUUAGGUCCGUAUGAUUUGAAAUGUGUGCACACAAACCCCGAGAAAGCAUUCCUGGAAAUCUCGGCCCAAAAAAGGACGUUUAGUAAUUCUAAAAGGGACUACAGGAUGAAAAACAAUAGUUUUGGCAGUUAAAGUUUGAGAUUCGAUAAUGCCGUAGAUCCGUUUGGUCAUCAGGUGUAACGAGCCACACCCAUGUCUGGUUAGAGUAGUGUGCUAGGCUCAGACUAGAUAAGAAACGGGGAACAAACUGAUGAAAGAAUGAUCAUACCGAGCGAAUUCACUCAGAACUAACAAGAAUGAUAACAUGCUCCGACUGGAGCGGUUUAGGAACUGCUGGAAGGCUCUAGGGGAAUAAAGAUGGAAUGACUUCUAAUUUUUAGGUCCGUAUGAUUUGAAAUACUUGCACACAAACCACGCGAAAGCGUUCCUGGAAAUCUCAGCCCAAAAAAGGACGUUUAGUAAUUCUAAAAGGGACUACAGGAUGAAAAACAAUAGUUUUGGCAGUUAAAGUUUGAGAUUCGACAGUGCCGUAGAUCCGUUUGGUCAUCAGGUAUUACGAGCCACACCCAUGUCUAGCUAGAAUAGUGUGCUAGGCUCAGGCUAGAGAAGAAACGGGGAACAAACUGAUGAAAGAAUGAUCAAACCGAGGGAAUUCACUCAGAACUAACAAUAAUGAUAACGUGCUCCGACUGGUGCGGUUUAGGAACUGCUGGAAGGCUCUAGGGGAAUAAAGAUGGAAUGACUUCUAAUUUUUAGGUCCGUAUGAUUUGAAAUACUUGCACACAAACCGCGCGAAAGCGUUCCUGGAAAUCUCAGCCCAAAAAAGGACGUUUAGUAAUUUUAAAAGGGACUAUAGGAUGAAAAACAAUAGUUUUGGCAAUUAAAGUUUGAGAUUCGACGGUGUCGUAGAUCCGUUUGGUCAUCAGGUGUUACGAGCCACACCCAUGUCUAGCUAGAAUAGUAUGUCAGGCUCAGGUUAGAGUAGAAACGGGGAACAAACUGAUGAAAGAAUGAUCAUACCAAGGGAAUUCACUCAGAACUAUCAAGAAUGAUAACGUGCUCCGACUGGAGUGAUUUAGGAACUGCUGGAAGGCUCUAGGGGAAUAAAGAUGGAAUGACUUCUAAUUUUUACGUCCGUAUGAUUUGAAAUACUUGCACACAAAUCACGCAAAAGCGUUCCUGGAAAUCUCAGCCUAAAAAAGGACGUUUAGUAAUUCUAAAAGGGACUACAGGAUGAAAAACAAUAGUUUGGGCAGUUAAAAUUUGAGAUUCGACGGUGCCGUAGAUCCGUUUGGUCAUCAGGUGUUACGAGCGACACCCUUGUCUAGCUAGAAUAGUGUGUUAGGCUCAGACUAGAGAAGAAACGGGGAACAAAGUGAUGAAAGAAUGAUCAUACCGAGGGAAUUCACUCAGAACUAACAAGAAUGAUAACGUGCUCCGACUGGAGCGGUUUAGUAACUGCUGGAAGGCUCUAGGGGAAUGAAGAUGGAAUGACUUCUAAUUUUUAGGUCCGUAUGAUUUGAAAUACAUGCACACAAACCCUGAGAAAGCGUUCCUGGAAAUCUCGGUCGAAAAAAGGAUGUUUAAUAAUUCUAAAAGGGACUACCGGAUGAAAAACAAUAGUUUUGGCAGUUAAAGUUUGUGAUUCGAUGGUGCCGUAGAUCUGUUUGGUCAUCAGGUGUUACGAGCCACACCCAUGUCUAUCUAGAAUAGUGUGUUAGGCUCAGGCUAGAGCAGAAACGGGGAACAGACUUAUGAAAGAAUGAUCAUACCGAGGGAAUUCACUCAGAACUAACAAGAAUGAUAACGUGCUCCGACUGGCGCGGUUUAGGAACUGCUGGAAGGCUCUAGGGGAAUAAAGAUGGAAAGACUUCUAAUUUUUAGGUCCGUAUGAUUUGAAAUACUUGCACACAAACCGCACGAAAGCGUUCCUGGAAAUCUCAGCCUAAAAAGGAUGUUUAGUAAUUCUAAAAGGGACUACAAGAUGAAAAAUAAUAGUUUGGGCAGUUAAAAUUUGAGAUUCGACGAUGCCGUAGAUCCGUUUGGUCAUCAGGUGUUAUGAGCCACACCCAUGUCUAGCUAGAAUAGUGUGUUAGGCUCAGGCUAGAGAAGAAACGGGGAACAAACUGAUGAAAGAAUGAUCAUACCGAGGGAAUUCACUCAGAACUAACAAGAAUGAUAACGUGCUCCGACUGGAGCAGUUUAGAAACUGCUGGAAGGCUCUAAUGGAAUAAAGAUGGAAUGCCUUCAAAUUUCUAGGUCCGUAUGAUUUGAAAUACUUGCACACAAACCGCUCGAAAGCGUUCCUGGAAAUCUCAGCCCAAAAAAGGACGUUUAGUAAUUCUAAAAGGGACUACAGGAUGAAAAACAAUAGUUUUGGCAGUUAAAGUUUGAGAUUCGAUGGUGCCGUAGAUCCGUUUGGUCAUCAGGUGUAACGAGCCACACACAUGUCUAGCUAGAGUAGUGUGCUAGGCUCAGACUAGAGAAGAAACGGGGAACAAAGUGAUGAAAGAAUGAUCAUACCGAGGGAAUUCACUCAGAACUUACAAGAAUGAUAACGUGCUCCGACUGGAGCGCUUUAGUAACUGCUGGAAGGCUCUAGGCGAAUAAAGAUGGAAUGACUUCUAAUUUUUAGGUCCGUAUGAUUUGAAAUACUUGCACACAAACCACGCAAAACCGUUCCUAGAAAUCUCGGUCGAAAAAAGGACGUUUAGUAAUUCUAAAAGGGACUACAGGAUGAAAAACAAUAGUUUUGGCAGUUAAAGUUUGAGAUUCGAUGGUGCCGUAGAUCCGUUUGGUCAUCAGGUGUUACGAGCCACACCCAUGUCUAGCUAGAGUAGUGUGCUAGGUUCAGACUAGAGAAGAAACGGGGAACAAAGUGAUUAAAGAAUGAUCAUACCGAGGGAAUUCACUCAGAACUAACAAGAAUGAUAACGUGCUCCGACUGGAGCGGUUUAGGAACUGCUGGAAGGCUCUAGGGGAAUAAAGAUGGAAUGACUUCUAAUUUUUACGUCCGUAUGAUUUGAAAUACAUGCACACAAACCACGCAAAAGCGUUCCUGGAAAUCUCAGCCUAAAAAAGGACGUUUAGUAAUUCUAAAAGGGACUACAGGAUGAAAAAUAAUAGUUUGGGCAGUUAAAAUUUGAGAUUCGACGCUGCCGUAGAUCCGUUUGGUCAUCAGGUCUUACGAGCCACACCCAUGUCUAGCUAGAAUAGUGUGUUAGGCUCAGGCUAGAGAAGAAACGGGGAACAAACUGAUGAAAGAAUGAUCAUACCGAGGGAAUUCACUCAGAACUAACAAGAAUGAUAACGUGCUCCGACUGGAGCAGUUUAGAAACUCCUGGAAGGCUCUAGGGGAAUAAAGAUGGAAUGACUUCAAAGUUUUAGGUCCGUAUGAUUUGAAAUACUUGCACACAAACCGCGUGAAAGCGUUCCUGGAAAUCUCAACCCAAAAAAGGGCGUUUAGUAAUUCUAAAAGGGACUACAGGAUGUAAAACAAUAGUUUUGGCAGUUAAAGUUUGAGAUUCGAUGGUGCCGUAGAUCCGUUUGGUCAUCAGGUGUAACGAGCCACACCCAUGUCUAGCUAGAGUAGUGUGCUAGGCUCAGACUAGAGAAGAAACGGGGAACAAAGUGAUGAAAGAAUGAUCAUACCGAGGGAAUUCACUCAUAACUAACAAGAAUGAUAACGUGCUCUGACUUGAGCGGUUUAGGAACUGCUGGAAGGCUAUAGGGGAAUAAAGAUGGAAUGACUUCAAAUUUUUAGGUCCGUAUGAUCUGAAAUACUUGCACACAAACCGCGAGAAAGCGUUCCUGGAAAUCUCAACCCAAAAAAGGACGUUUAGUAAUUCUAAAAGGGACUACAGGAUGAAAAACAAUAGUUCUGGCAGUUAUUGUUUGAGAUUCGAUAAUCUCGUAGAUCCGUUUGGUCAUCAGGUGUAACGAGCCACACCCAUGUCUAGCUAGAGUAGUGUGCUAGGCUCAGACUAGAGAAGAAACGGGGAACAAACUGAUGAAAGAAUGAUCAUACCGAGGGAAUUCACUUAGAACUAACAAGAAUGAUAACGUGCUCCGACUGGAGCGGUUUAGGAACUGCUGGAAGGCUCUAGGGGAAUAAAGAAGGAACGACUUCUAAUUUUUAGGUCCGUAUGAUUUGAAAUAUGUGCACACAAACCACGAGAAAGCGUUCCUAGAAAUCUCGGCCCAAAAGAGGACGUUUAGUAUUCUAAAAGGGACUACAGAAUGAAAAACAAUAGUUUUGGCAGUUAAAGUUUGAGAUUUGACGGUGCCGUAGAUCUGUUUGGUCAUCAGGGGUUACGAGCCACACCCAUGUCUAGCUAGAAUAGUGUGUUAGGCUCAGGCUAGAAAAGAAACGGGGAACAAAGUGAUGAAAGAAUGAUCAUACCGAGGGAAUUCACUCAGAACUAACAAGAAUGAUAACAUGCUCCGACUGGAGCGGUUUAGGAACUGCUGGAAGGCUCUAGGGGAAUAAAGAUGGAAUGACUUCUAAUUUUUAGGUCCGUAUGAUUUGAAAUACUUGCACACAAACCGCGCGAAAGCGUUCCUGGAAAUCUCAGCCCAAAAAAGGACGUUUAGUAAUUCUAAAAGGGACUACAGGAUGAAAAACAAUAGUUUUGGCAGUUAAAGUAUGAGAUUCAACGGUGCCGUAGAUCCGUUUGGUCAUUAGGUGUUACGAGCCACACCCAUGUCUAGCUAGAAUAGUGUGCUAGGCUCAGGCUAGAGAAGAAACGGGGAACAAACUGAUGAAAGAAUGAUCAAACCGAGGGAAUUCACUCAGAACUAACAAUAAUGAUAACGUGCUCCGACUGGAGCGGUUUAGGAACUGCUGGAAGUCUCUAGGGGAAUAAAGAUGGAAUGACUUCUAAUUUUUACGUUCGUAUGAUUUGAAAAACUUGCCCAUAAACCGCGCGAAAGUGUUCCUGGAAAUCUCAGCCCAAAAAAGGACGUUUAGUAAUUUUAAAAGGGACUACACGAUGAAAAACAAUAGUUUUGGCAGGUAAAGUUUGAGAUUCGACAGUGCCGUAGAUCCGUUUGGUCAUCAGGUGUUACGAGCCACACCCAUGUCUAGCUAGAAUAGUAUGUUACGCUCAGGUUAGAGAAGAAACGGGGAACAAACUGAUGAAAGAUGAUCAUACCAAGGGAAUUCACUCAGAACUAACAAGAAUGAUAACGUGCUCCGACUGGAGCGGUUUAGGAACUGCUGGAAGGCUCUAGGGGAAUAAAGAUGGAAUGACUUCUAAUUUUUACGUCUGUAUGAUUUGAAAUACUUGCACACAAACAACGCAAAAGCAUUCCUGGAAAUCUCAUCCUAAAAAAGGACGUUUAGUAAUUCUAAAAGGGACUACAGGAUGAAAAAUAAUAGUUUGGGAAGUUAAAAUUUGAGAUUCGAUAGUGCCGUAGAUCCGUUUGGUCAUCAGGUGUUAGGAGCCACACCCAUGUCUAGCUAGAAUAGUGUGUUAGGCUCAGGCUAGAGAAGAAACAGGGAACAAACUGAUGAAAGAAUGAUCAUACCGAGGGAAUUCACUCAGAACUAGCAAGAAUGAUAACGUGCUCCGACUGGAGCAGUUUUGAAACUGCUGGAAGGCUCUAGGGGAAUAAUGAUGGAAUGACUUCUAAGUUUUUGGUCCGUAUGAUUUGAAAUACGUGCACACAAACCCAGAGAAAGUGUUCUUGGAAAUCUCGGCCGAAAAAAGGAUGUUUAAUAAUUCUAAAAGGGACUACAGGAUGAAAAACAAUAGUUUUGGCAGUUAAAGUUUGUGAUUCGAUGGUGCUGUAGAUCUGUUUGGUCAUCAGGUGUUAUGAGCCACACCCAUGUCUAGCUAGAACAGUGUGUUAGGCUCAGGCUAGAGCAGAAACGGGGAACAAACUUAUGAAAGAAUGAUCAUACCGAGGGAAUUCACUCAGAACUAACAAGAAUGAUAACGUGCUCCGACUGGAGAGGUUUAGGAACUGCUGGAAGGCUCUAGGGGAAUAAAGAUGGAAUGACUUCAAAUUUUUAGGUCUGUAUGAUCUGAAAUACUUGCACACAAACCGCGAGAAAGCGUUCCUGGAAAUCUCAGCCCAAAAAAGGACGUUUAGUGAUUCUAAAAGGGACUACGGGAUAAAAAACAAUAGUUUUGGCAGUUAAAGUUUGAGAUUCGAUAAUGCCGUAGAUCCGUUUGGUCAUCAGGUGUAACGAGCCACACCCAUGUCUAGCUAGAGUAGUGUGCUAGGCUCAUACUAGAGAAGAAAUGGGGAACAAACUGAUGAAAGAAUGAUCAUACCGAGGGAGUUCACUCAAAACUAACAUGAAUGAUAACGUGCUCCGACUGGAGCGGUUUAGGAACUGCUGGAAGGCUCUAGGGGAAUAAAGAUGGAAUGACUUCUAAUUUUUAGGUCCGUAUGAUUUGAAAUACAUGCACACAAACCCCAAGAAAGCGUUCCUGGAAAUCUCGCCCCGAAAAACGACGUUUAGUAAUUCUAAAAGGGACUAUAGGAUGAAAAACAAUAGUUUUGGCAGUUAAAGUUUGAGAUUUGACGGUGCCGUAGAUCUGUUUGGUCAUCAGGUGUUACGAGCCACACCCAUUUCUAGCUAGAAUAGUGUGUUAGGCUCAGGCUAGAAAAGAAACGGGGAACAAAGUGAUGAAAGAAUGAUCAUACCGAGGGAAUUCACUCAGAACUAACAAGAAUGAUAACAUGGUCCGACUGGAGCGGUUUAGGAACUGCUGGAAGGCUCUAGGGGAAUAAAGAUGGAAUGACUUCUAACUUUUAGGUCCGUAUGAUUUGAAUUACUUGCACACAAACCGCGCGAAAGCGUUCCUGGAAAUCUCAGCCCAAAAAAGGACGUUUAGUAAUUCUAAAAGGGACUACAGGAUGAAAAACAAUAGUUUUGGCAGUUAAAGUUUGAGAUUCGACGGUGCCGUAGAUCCGUUUGGUCAGCAGGUGUUACGAGCCACACCCAUGUCUAGCUAGAGUAGUGUGCUAGGUUCAGACUAGAGAAGAAAUGUUGGGGAACGUAGCAGAAAUUCAAAAUUUUCCUACGUGUCACCAAGAUCUAUCUAUGGAGAGACUAGCAACGAGGGAAGGAGAGUGCAUCUACAUACCCUUGUAGAUCGCUAAGCGGAAGCGUUCAAGUGAACGGGGUUGAUGGAGUCGUACUCGUCGUGAUUCAGCUCACCGAUGAUCCUAGUGCCGAACGGACGGCACCUCCGCGUUCAACACACGUACAGCUCGACGAUGUCUCCCACGCCUUGAUCCAGCAAGGAGAGAGGGAGAGGUUGAGGAAGACUCCAUCCAGCAGAAGCACAACGGCGUGGUGGUGAUGGAGGAGCAUGGCAAUCCUGCAGGGCUUCGCCAAGCACCUAUGGGAGAGGAGGAGGUGUCACGGGAGGGAGGGAGGCGCCAAGGGCUCAGGUAUAGAUGCCCUCCCUCCCCUCCACUAUAUAUAGGGGCAAGGGAGAGGGGGGAGGCGCAGCCUUGCCCCUUCCUCCAAGGAAGGGGUGCGGCUAAGAGGGGGGGAGGAGUCCAUCCUCCCCAAGGCACCUCGGAGGUGCCUUCCCCCUUUAGGACUCUCCCCUUUUUCCUAUAUCUUGGCGCAUGGGCCUCUAGGGGCUGGUUCCCUUGGCCCAUGUAGGCCCAGGCGCACCCCCUACAGCCCAUGUGGCCCCCCGGGGCAGGUGGCCCCACCUGGUGGGCCCCCGGGACCCUUCCGGUGGUCCCGGUACAAUACCGAUGACCCCGAAACUUGUCCCGAUGGCCGAAACAGGACUUCCUAUAUAUAAAUCUUUACCUCCGGACAAUUCCGGAACUCCUCGUGACGUCCGGGAUCUCAUCCGGGACUCCGAACAACAUUCGGUAACCACAUACAAACUUCCUUUAUAACCCUAGCGUCAUCGAACCUUAAGUGUGUAGACCCUACGGGUUCGGGAGACAUGUAGUCAUGACCGAGAUGUUCUCCGGUCAAUAACCAACAGCGGGAUCUGGAUACCCAUGUUGGCUCCCACAUGUUCCACGAUGAUCUCAUCGGAUGAACCACGAUGUCAAGGACUCAAUCAAUCCCGUAUACAAUUCCCUUUGUCUAGCGGUAUGGUACUUGCCCGAGAUUCGAUCGUCGGUAUACCGAUACCUUGUUCAAUCUCGUUACCGGCAAGUCUCUUUACUCAUUUCGUAACACAUCAUCCCGUGAUCAACCCCUUGGUCACAUUGUGCACAUUAUGAUGAUGUCCUACCGAGUGGGCCCAGAGAUACCUCUCCGUUUACACGGAGUGACAAAAUCCCAAUCUCGAUUCGUGCCAACCCAACAGACACUUUCAGAGAUACCCGUAGUGUACCUUUACAGCCACCCAGUUACGUUGUGACGUUUGGCACACCCAAAGCACUCCUACAGUAUCCGGGAGUUGCACAAUCUCAUGGUCUAAGGAAAUGAUACUUGACAUUAGAAAAGCUUUAGCAUACGAACUACAUGAUCUUGUGCUAGGCUUAGGAUUGGGUCUUGUCCAUCACAUCAUUCUCCUAAUGAUGUGAUCCCGUUAUCAACGACAUCCAAUGUCCAUGGUCAGGAAACCGUAACCAUCUAUUGAUUAACGAGCUAGUCAACUAGAGGCUUACUAGGGACAUGGUGUUGUCUAUGUAUCCACACAUGUAUCUAAGUUUCCUAUCAAUACAAUUCUAGCAUGGAUAAUAAACGAUUAUCAUGAACAAGGAAAUAUAAUAAUAAUCAAUUUAUUAUUGCCUCUAGGGCAUAUUUCCAACAGUCUCCCACUUGCACUAGAGUCAAUAAUCUAGUUCACAUCGAUAUGUGAUUAACACUCAAGGUCACAUUCCCAUGUGACUAACACCCAAGAGUUUACUAGAGUCAAUAAUCUAGUUCACAUUUACCAUGUGAUUAACACUUGAUGAGUUCUGGGUUUGAUCAUGUUAUGCUUGUGAGAGAGGUUAUAGUCAACGGGUCUGAACCUUUCAGAUCCGUGUGUGCUUUACAAAUCUCUAUGUCAUCUCCUAGAUGCAGCUACCACGUUCUAUUUGGAGCUAUUCCAAAUAACUGUUCUACUUGGAGCUAUUCUAAAUUGUUGCUCCAUUAUACGUAUCCGGUAUCUCUACUCAGAGCUAUCCGGAUAGGUGUUAAGCUUGCAUCGACGUAACCCUUUACGACGAACUCUUUUACCACCUCCAUAAUUGAGAAAAUUCCUUAGUCCACUAGUUACUAAGGAUAACUUUGACCGCUGUCCUGUGAUCCAUUCUUGGAUCACUCUUGUACCCCUUGACUGACUCAUGGUAAAGCACACUUCAGGUGCGGUACACAGCAUAGCAUACUGUAGAGCCUAUGUCUUAAGCAUAGGGGACGACCUUCGUUCCUUUCUCUCUAUUCUGCCAUGGUCGAGCUUUAAGUCUUAACUUCAUACCUUACAACUCAGGCAAGAACUCCUUCUUUGACUGAUCCAUCUUGAACACCUUCAAGAUCACGUCAAGGCAUGUGCUCACGUCAAGAUCACGUCGGUAUACCGAUACCUUGUUCAAUCUCGUUACCGGCAAGUCUCUUUACUCGUUCCGUAACACAUCAUCCCGUGAUCAACCCCUUGGUCACAUUGUGCACAUUAUGAUGAUGUCCUACCGAGUGGGCCCAGAGAUACCUCUCCGUUUACACGGAGUGACAAAAUCCCAAUCUCGAUUCGUGCCAACCCAACAGACACUUUCAGAGAUACCCGUAGUGUACCUUUAUAGCCACCCAGUUACGUUGUGACGUUUGGCACACCCAAAGCACUCCUACGGUAUCCGGGAGUUGCACAAUCUCAUGGUCUAAGGAAAUGAUACUUGACAUUAGAAAAGCUUUAGCAUACGAACUACAUGAUCUUGUGCUAGGCUUAGGAUUGGGUCUUGUCCAUCACAUCAUUCUCCUAAUGAUGUGAUCCCGUUAUCAACGACAUCCAAUGUCCAUGGUCAGGAAACCGUAACCAUCUAUUGAUUAACGAGCCAGUCAACUAGAGGCUUACUAGGGACAUGGUGUUGUCUAUGUAUCCACACAUGUAUCUGAGUUUCCUAUCAAUACAAUUCUAGCAUGGAUAAUAAACGAUUAUCAUGAACAAGGAAAUAUAAUAAUAAUCAAUUUAUUAUUGCCUCUAGGGCAUAUUUCCAACAGUCUCCCACUUGCACUAGAGUCAAUAAUCUAGUUCACAUCACCAUGUGAUUAACACUGACAGGUCACAUCACCAUGUGACCAACAUCCAAAGAGUCUUGGGUUUGAUCAUGUUGCUUGUGAGAGAGGUUAUAGUCAACGGGUCUGAACCUUUCAGAUCCGUGUGUGCUUUACAAAUCUCUAUGUCAUCUCCUAGAUGCAGCUACCACGUUCUAUUUGGAGCUAUUCCAAAUAACUGUUCUACUUGGAGCUAUUCUAAAUUGUUGCUCCAUUAUACGUAUCCGGUAUCUCUACUCAGAGCUAUCCGGAUAGGUGUUAAGCUUGCAUCGACGUAACCCUUUACGACGAACUCUUUUACCACCUCCAUAAUUGAGAAAAUUCCUUAGUCCACUAGUUACUAAGGAUAACUUUGACCGCUGUCCUGCGAUCCAUUCUUGGAUCACCCUUGUACCCCUUGACUGACUCAUGGUAAAGCACACUUCAGGUGCGGUACACAGCAUAGCAUACUGUAGAGCCUAUGUCUUAAGCAUAGGGGAUGACCUUCGUUCCUUUCUCUCUAUUCUGCCAUGGUCGAGCUUUAAGUCUUAACUUCAUACCUUACAACUCAGGCAAGAACUCCUUCUUUGACUGGUCCAUCUUGAACACCUUCAAGAUCAUGUCAAGGUAUGUGCUCAUUUGAAAGUACUAUUAAGCGUUUUGAUCUAUCCUUAUAGAUCUUGAUGCUCAAUGUUCAAGUAGCUUAAUCCAGGUUUUCCAUUGAAAACACUUUCCAAAUAACCCUAUAUGCUUUCCAGAAAUUCUACGUCAUUUCUGAUCAUUAAUAUGUCAACAACAUAUAAUCAUCAGAAAUUCUAUAGUGCUCCCACUCACUUCUUUGGAAAUACAAGUUUCUCAUAAACUUUGUAUACACCCAAAAUCUUUGAUCAUCAUCAAAGCAUACAUUCCAACUCCGAGAUGCUCACUCCAGUCCUCAGAAGGAUUGCUGGAGCUUUGCAUACUUAUUAGCAUAUUUCAGGAUAGACAAAACCUUCCAGUUGUAUCACAUACAACCUUUCCUCAAGAAUCGUCGACGAAACAAUGUUUUGACAUCCUAUCUGCAAGAUUUCAUAAAUAAUGCAGUAAUUGUUAAUAUAAUUCCAACAGACUCUUAGCAUCGCUACGAGUGAGAAAGUCUCAUUGUAGUCAACUCCUUGAACUUGUCAAAAAACAUCUUAACGACAAGUCGAGCUUUCUCAAUGGUGACACUUACCAUCAUUGUCUGUCUUCCUUUCAAAAUCCAUAUGUACCUAACAGCCUUACGACCAUCAAGUAGUUCUUCCAAAGUCUACACUUUGUUUUCAUACAUGGAUCCUCUCUCGGGUUUUAUGGCCAUGAGCCAUUUAUCGGAAUCCGGGCCCACCAUUGCUUCUCCAUAGCUCGUAGGUUCAUUGUUGUCUAGCAACAUGACUUCCAAGACAGGAUUACUGUACCACUCUGAAGUAGUACGUAUCCUUGUCACCCUACGAGGUUUGGGAGUGACUUGAUCUGAAGUUUCAUGAUCACUAUCAUAAGCUUCUACUUCAAUUGGUGUAGGUGCCACAGGAACAACUUCCUGUGCCCUGCUACACACUGGUUGAAGUGAUGGUUCAAUAACCUCAUCAAGUCUCCACCAUCCUCCCACUCAAUUCUUUCGAGAGAAACCUUUCCUCGAGAAAGGACCCAAUUCUAGAAACAAUUCAUAUUGCUUUCGGAUCUGAAUUAGGAAGUAUACCCAACUGUUUUGGGUGUCCUAUGAAGAUGUACUUUAUCCGCUUUGGUUUCGAGCUUAAUCCUGAAACUUUUUCACAUAAGUGUCGCAGCCCCAAACCUUUAAGAAACGACAACUUAGGUUUCUCUAAACCAUAAUUCAUACGGUGUCAUCUCAUCGGAAUUACGUGGUGCCCUAUUUAAAGUGAAUGUGGUUGUCUUUAAUGCCUAACCCAUAAACUAUCGUGGCAGUUCGAUAAGAGACAUCAUGGUAUGCAUCAUAUCCAAUAGGGUGCAACUAUGAUGUUCGGACACACCAUCACACUAUGGUGUUCCAGGCGGUAUUAAUUGUGAAACAAUUUCCACAAUGUCUUAAUUGUGUGCCAAAACUCGUAACUCAGAUACUCAUCUCUAUGAUCAUAUCAUAGACAUUUUAUCCUCUUGUCACAAUGAUCUUCUACUUCACUCUGAAAUUACUUGAACCAUUCAACAAUUCAGACUUGUGUUUCAUCAAGUAAAUAUUCUCAACAUCUACUCGAAUCAUCUGUGAAGUAAGAACAUAACGAUAUUCACUGCAUGCCUCAGCACUCAUUGGACUGCACACAUCAAAAUGUGUUACUUCCAACAAGUUGCUAUCUUGUUCCAUCUUACUGAAAACGAGGCUUUUCAGUCAUCUUGCCCAUGUGGUAUGAUUUGCAUGUCCCAAGUGAUUCAAAAAUCAAGUGAGUCAAAACGGUCCAUUUGCAUGGAGUUUCUUCAUGCAUAUACACCAAUAGACAUGGUUCGCAUGUCUCAAACUUUUCAAAAACGAGUGAGCCCAAAGAUCCAUCAAUAUGGAGCUUCUUCAUGCGUUUUAUACCGAUAUGACUUACGUGGUAGUGCCACAAGUAGGUGGUACUAUCAUUACUAUCUUUUGGCAUGAACAUGUGUAUCACUACGAUCGAGAUUUAAUAAACCAUUCAUUUUAGGUGUAAGACCAUUGAAGGUAUUAUUCAAAUAAACAGAGUAACCAUUAUUCUCCUUAAAUGAAUAACCGUAUUGCGAUAGACGUAAUCCAAUCAUGUCUAUGCUCAACGCAAACACCAAAUAACAAUUAUUUAGGUUUAACACCAAUCUCUUUGGUAGAGGGAGCGUGCGAUGCUUGAUCAUAUCAAGCAUGGAAAAACUUACAACACAUAUCGUCAGCUCACCUUUAGCUAGUCUCUGUUUAUUCCGUAGCCUUUUGUUUCGAGUUACUAACACUUAGCAACCGAACUGGUAUCUAAUACCCUGGUGCUACUAGGAGUACUAGCAAAGUACACAUUAACACAAUGUAUAUCCAAUAUACUUCUAUCGACCUUGCCAGCCUUCUUAUCUACCAAGUAUCUAGGGUAAUUCUGCUCUAGUAGUUGUUCCCCUUAUUACAGAAGCACUUAGUCUCGGGUUUGGGUUUUACCUUGGGUUUCUUCACUAGAGCAGCAGCUGAUUUGCCGUUUCAUGAAGUAUCCCUUCUUGCCCUUGCCCUUCUUGAAACUAGUGGUUCCACCAACCAUCAACAAUUGAUGCUCCUUCUUGAUUUCUACUUUCGCGGUGUCAAACAUCGCGAAUACCUCAAGGAUCAUCAUAUCUAUCCCUGAUAUGUUAUAGUUCAUCAUGAAGCUCUAACAGCUUGGUGGCAAUGACUUUGGAGAACCAUCACUAUCUCAUCUGGAAGAUCAACUCCCACUCGAUUCAAGCGAUUGUUGUACUCAGACAAUCUGAGCACAAGCUCAACGAUUGAGCUUUUCUCCCUUAGUUUGCAGGUUAAGAAAGUCAUCGGAGGUCUUAUACCUCUUGACAUGGGCACGAGCCUGAAAUCCCAAUUUCAGCCCUCAAAACAUCUCAUAUGUUUCGCGAUGUUUCAAAAACGUCUUUGGUGCCUCAACUCUAAACCGUUUAACUGAACUAUCACGUAGUUAUCAAAACGUGUAUGUCAGAUGUUCGCAACAACCACAGACAACGUUCGAGGUUCAGCACACUGAGCGGUGCAUUAAGGACAUAAGCCUUCUAUGAAGCAAUGAGGACAAUCCUCAGUUUACGGACCUAGUCCGCAUAAUUGCUACUAUCAACUUUCAACUAAUUUUUCUCUAGGAACAUAUCUAAACAGUAGAACUAUAGCGUGAGCUACGACAUAAUUUGCAAAAACCUUUUGACUAUGUUCAGGAUAAUUAAGUUCAUCUUAUGAACUCCCACUCAGAUAGACAUCCCUCUAGUCAUCUAAGUGAUUACAUGAUCCGAGUCAAACUAGGCCGUGUCCGAUCAUCACGUGAGACGGACUAGUCAUCAUCGGUGAACAUCUUCAUGUUGAUCGUAUCUUCUAUACGACUCAUGUUCGACCUUUCGGUCUUCGUGUUCCGAGGCCAUGUAUGUACAUGCUAGGCUCGUCAAGUUAACCCUAAGUGUUUCGCGUGUGUAAAUCUGUCUUACACCCGUUGUAUGUGAACGUUAGAAUCUAACACCCGAUCAUCACGUGGUGCUUCGAAACACGAACUGUCGCAACGGUGCACAGUUAGGGGAGAACACUUCUUGAAAUUGUUGUAAGGGAUCAUCUUAUUUACUACCGUCGUUCUAAGCAAAUAAGAUGUAUAAACAUGAUAAACAUCACAUGCAAUCAAAUAGUGACAUGAUAUGGCCAUCAUCACUUUGCUCCUUUUGAUCUCCAUCUUCGGGGCUCCAUGAUCAUCAUCGUCACCGGCAUGACACCAUGAUCUCCAUCAUCAUGAUCUCCAUCAUCGUGUCUUCAUGAAGUUGCCUCGCCAACUAUUACUUCUACUACUAUGGCUAACGGUUAGCAAUAAAGUAAAGUAAUUACAUGACGUUUAAGUUGACACGCAGGUCACAAAUGAAUAAAGACAACUCCUAUGGCUCCUGCCGGUUGUCAUACUCAUCGACAUGCAAGUCGUGAUUCCUAUUACAAGAACAUGAUCAAUCUCAUACAUCACAUAUAUCAUUCAUCACAUCCUUUUUGGCCAUAUCACAUCACAUAGCAUACCCUGCAAAAACAAGUUAGACGUCCUCUAAUUGUUGUUUGCAUGUUUUACGUGGCUGCUAUGGGUUUCUAGCAAGAACGUUUCUUACCUACGCAUGAACAACAACGUGAUAUGCCAAUUGCUAUUUACCCUUCAUAAGGACCCUUUUCAUCGAAUCCGAUCCGACUAAAGUGGGAGAGACAGACACCCGCCAGCCACCUUAUGCAACUAGUGCAUGUUUGUCGGUGGAACCGGUCUCACGUAAGCGUACGUGUAAGGUUGGUCCGGGCCGCUUCAUCCCACGAUGCCGCCGAAUCAAGAUAAGACUAGUAACGGCAAGCAUAUUGAACAAUAUCAACGCCCACAACUACUUUGUGUUCUACUCGUGCAAAGAAUCUACGCAAUAGACCUAGCUCAUGAUGCCACUGUUGGGGAACGUAGCAGAAAUUCAAAAUUUUCCUACGUGUCACCAAGAUCUAUCUAUGGAGAUACUAGCAACGAGGGAAGGAGAGUGCAUCUACAUACCCUUGUAGAUCGCUAAGCGGAAGCGUUCAAGUGAACGGGGUUGAUGGAGUCGUACUCGUCGUGAUUCAGAUCACCGAUGAUCCUAGUGCCGAACGGACGGCACCUCCGCGUUCAACACACGUACAGCUCGACGAUGUCUCCCACGCCUUGAUCCAGCAAGGAGAGAGGGAGAGGUUGAGGAAGACUCCAUCCAGCAGCAGCACAACGGCGUGGUGGUGAUGGAGGAGCGUGGCAAUCCUGCAGGGCUUCGCCAAGCACCUACGGGAGAGGAGGAGGUGUCACGGGAGGGAGGGAGGCGCCAAGGGCUCAGGUAUAGAUGCCCUCCCUCCCCUCCACUAUAUAUAGGGGCAAGGGAGAGGGGGAGGCGCAUCCUUGCCCCUUCCUCCAAGGAAGGGGUGCGGCUAAGAGGGGGGGAGGAGUCCAUCCUCCCCAAGGCACCUCGGAGGUGCCUUCCCCCUUUAGGACUCUCCCCUUUUUCCUAUAUCUUGGCGCAUGGGCCUCUAGGGGCUGGUGCCCUUGGCCCAUGUAGGCCAAGGCGCACCCCCCUACAGCCCAUGUGGCCCCCCGGGGCAGGUGGCCCCACCCGGUGGGCCCCCGGGACCCUUCCGGUGGUCCCGGUACAAUACCGAUGACCCCGAAACUUGUCCCGAUGGCCGAAACAGGACUUCCUAUAUAUAAAUCUUUACCUCCGGACCAUUCCGGAACUCCUCGUGACGUCCGGGAUCUCAUCCGGGACUCCGAACAACAUUCGGUAACCACAUACAAACUUCCUUUAUAACCCUAGCGUCAUCGAACCUUAAGUGUGUAGACCCUACGGGUUCGGGAGACAUGUAGUCAUGACCGAGAUGUUCUCCGGUCAAUAACCAACAGCGGGAUCUGGAUACCCAUGUUGGCUCGCACAUGUUCCACGAUGAUCUCAUCGGAUGAACCACGAUGUCAAGGACUCAAUCAAUCCCGUAUACAAUUCCCUUUGUCUAGCGGUAUGGUACUUGCCCGAGAUUCGAUCGUCGGUAUACCGAUACCUUGUUCAAUCUCGUUACCGGCAAGCCUCUUUACUCGUUCCGUAACACAUCAUCCCGUGAUCAACCCCUUGGUCACAUUGUGCACAUUAUGAUGAUGUCCUACCGAGUGGGCCCAGAGAUACCUCUCCGUUUACACGGAGUGACAAAAUCCCAAUCUCGAUUCGUGCCAACCCAACAGACACUUUCAGAGAUACCCGUAGUGUACCUUUAUAGCCACCCAGUUACGUUGUGACGUUUGGCACACCCAAAGCACUCCUACGGUAUCCGGGAGUUGCACAAUCUCAUGGUCUAAGGAAAUGAUACUUGACAUUAGAAAAGCUUUAGCAUACGAACUACAUGAUCUUGUGCUAGGCUUAGNNNNNNNNNNUGAUCAACCCCUUGGUCACAUUGUGCACAUUAUGAUGAUGUCCUACCGAGUGGGCCCAGAGAUACCUCUCCGUUUACACGGAGUGACAAAAUCCCAAUCUCGAUUCGUGCCAACCCAACAGACAUUUUCAGAGAUACCCGUAGUGUACCUUUAUAGCCACCCAGUUACGUUGUGACGUUUGGCACACCCAAAGCACUCCUACGGUAUCCGGGAGUUGCACAAUCUCAUGGUCUAAGGAAAUGAUACUUGACAUUAGAAAAGCUUUAGCAUACGAACUACAUGAUCUUGUGCUAGGCUUAGGAUUGGGUCUUGUCCAUCACAUCAUUCUCCUAAUGAUGUGAUCCCGUUAUCAACGACAUCCAAUGUCCAUGGUCAGGAAACCGUAACCAUCUAUUGAUUAACGAGCUAGUCAACUAGAGGCUUACUAGGGACAUGGUGUUGUCUAUGUAUCCACACAUGUAUCUGAGUUUCCUAUCAAUACAAUUCUAGCAUGGAUAAUAAACGAUUAUCAUGAACAAGGAAAUAUAAUAAUAAUCAAUUUAUUAUUGCCUCUAGGGCAUAUUUCCAACAAGAAACGGGGAACAAACUGAUGAAAGAAUGAUCAUACCGAGGGAAUUCACUCAGAACUAACAAGAAUGAUAACGUGCUUUGACUGGAGCGGUUUAAAAACUGCUGGAAGGCUCUAGGGGAAUAAAGAUGGAAUGCCUUCAAAUUUCUAGGUCCGUAUGAUUUGAAAUACUUGCACACAAACCGCGCGAAAGCGUUCCUGGAAAUCUCAGCCCAAAAAAGGACGUUUAGUAAUUCUAAAAGGGACUACAGAAUGAAAAACAAUAGUUUUGGCAGUUAAAGUUUGAGAUUCGAUGGUGCCGUAGAUCCGUUUGGUCAUCAGGUGUAACGAGCCACACCCAUGUCUAGCUAGAGUAGUGUGCUAGGCUCAGGCUAGAGAAGAAACGGGGAACAAACUGAUGAAAGAAUGAUCAUACCGAGGGAAUUCACUCAGAACUAACAAGAAUGAUAACGUGCUCCGACUGGAGCGGUUUAGGAACUGCUGGAAGGCUCUAGGGGAAGAAAGAAGGAAUGACUUCUAAUUUUUAGGUCCGUAUGAUUUGAAAUACGUGCACACAAACCGCGCGAAAGCGUUCCUGGAAAUCUCAGCCCAAAAAAGGACGUUUAGUAUUCUAAAAGGGACUACAGAAUGAAAAACAAUAGUUUUGGCAGUUAAAGUUUGAGAUUCGACGGUGCCGUAGAUCCGUUUGGUCAUCAGGUGUUACGAGCCACACCCAUGUCUAGCUAGAAUAGUGUGCNNNNNNNNNNNNNNNNNNNNNNNNNCGUAUGAUUUGAAAUACGUGCACACAAACCGCGCGAAAGCGUUCCUGGAAAUCUCAGCCCAAAAAAGGACGUUUAGUAUUCUAAAAGGGACUACAGAAUGAAAAACAAUAGUUUUGGCAGUUAAAGUUUGAGAUUCGACGGUGCUGUAGAUCCGUUUGGUCAUCAGGUGUUACGAGCCACACCCAUGUCUAGCUAGAAUAGUGUGCUAGGCUCAGGCUAGAGAAGAAAAGGGGAACAAACUAAUGAAAGAAUGAUCAAUACGAGGGAAUUCACUCAGAACUAACAAUAAUGAUAACGUGCUCCGACUGGAGCGGUUUAGGAACUGCUGGAAGGCUCUAGGCGAAUAAAGAUGGAAUGACUUCUAAUUUUUACGUCCGUAUGAUUUGAAAUACUUGCACACAAACCACGCAAAAGCGUUCCUGGAAAUCUCGGCCUAAAAAGGACGUUUAGUAAUUCUAAAAGGGACUACAGGAUGAAAAAUAAUAGUUUGGGCAGUUAAAAUUUGAGAUUCGACGGUGCCGUAGAUCCGUUUGGUCAUCAGGUGUUACGAGCCACACCCAUGUCUAGCUAGAAUAGUGUGUUAGGCUCAGGCUAGAGAAGAAACGAGGAACAAACUGAUGAAAGAAUGAUCAUACCAAGGGAAUUCACUCAGAACUAACAAGAAUGAUAACGUGCUCCGACUGGAGCAGUUUAGAAACUGCUGGAAGGCUCUAGGGGAAUAAAGAUGGAAUGACUUCUGAUUUUUAGGUCCGUAUGAUUUGAAAUACGUGCACACAAACCCCGCGAAAGCGUUCCUGGAAAUCUCAGCCCAAAAAAGGACGUUUAGUAAUUCUAAAAGGGACUACAACAUGAAAAACAAUAGUUUUGGCAGUUAAAGUUUGAGAUUUCAUGGUGCCGUAGAUCUGUUUGGUCAUCAGGUGUUACGAGCCACACCCAUGUCUAGCUAGAAUAGUGUGUUAGGCUCAGGCUAGAAAAGAAACGGGAAACAAAGUGAUGAAAGAAUGACCAUACCGAGGGAAUUCACUCAGAACUAACAAGAAUGAUAACAUGCUCCGACUUGAGCGGUUUAGGAACUGCUGGAAGGCUCUAGGGGAAUAAAGAUGGAAUGACUUCUAAUGUUUAGGUCCGUAUGAUUUGAAAUACUUGCACAUAAACCGCACAAAAGCGUUCCUGGAAAUCUCAGCCCAAAAAAGGACGUUUAGUAAUUCUAAAAGGGACUACAGGAUGAAAAACAAUAGUUUUGGCAGUUAAAGUUUGAGAUUCGACGGUGCCGUAGAUCCGUUUGGUCAUCAGGUGUUACGAGCCACACCCAUGUCUAGCUAGAAUAGUGUGUUAGGCUCAGGCUAGAGAAGAAACUUGGAACAAACUGAUGAAAGAAUGAUCAAACCAACGGAAUUCACUCAGAACUAACAAUAAUGAUAACGUGCUCCGACUGGAGCAGUUUAGGAACUGCUGGAAGGCUCUAGGGGAAUAAAGAUGGAAUGACUUCUAAUUUUUAGGUCCGUAUGAUUUGAAAUACUUGCACGCAAACCGCGCGAAAGCGUUCCUGGAAAUAUCAGCCCAAAAAAGGACGUUUAGUAAUUCUAAAAGGGACUACAGGAUGAAAACAAUAGUUUUGGCAGUUAAAGUUUGAGAUUCAACAGUGCCGUAGAUCCGUUUGGUCAUCAGGUGUUAUGAGCCAUACCCAUGUCUAGCUAGAGUAGUGUGCUAGGCUCAGGCUAGAGAAGAAACAGGGAACAAACUGAUGAAAGAAUGAUCAUACCGAGGGAAUUCACUCAGAACUAACAAGAAUGAUAACGUGCUCCGACUGGAGCGGUUUAGGAACUGCUGGAAGGCUCUAGGGGAAUAAAGAUGGAGUGACUUCUAAAUUUUUAGGUCCGUAUGAUUUAAAAUACUUGCACACAAACCGCACGAAAGCGUUCCUUGAAAUCUCAGCCCAAAAAAGGACGUUUAGUAAGUCUAAAAGGGACUAUAGGAUGAAAAACAAUAGUUUUGGCAGUUAAAGUUUGAGAUUCGAUGGUGCCGUAGAUCUGUUUGGUCAUCAGGUGUUACGAGCCACACCCAUGUCUAGUUGGAAUAGUGUGCUAGGCUCAGACUAGAGAAGAAACAGGGAACAAACUGAUGAAAGAAUGAUCAAACCGAGGAAAUUCACUCAGAACUAACAAUAAUGAUAACAUGCUCCGACUGGAGCGGUUUAGGAACUGCUGGAAGGCUCUAGGGGAAUAAAGAUGGAAUGACUUCUAAAUUUUUAGGUCCGUAUGAUUUGAAAUAGUUGCACACAAACUGCGCGAAAGCGUUCCUGGAAAUCUCAGCCCAAAAAAGGACGUUUAGUAAUUCUAAAAGGGACUAUAGGAUGAAAAACAAUAGUUUUGGCAGUUAAAGUUUGAGAUUCGACGGUGCCGUAGAUCCGUUUGGUCAUCACGUGUUACAAGCCACACCCAUGUCUAGCUAGAGUAGUGUGCUAGGCUCAGACUAUAGAAGAAACGGGGACCAAACUGAUGAAAGAAUGAUCAAACCGAGGAAAUUCACUCAGAACUAACAAUAAUGAUAACAUGCUCCGACUGGAGCGGUUUAGGAACUACUGGAAGGCUCUAGGGGAAUAAAGAUGGAAUGACUUCUAAAUUUUUAGGUCCGUAUGAUUUUAAAUAGUUGCACACAAACUGCGCGAAAGCGUUCCUGGAAAUCUCAGCCCAAAAAAGGACGUUUAGUAAUUCUAAAAGGGACUACAGGAUGAAAAACAAUAGUUUGGGCAGUUAAAAUUUGAGAUUCGACGGUGCCGUAGAUCCGUUUGGUCAUCAGGUGUUACGAGCCACACCCAUGUCUAGCUAGAGUAGUGUGCUAGGCUCAGGCUAGAGAAGAAACAGGGAACAAACUGAUGAAAGAAUGAUCAUACCGAGGGAAUUCACUCAGAACUAACAAGAAUGAUAACGUGCUCUGACUGGAGCGGUUUAAGAACUGUUGGAAGGCUCUAGGGGAAUAAAGAUGGAAUCACUUCAAAUUUUUACGUCCGUGUGAUUUGAAAUACUUGCACACAAACCGCACGAAAGCGUUCCUGGAAAUCUCAGCCCAAAAAAGGACGUUUAGUAAGUCUAAAAGGGACUACACGAUGAAAAACAAUAGUUUUGGCAGUUAAAGUUUGAGAUUCGACAGUGCCGUAGAUCCGUUUGGUCAUCAGGUGUAACGAGCCACACCCAUGUCUAGAUAGAGUAGUGUGCUAGGCUCAAACUAGAGAAGAAACGGGGAACAAACUGAUGAAAGAAUGAUCAUACCGAGGGAAUUCACUCAGAAAUAACAAGAAUGAUAACGUGCUCUGACUGGAGCGGUUUAGGAACUGCUGGAAGGCUCUAGGGGAAUAAAGAAGGAAUGACUUCUAAUUUUUAGGUCCGUAUGAUUUGAAAUACGUGCACACAAACCCCGAGAAAGCGUUCCUGGAAAUCUCGACCCAAAAAAGGACGUUUAGUAAUUCUAAAAGGGACUACGGGAUGAAAAACAAUAGUUUUGGCAGUUAAAGUUUGAGAUUCGAUAAUGCCGUAGAUCCAUUUGGUCAUCAGGUGUAACGAGCCACACCCAUGUCUAGCUAGAGUAGUGUGCUAGGCUCAGACUAGAGAAGAAACAGGGAACAAACUGAUGAAAGAAUGAUCAUAUCGAGGGAAUUCACUCAGAACUAACAAGAAUGAUAACAUGCUCCGACUUGAGCGGUUUAGGAACUGCUGGAAGGCUCUAGGGGAAUAAAGAUGGAAUGACUUCUAAUUUUUAGGUCCGUAUGAUUUGAAAUACUUACACACAAACCACGCGAAAGCGUUCCUGGAAAUCUCAGCCCAAAAAAGGACGUUUAGUAAUUCUAAAAGGGACUACAUGAUGAAAAACAAUAGUUUUCGCAGUUAAAGUUUGAGAUUCGACGGUGCCGUAGAUCCGUUUGGUCAUCAAGUGUUACGAGCCACACCCAUGUCUAGCUAGAAUAGUGUGUUAGGCUCAGCCUAGAGAAGAAACGGGGAACAAACUGAUGAAAGAAUGAUCAUACCGAGGGAAUUCACUCAGAACUUACAAGAAUGAUAACGUGCUCCGACUUGAGCGGUUUAAGAACUGUUGGAAGGCUCUAGGGGAAUAAAGAUGGAAUCACUUCAAAUUUUUACGUCCGUGUGAUUUGAAAUACUUGCACACAAACCCCGAGAAAGCGUUCCUGGAAAUCUCGGCCGAAAAAAGGAUGUUUAAUAAUUCUAAAAGGGACUACAGGAUGAAAAACAAUAGCUUUGGCAGUUAAAGUUUGUGAUUCGAUGGUGCCGUAGAUCUGUUUGGUCAUCAGGUGUUAUGAGCCACACCCAUGUCUAGCUAGAAUAGUGUGUUAGGCUCAGGCUAGAGCAGAAACUAGGAACAAACUUAUGAAAGAAUGAUCAUACCGAGGGAAUUCACUCAGAACUAACAAGAAUGAUAACGUGCUCCGACUGGAGCGGUUUAGGAACUGCUGGAAGGCUCUAGGGGAAUAAAGAUGGAAUGACUUCUAAUUUUUAGGUCCGUAUGAUUUGAAAUACAUGCACACAAACCCCAAGAAAGCGUUCCUAGAAAUCUCAGCCCAAAAAGGACGUUUAGUAAUUCUAAAAGGGACUACAGGAUGAAAAACAAUAGGUUUGGCAGUUAAAGUUUGAGAUUCGAUAAUGCCGUAGAUCCGUUUGGUCAUCAGGUGUAACGAGCCACACCCAUGUCUAGCUACAUUAGUGUGCUAGGCUCAGACUAGAGAAGAAACGGGGAACAAACUGAUGAAAGAAUGAUCAUACCGAGGGAAUUCACUCAGAACUAACAAGAACGAUAACAUGCUCCGACUGCAGCGGUUUAGGAACUGCUGGAAGGCUCUAGGGGAAUAAAGAAGGAAUGACUUCUAAUUUUUAGGUCCGUAUGAUUUGAAAUACUUGCACACAAACCGCGCGAAAGCAUUCCUGGAAAUCUCAGCCCAAAAAAGGACGUUUAGUAAUUCUAAAAGGGACUACAGGAUGAAAAACAAUAAUUUUGGCAGUUAAAGUUUGAGAUUCGACGGUGCCGUAGAUCCGUUUGGUCAUCAGGUGUUACGGGCCAUACCCAUGUCUAGCUAGAAUAGUGUGUUAGGCUCAGGUUAGAGAAGAAACGGGGAACAAAGUGAUGAAAGAAUGAUCAUACCGAGGGAAUUCACUCAGAACUAACAAGAAUGAUAACGUGCUCCGACUGGAGCGGUUUAGGAAUUGCUGGAAGGCUCUAGGGGAAUAAAGAUGGAAUGACUUCUAUAUUUUACGUCCGUAUGAUUUGAAAUACUUGCACACAAACCACGCAAAAGCACUCCUGGAAAUAUCAGCCUAAAAAGGAUGUUUAGUAAUUCUAAAAGGGACUACAGGAUGAAAAAUAAUAGUUUUGGCAGUUAAAAUUUGAGAUUCAACGGUGCCGUAAAUCCGUUUGGUCAUCAGGUGUUACGAGCCACACCCAUGUCUAGCUAGAAUAGUGUGUUAGGCUCAGGUUAGAGAAGAAACGGGGAACAAACUGAUGAAAGAAUGAUCAUACAAGGGGAAUUCACUCAGAACUAUCAAGAAUGAUAACGUGCUCCGACUGGAGCAGUUUAGGAACUGCCGGAAGGCUCUAGGGGAAUAAAGAUGGAAUGACUUCUAAUUUUUAUGUCCGUAUGAUUUGAAAUACUUGCACACAAACCACGCAAAAGCGUUCCUGGAAAUCUCAGCCUAAAAAGGACGUUUAGUAAUUCUAAAAGGGACUACAGGAUGAAAAACAAUAGUUUGGGCAGUUAAAAUUCGAGAUUCGACGGUGCCGUAGAUCCGUUUGGUCAUCAGGUGUUACGAGCCACACCCAUGUCUAGCUAGAAUAGUGUGUUAGGCUCAGGCUAGAGAAGAAACGGGGAACAAACUGAUGAAAGAAUGAUCAUAUCGAGGGAAUUCACUCAGAACUAACAAGAAUGAUAACGUGCUCCGACUGGAGCGGUUUAGUAACUGCUGGAAGGCUCUAGGGGAAUAAAGAUGGAAUGACUUCUAAUUAUUAGGUCCGUAAGAUUUGAAUUACAUGCACACAAACCCCGAGAAAGCGUUCCUGGAAAUCUCGGUCGAAAAAAGGAUGUUUAGUAAUUCUAAAAGGGACUACAGGAUGAAAAACAAUAGUUUUGGCAGUUAAAGUUUGUGAUUCGAUGGUGCCGUAGAUCUGUUUGGUCAUCAGGUGUUACGAGCCACACCCAUGUCUAGCUAGAAUAGUGUGUUAGGCUCAGGCUAGAGCAGAAACGGGGAACAAACUUAUGAAAGAAUGAUCAUGCCGAGGGAAUUCACUCAGAACUAACAAGAAUGAUAACGUGCUCCGACUGGAGCGGUUUAGGAACUGCUGGAAGGCUCUAGGGGAAUAAAGAUGGAAUGACAUCAAAUUUUUAGGUCCGUAUGAUUUGAAAUACUUGCACACAAACCGCAAGAAAGCGUUCUUGGAAAUCUCCGCCCAAAAAAGGACGUUUAGUAAUUCUAAAAGGGUCUACAGGAUGAAAAACAAUAGUUCUGGCAGUUAAAGUUUGAGAUUCGAUAAUGUCGUAGAUCCGUUUGGUCAUCAGGCGUAACGAGCCACACCCAUUUCUAGCUAGAGUAGUGUGCUAGGCUCAGACUAGAGAAGAAACGGGGAACAACCUGAUGAAAGAAUGAUCAUACCGAGGGAAUUCACUCAGAACUAACAAGAAUGAUAACGUGCUCCGACUGGAGCGGUUUAGGAACUGCUGGAAGGCUCUACGGGAAUAAAGAAGGAAUGACUUCUAAUUUUUAGGUCCGUAUGAUUUGAAAUACGUGCACACAAACCCCGAGAAAGCGUUCCUGGAAAUCUCGGCCCAAAAAAGGACGUUUAGUAUUCUAAAAGCGACUACAGAAUGAAAAACAAUAGUUUUGGUAGUUAAAGUUUGAGAUUUAACGGUGCCGUAGAUCUGUUUGGUCAUCAGGUGUUACGAGCCACACCCAUGUCUAGCUAGAAUAGUGUGUUAGGCUCAGGCUAGAUAAGAAACAGGGAACAAAGUGAUGAAAGAAUGAUCAUACCAAGGGAAUUCACUCAGAACUAACAAGAACGAUAACAUGCUCCGACUGGAGUGGUUUAGGAACUGCUGGAAGGCUCUAGGGGAAUAAAGAUGGAAUGACUUCUAAUUUUUAGGUCUGUAUGAUUUGAAAUACUUGCACACAAACCGCACGAAAGCGUUCCUGGAAAUCUCAUCCCAAAAAAGGACGUUUAGUAAUUCUAAAAGGGACUACAGGAUGAAAAACAAUAGUUUUGGCAGUUAAAGUUUGAGAUUCGAUAAUGCUGUAGAUCCGUUUGGUCAUCAGGUGUAACGAGCCACACCCAUGUCUAGCUAGAGUAGUGUGCUAGGCUCAGACUAGAGAAGAAACGGGGAACAAACUGAUGAAAGAAUGAUCAUACCGAGGGAAUUCACUCAGAACUAACAAUAAUGAUAACGUGCUCCGACUGGAGCGGUUUAGGAACUGCUGGAAGGCUCUAGGGGAAUAAAGAUGGAAUGAGUUCUAAUUUUUAGGUCUGUAUGAUUUGAAAUACUUGCACACAAACCGCGUGAAAGCAUUCCUGGAAAUUUCAGCCCAAAAAAGGACGUUUAGUAAUUUUAAAAGGGACUACACGAUGAAAAACAAUAGUUUUGGCAGUUAAAGUUUGAGAUUCGACGGUGCCGUAGAUCCGUUUGGUCAUCAGGUGUUACGAGCCACACCCAUGUCUAGCUAGAAUAGUAUGUUAGGCUCGGGUAAGAGAAGAAACGGGGAACAAACUGAUGAAAGAAUGAUCAUACCAAGGGAAUUCACUCAGAACUAACAAGAAUGAUAACGUGCUCCGACUGGAGCGGUUUAGGAACUGCUGGAAGGCUCUAGGGGAAUAAAGAUGGAAUGACUUCUAAUUUUUACGUUCGUAUGAUUUGAAAUACUUGCACACAAACCACGCAAAAGCGUUCCUGGAAAUCUCAUCCUAAAAAAGGACGUUUAGUAAUUCUAAAAGGGACUACAGGAUGAAAAAUAAUAGUUUGGGCAGUUAAAAUUUGAGAUUCGACGGUGCCGUAGAUCCGUUUGGUCAUCAGGUGUUACGAGCCACACCCAUGUCUAGCUAGAAUAGUGUGUUAGGCUCAGGCUAGAGAAGAAACGGGGAACAAACUGAUGAAAGAAUGAUCAUAUCGAGGGAAUUCACUCAGAACUAACAAGAAUGAUAACGUGCUCCGACUGGAGCAGUUUAGAAACUGCUGGAAGGCUCUAGGGGAAUAAAGAUGGAAUGACUUCUAAUUUUUAGGUCUGUAUGAUUUGAAAUACGUGCACACGAACCCCGAGAAAGCGUUCCUGGAAAUCUCGGCCCAAAAAAGGACGUUUAGUAAUUCUAAAAGGGACUACAGGAUGAAAAACAAUAGUUUUGGCAGUUAAAGUUUGAGAUUCGACGGUGCCGUAGAUCCGUUUGUUCAUCAGGUGUUACGAGCCACACCCAUGUCUAGCUAGAAUAGUGUGUUAGGCUCAGGCUAGAGAAGAAACGGGGAACAAACUGAUGAAAGAAUGAUCAUACCGAGGGAAUUCACUCAGAACUAACAAGAAUGAUAACGUGCUCCGACUGGAGCGGUUUAGGAACUGCUAGAAGGCUCUAGGGGAAUAAAGAAGGAAUGACUUCUAAUUUUUAGGUCCGUAUGAUUUGAAAUACGUGCACACAAACCCCGAGAAAGCGUUCCUGGAAAUCUUGGCCCAAAAAAGGACGUUUAGUAUUCUAAAAGCGACUACAGAAUGAAAAACAAUAGUUUUGCUAGUUAAAGUUUGAGAUUUGAUGGUGCCGUAGAUCUGUUUGGUCAUCAGGUUUUACGAGCCACACCCAUGUCUAGCUAGAAUAGUGUGUUAGGCUCAGGCUAGAAAAGAAACAGGGAAUAAAGUGAUGAAAGAAUGAUCAUACCAAGGGAAUUCACUCAGAACUAACAAGAACGAUAACAUGCUCCGACUGGAGUGGUUUAGAACUGCUGGAAGGCUAAAGGGGAAUAAAGAUGGAAUGACUUCUAAUUUUUAGGUCCGUAUGAUUUGAAAUACUUGCACACAAACCGCACGAAAGUGUUCCUGGAAAUCUCAGCCCAAAAAAGGACGUUUAGUAAUUCUAAAAGGGACUACAGGAUGAAAAACAAUAGUUUUGGCAGUUAAAGUUUGAGAUUCGAUAAUGACGUAGAUCCGUUUGGUCAUCAGGUGUAACGAGCCACACCCAUGUCUAGCUAGAGUAGUGUGCUAGGCUCAGACUAGAGAAGAAACGGGGAACAAACUGAUGAAAGAAUGAUCAUACCGAGGGAAUUCACUCAGAACUAACAAUAAUGAUAACGUGCUCCGACUAGAGCGGUUUAGGAACUGCUGGAAGGCUCUAGGGGAAUAAAGAUGGAAUGACUUCUAAUUUUUAGGUCCCUAUGAUUUGAAAUACUUGCACACAAACCGCGUGAAAGCAUUCCUGGAAAUUUCAGCCCAAAAAAGGACGUUUAGUAAUUUUAAAAGGGACUACACGAUGAAAAAGAAUAGUUUUGGCAGUUAAAGUUUGAGAUUCGACGGUGCCGUAGAUCCGUUUGGUCAUCAGGUGUUACGAGACACACCCAUGUCUAGCUAGAAUAGUAUGUUAGGCUCGGGUUAGAGAAGAAACGGGGAACAAACUGAUGAAAGAAUGAUCAUACCAAGGGAAUUCACUCAGAACUAACAAGAAUGAUAACGUGCUCCGACUGGAGCGGUUUAGGAACUGCUGGAAGGCUCUAGGGGAAUAAAGAUGGAAUGACUUCUAAUUUUUACGUUCGUAUGAUUUGAAAUACUUGCAAACAAACCACGCAAAAGCGUUCCUGGAAAUUUCAUCCUAAAAAAGGACGUUUAGUAAUUCUAAAAGGGACUACAGGAUGAAAAAUAAUAGUUUGGGCAGUUAAAAUUUGAGAUUCGAUGGUGCCGUAGAUCCGUUUGGUCAUCAGGUGUUACGAGCCACACCCAUGUCUAGCUAGAAUAGUGUGUUAGGCUCAGGCUAGAGAAGAAACGGGGAACAAACUGAUGAAAGAAUGAUCAUAUCGAGGGAAUUCACUCAGAACUAACAAGAAUGAUAACGUGCUCCGACUGGAGCAGUUUAGAAACUGCUGGAAGGCUCUAGGGGAAUAAAGAUGGAAUGACUUCUAAUUUUUAGGUCUGUAUGAUUUGAAAUACGUGCACACAAACCCCGAGAAAGCGUUCCUGGAAAUCUCGUCCGGAAAAAGGAUGUUUAAUAAUUCUAAAAGGGACUACAGGAUGAAAAACAAUAGUUUUGGCAGUUAAAGUUUGUGAUUCGAUGGUGCCGUAGAUCUGUUUGGUCAUCAGGUGUUACGGGCCACACCCAUGUCUAGCUAGAAUAGUGUGUUAGGCUCAGGCUAGAGCAGAAACGGGGAGCAAACUUAUGAAAGAAUGAUCAUAGCGAGGGAAUUUACUCAGAACUAACAAGAAUGAUAACGUGCUCCGACUGGAGCGGUUUAGGAACUGCUGGAAGGCUCUAGGGGAAUAAAGAUGGAAUGACUUCAAAUUUUCAGGUAUGUAUGAUCUGAAAUACUUGCACACAAACCGCGAGAAAGCGUUCCUGGAAAUCUCAACCCAAAAAAGGAUGUUUAGUAAUUCUAAAAGGGACUACAGGAUUAAAAACAAUAGUUUUGGCAGUUAAAGUUUGAGAUUCGAUAAUGUCGUAGAUCCGUUUGGUCAUCAGGUGUAACGAGCCACACCCAUGUCUAGCUAGAGUAGUGUGCUAGGCUCAUACUAGAGAAGAAACGGGGAACAAACUGAUGAAAGAAUGAUCAUACCGAGGGAAUUCACUCAGAACUAACAAGAAUGAUAACGUGCUCCGACUGGAGCGGUUUAGGAACUGCUGGAAGGCUCUAGGGGAAUAAAGAUGGAAUGACUUCUUAUUUUUAGGUCCGUAUGAUUUGAAAUACAUGCACACAAACCCCAAGAAAGCGUUCCGGGAAAUCUCGGCCCAAAGAAUGAUGUUUAGUAAUUCUAAAAGGGACUAUAGAAUGAAAAACAAUAGUUUUGGCAGUUAAAGUUUGAGAUUUGACGGUGUCGUAGAUCUGUUUGGUCAUCAGGUGUUACGAGCCACACCCAUUUCUAGCUAGAAUAGUGUGUUAGGCUCAGGCUAGAAAAGAAACGGGGAACAAAGUGAUGAAAGAAUGAUCAUACCGAGGGAAUUCACUCAGAACUAACAAGAAUGAUAACAUGCUCCGACUAGAGCGGUUUAGGAACUGCUGGAAGGCUCUAGGGGAAUAAAUAUGGAAUGACUUCUAAUUUUCAGGUCCGUAUGAUUUGAAAUACUUGCACACAAACCGCGCGAAAGCGUUCCUGGAAAUCUCAUCCCAAAGAAGGUCGUUUAGUAAUUCUAAAAGGGACUACAGGAUGAAAAACAAUAGUUUUGGCAAUUUAAGGUUUGAGAUUCGACGGUGCCGUAGAUCCGUUUGGUCAUCAGGUGUUACGAGCCACACCCAUGUCUAGCUAGAAUAGUGUGCUAGGCUCAGGCUAGAGAAGAAACAGGGAACAAACUGAUGAAAGAAUGAUCAAACCGAGGGAAUUCACUCAGAACUAACAAUAAUGAUAACGUUCUCCGUCUGGAGCGGUUUAGGAACUGCUGGAAGGCUCUAGGGGAAUAAAGAUGGAAUGACUUCUAAUUUUUAGGUCCGUAUGAUUUGAAAUACUUGCACACAAACCGCGCCAAAUCGUUCCUGGAAAUCUCAGCCCAAAAAAGGACGUUUAGUAAUUCUAAAAGGGACUACAGGAUGAAAAACAAUAGUUUUGGCAGUUAAAGUUUGAGAUUCGAUGGUGCCGUAGACCCGUUUGGUCAUCAGGUGUUACGAGCCACACCCAUGUCUAGCUAGAGUAGUGUGCUAGGUUCAGACUAGAGAAGAAACAGGGAACAAAGUGAUGAAAGAAUGAUCAUACCGAGGGAAUUCACUCAGAACUAACAAGAAUGAUAACGUGCUCCGACUGGAGCGGUUUAGGAACUGCUGGAAGGCUCUAGGGGAAUAAAGAUGGAAUGACUUCUAAUUUUUACGUCCGUAUGAUUUGAAAUACUUGCACACAAACCACGCAAAAGCGUUCCUGGAAAUCUCAGCCUAAAAAAGGACGUUUAGUAAUUCAAAAAGGGACUACAAAAUGAAAAACAAUAGUUUUGGCAGUUAAAGUUUGAGAUUCGAUGGUGCCGUAGAUCCGUUUGGUCAUCAGGUGUUACGAGCCACACCCAUGUCUAGCUAGGAUAGUGUGUUAGGCUCAGGCUAGAGAAGAAACGGGGAACAAACUGAUGAAAGAAUGAUCAUACCGAGGGAAUUCACUCAGAACUAACAAGGAUGAUAACAUGCUCCGACUAGAGCGGUUUAGGAACUGCUGGAAGGCUCUAGGGGAAUAAAGAUGGAAUGACUUCUAAUUUUUAGGUCCGUAUGAUUUGAAAUACUUGCACACAAACCGCAAGAAAGCGUUCCUGGAAAUCUCAGCCCAAAAAAGGACGUUUAGUAAUUCUAAAAGGGACUACAGGAUGAAAAACAAUAGUUCUGGCAGUUAAAGUUUGAGAUUCGAUAAUGCCGUAGAUCUGUUUGGUCAUCAGGUGUAACGAGCCACACCCAUGUCUAGCUAGAGUAGUGUGCUAGGCUCAGACUAGAGAAGAAACGGGGAACAAACUGAUGAAAGAAUGAUUAUACCGAGGGAAUUCACUCAGAACUAACGAGAAUGAUAACGUGCUCCGACUGGAGCGGUUUAGGAACUGCUGGAAGGCUCUAGGGGAAUAAAGAUGGAAUGACUUCAAAUUUUUAGGUCUGUAUGAUUUGAAAUACUUGCACACAAACCGCAAGAAAGCGUUCCUUGAAAUCUCAGCCCAAAAAAGGACGUUUAGUAAUUCUAAAAGGGACUACAGGAUGAAAAACAAUAGUUCUGGCAGUUAAAGUUUGAGAUUCGAUAAUGUCGUAGAUCCGUUUGGUCAUCAGGUGUAACGAGCCACACCCAUGUCUAGCUAGAGUAGUGUGCUAGGCUCAGAAUAGAGAAGAAACGGGGAACAAACUGAUGAAAGAAUGAUCAUACCGAGGGAAUUCACUCAGAACUAACAAGAAUGAUAACGUGCUCCGACUGGAGCGGUUUAGGAACUGCUGGAAGGCUCUAGGGGAAUAAAGAAGGAAUGACUUCUAAUUUUUAGGUCCGUAUGAUUUGAAAUACGUGCACACAAACCGCGCGAAAGCGUUCCUGGAAAUCUCAGCCAAAAAAAGGACGUUUAGUAUUCUAAAAGGGACUACAGAAUGAAAAACAAUAGUUUUGGCAGUUAAAGUUUGAGAUUCGACGGUGCUGUAGAUCCGUUUGGUCAUCAGGUGUUACGAGCCACACCCAUGUCUAGCUAGAAUAGUGUGCUAGGCUCAGGCUAGAGAAGAAAAGGGGAACAAACUAAUGAAAGAAUGAUCAAUCCGAGGGAAUUCACUCAGAACUAACAAUAAUGAUAACGUGCUCCGACUGGAGCGGUUUAGGAACUGCUGGAAGGCUCUAGGCGAAUAAAGAUGGAAUGACUUCUAAUUUUUACGUCCGUAUGAUUUGAAAUACUUGCACACAAACCACGCAAAAGCGUUCCUGGAAGUCUCGGCCUAAAAAGGACGUUUAGUAAUUCUAAAAGGGACUACAGGAUGAAAAAUAAUAGUUUGGGCAGUUAAAAUUUGAGAUUCGACGGUGCCGUAGAUCCAUUUGGUCAUCAAGUGUUACGAGCCACACCCAUGUCUAGCUAGAAUAGUGUGUUAGGCUCAGGCUAGAGAAGAAACGGGGAACAAACUGAUGAAAGAAUGAUCAUACCAAGGGAAUUCACUCAGAACUAACAAGAAUGAUAACGUGCUCCGACUGGAGCAGUUUAGAAACUGCUGGAAGGCUCUUGGGGAAUAAAGAUGGAAUGACUUCAAAUUUUUAGGUCCGUAUGAUUUGAAAUACUUGCACACAAACCACGCGAAAGCGUUCCUGGAAAUCUCAGCCCAAAAAAGGACGUUUAGUAAUUCUAAAAGGGACUACAUGAUGAAAAACAAUAGUUUUGGCAGUUAAAGUUUGAGAAUCGUCGGUGCCGUAGAUCCGUUUGGUCAUCAGCUGUAACGAGCCACACCCAUGUCUAGCUAGAGUAGUGUGCUAGGCUCAGACUAGAGAAGAAACAGGGAACAAAGUGAUGAAAGAAUGAUCAUACCGAGGGAAUUCACUUAGAACUAACAAGAAUGAUAACAUGCUCCGACUUGAGCGAUUUAGGAACUUCUGGAAGGCUCUAGGGGAAUAAAGAUGGAAUGACUCAAAUUUUUAGGCCCGUAUGAUUUGAAAUACAUGCACACAAACCGCGAGAAAGUGUUCCUGGAAAUCUUAGCCCAAAAAAGGACGUUUAGUAAUUCUAAAAGGGACUACAGGAUGAAAAACAAUAGUUUUGGUAGUUAAAGUUUCAGAUUCGAUAAUGCCCUAGAUCCGUUUGGUCAUCAGGUGUAACGAGCCACACCAAUGUCUAGCUAGAGUAGUGUGCUAGGCUCAGACUAGAUAAGAAACGGGGAAGAAACUGAUGAAAGAAUGAUCAGACCGAGGGAAUUCACUCAGAACUAACAAUAAUGAUAACGUGCUCCGAGUGGAGCGGUUUAGGAACUGCUGGAAGGCUCUAGGGGAAUAAAGAUGGAAUGACUUCUAAUUUUUAGGUCCGUAUGAUUUGAAAUACGUGCACACAAACCCCGAGAAACCGUUCCUUGAAAUCUCGGCCCAAAAAAGGACGUUUAGUAAUUCUAAAAGGGACUACAAAAUGAAAAACAAUAGUUUUGGCAGUUAAAGUUUGAGAUUCGACGGUGUCGUAGACCCGUUUGGUCUUCAGGUGUUACGAGCCACACCCAUGUCUAGCCAGAGUAGUGUGCUAGGUUCAGACUAGAGAAGAAACGGGGAACAAAGUGAUGAAAGAAUGAUCAUACCGAGGGAAUUCACUCAGAACUAACAAGAAUGAUAACGUGCUCCGACUGGAGCGGGUUAGGAACUCCUGGAAGGCUCUAGGGGAAUAAAGAUGGAAUGACUUCUAAUUUUUACGUCCGUAUGAUUUGAAAUACUUGCACACAAACCACGCAAAAGCGUUCCUGGAAAUCUCAGCCUAAAAAAGGACGUUUAGUAAUUCUAAAAGGGACUACAGGAUGAAAAAUAAUAGUUUGGUCAUCAGGUGUUACGAGCCACACCCAUGUCUAGCUAGAAUAGUGUGCUAGGCUCAGGCUAGAGAAGAAACGGGGAAUAAACUGAUGAAAGAAUGAUCAAACCGAGGGAAUUCACUCAGAACUAACAAUAAUGAUAACGUUCUCCGUCUGGAGCGGUUUAGGAACUGCUGGAAGGCUCUAGGGGAAUAAAGAUGGAAUGACUUCUAAUUUUUAGGUCCGUAUGAUACGAAAUACUUGCACACAAACCGCGCGAAAUCGUUCCUGGAAAUCUCAGCCCAAAAAAGGACGUUUAGUAAUUCUAAAAGGGACUACAGCAUGAAAAACAAUAGUUCUGGCAGUUAAAGUUUGAGAUUCGAUAAUGCCGUAGAUCCGUUUGGUCAUCAGGUGUAACGAGCCACACCCAUGUCUAGCUAGAGUAGUAUGCUAGGCUCAGACUAGAGAAGAAACGGGGAACAAACUGAUGAAAGAAUGAUUAUACCGAGGGAAUUCACUCAGAACUAACAAGAAUGAUAACGUGCUCCGGCUGGAGCGGUUUAGGAACUGCUAGAAGGCUCUAGGGGAAUAAAGAUGGAAUGACUUCAAAUUUUUAGGUCUGUAUGAUUUGAAAUACUUGCACACAAACCGCAAGAAAGCGUUCCUGGAAAUCUCAGCCCAAAAAAGGACGUUUAGUAAUUCUAAAAGGGACUAUAGGAUGAAAAACAAUAGUUCUGGUAGUUAAAGUUUGAGAUUCGAUAAUGUCAUAGAUCCGUUCGGUCAUCAGGUGUAACGAGCCACACCCAUGUCUAGCUAGAGUAGUGUGCUAGGCUCAGACUAGAGAAGAAACGGGGAACAAACUGAUGAAAGAAUGAUCAUACCGAGGGAAUUCACUCAGAACUAACAAGAAUGAUAACGUGCUCCGACUGGAGCGGUUUAGGAACUGCUGGAAGGCUCUAGGGGAAGAAAGAAGGAAUGACUUCUAAUUUUUAGGUCCGUAUGAUUUGAAAUACGUGCACACAAACCGCGCGAAAGCGUUCCUGGAAAUCUCAGCCCAAAAAAGGACGUUUAGUAUUCUAAAAGGGACUACAGAAUGAAAAACAAUAGUUUUGGCAGUUAAAGUUUGAGAUUCGACGGUGCCGUAGAUCCGUUUGGUCAUCAGGUGUUACGAGCCACACCCAUGUCUAGCUAGAAUAGUGUGCUAGGCUCAGGCUAGAGAAGAAAAGGGGAACAAACUGAUGAAAGAAUGAUCAAACCGAGGGAAUUCACUCAGAACUAACAAUAAUGAUAACGUGCUCCGACUGGAGCGGUUUAGGAACUGCUGGAAGGCUCUUGGCGAAUAAAGAUGGAAUGACUUCUAAUUUUUACGUCCGUAUGAUUUGAAAUACUUCCACACAAACCAGGCAAAGGCGUUCCUGGAAAUCUCGGCCUAAAAAGGACGUUUAGUAAUUCUAAAAGGGACUACAGGAUGAAAAAUAAUAGUUUGGGCAGUUAAAAUUUUAGAUUCGACGGUGCCGUAGAUCCGUUUGGUCAUCAGGUGUUACGAGCCACACCCAUGUCUAGCUAGAAUAGUGUGUUAGGCUCAGGCUAGAGAAGAAACGGGGAACAAACUGAUGAAAGAAUGAUCAUACCAAGGGAAUUCACUCAGAACUAACAAGAAUGAUAACGUGCUCCGACUGGAGCAGUUUAGAAACUACUGGAAGGCUCUAGGGGAAUAAAGAUGGAAUGACUUCAAAUUUUUAGGUCCGUAUGAUUUGAAAUACUUGCACACAAACCGCGCGAAAGCGUUCCUGGAAAUCUCAGCCCAAAAAAGGACGUUUAGUAAUUCUAAAAGGGACUACAUGAUGAAAAACAAUAGUUUUGGCAGUUAAAGUUUGAGAUUCGUCGGUGCCGUAGAUCCGUUUGGUCAUCAGCUGUAACGAGCCACACCCAUUUCUAGCUAGAGUAGUGUGCUAGGCUCAGACUAAAGAAGAAAUGGGGAACAAAGUGAUGAAAGAAUGCUCAUACCGAGGGAAUUCACUCAGAACUAACAAGAAUGAUAACAUGCUCCGACUUGAGCGAUUUAGGAACUUCUGGAAGGCUCUAGGGGAAUAAAGAUGGAAUGACUCAAAUUUUUAGGUCCGUAUGAUUUGAAAUACUUGCACACAAACCGCGAGAAAGCGUUCCUGGAAAUCUCAGCCCAAAAAAGGACGUUUAGUAAUUCUAAAAGGGACUACAUGAUGAAAAACAAUAGUUUUGGCAGUUAAAGUUUGAGAUUUGAUAAUGCCGUAGAUCCGUUUGGUCAUCAGGUGUAACGAGCCACACCCAUGUCUAGCUAGAGUAGUGUGCUAGGCUAAGACUAGAUAAGAAAAGGGGAAGAAACUUAUGAAAGAAUGAUCAGACCGAGGGAAUUCACUCAGAACUAACAAUAAUGAUAACGUGCUCCGACUGGAGCGGUUUAGGAACUGCUGGAAGGCUCUAGGGGAAUAAAGAUGGAAUGACUUCUAAUUUUUAGGUCCGUAUGAUUUGAAAUACGUGCACACAAACCCCGAGAAACCGUUCCUGGAAAUCUCGGCCCAAAAAAGGAUGUUUAGUAAUUCUAAAAGGGACUACAAAAUGAAAAACAAUAGUUUUGGCAGUUAAAGUUUGAGAUUUGAUGGUGCCGUAGAUCUGUUUGGUCAUCAGGUGUUACGAGCCACACCCAUGUCUAGCUAGAAUAGUGUGUUAGGCUCAGGCUAGAAAAGAAACGGGAAACAAAGUGAUGAAAGAAUGAUCAUACCGAGGGAAUUCACUCAGAACUAACAAGAAUGAUAACAUGCUCUGACUGGAGCGGUUUAGGAACUGCUGGAAGGCUCUAGGGGAAUAAAGAUGGAAUGACUUCUAAUGUUUAGGUCCGUAUGAUUUGAAAUACUUGCACAUAAACCGCGCAAAAGCGUUCCUGGAAAUCUCAGCCCAAAAAAGGACGUUUAGUAAUUCUAAAAGGGACUACAGGAUGAAAAACAAUAGUUUUGGCAGUUAAAGUUUGAGAUUCGACGGUGCCGUAGAUCCGUUUGUUCAUCAGGUGUUACGAGCCACACCCAUGUCUAGCUAGAAUAGUGUGUUAGGCUCAGGCUAGAGAAGAAACGGGGAACAAACUGAUGAAAGAAUGAUCAAACCGAGGGAAUUCACUCAGAACUAACAAUAAUGAUAACGUGCUCCGACUAGAGCGGUUUAGGAACUGCUGGAAGGCUCUAGGGGAAUAAAGAUGGAAUGACUUCUAAUUUUUAGGUCUGUAUGAUUUGAAAUACUUGCACGCAAACCGCGCGAAAGCGUUCCCGGAAAUAUCAGCCUAAAGAAGGACGUUUAGUAAUUCUAAAAGGGACUACAGGAUGAAAAACAAUAGUUUUGGCAGUUAAAGUUUGAGAUUCAACGGUGCCGUAGAUCCGUUUGGUCAUCAGGUGUUACGAGCCACACCCAUGUCUAGCUAGAGUAGUGUGCUAGGCUCAGGCUAGAGAAGAAACAGGGAACAAACUGAUGAAAGAAUGAUCAUACCGAGGGAAUUCACUCAGAACUGAUGAAAGAAUGAUCAAACCAAGGAAAUUCACUCAGAACUAACAAUAAUGAUAACAUGCUCCGACUGGAGCGGUUUAGGAACUGCUGGAAGGCUCUAGGGGAAUAAAGAUGGAAUGACUUCUAAUUUUUAGGUCCGUAUGAUUUGAAAUACGUGCACACAAACCCCGAGAAACCGUUCCUGGAAAUCUCGGCCCAAAAAAGGACGUUUAGUAAUUCUAAAAGGGACAACAAAAUGAAAAACAAUAGUUUUGGCAGUUAAAGUUUGAGAUUCGACGGUGCCGUAGACCCGUUUGGUCAUCAGGUGUUACGAGCCACACCCAUGUCUAGCUAGAGUAGUGUGCUAGGUUCAGACUAGAGAAGAAACGGGGAACAAAGUGAUGAAAGAAUGAUCAUACCGAGGGAAUUCACUCAGAACUAACAAGAAUGAUAACGUGCUCCGACUGGAGCGGGUUAGGAAUUGCUGGAAGGCUCUAGGGGAAUAAAGAUAGAAUGACUUCUAAUUUUUACGUCCGUAUGAUUUGAAAUACUUGCACACAAACCACGCAAAAGCGUUCCUAGAAAUCUCAGCCUAAAAAAGGACGUUUAGUAAUUCUAAAAGGGACUACAGGAUGAAAAAUAAUAGUUUGGCCAGUUAAAAUUUAAGAUUCGACGGUGCCGUAGAUCCGCUUGGUCAUCAGGUGUUACGAGCCACACCCAUGUCUAGCUAGAAUAGUGUGUUAGGCUCAGGCUAGAGAAGAAACGGGGAACAAACUGAUGAAAGAAUGAUCAUACCGAGGGAAUUCACUCAGAACUAACAAGAAUGAUAACAUGCUCCGACUGGAGCGGUUUAGGAACUGCUGGAAGGCUCUAGGGGAAUAAAGAUGGAAUGACUUCUAAUUUUUAGGUCCGUAUGAUUUGAAAUACUUGCACACAAACCGCAAGAAAGCGUUCCUGGAAAUCUCAGCACAAAAAAGGACGUUUAGUAAUUCUAAAAGGGACUACAGCAUGAAAAACAAUAGUUCUGGCAGUUAAAGUUUGAGAUUCGAUAAUGCCGUAGAUCCGUUUGGUCAUCAGGUGUAACGAGCCACACCCAUGUCUAGCUAGAGUAGUGUGCUAGGCUCAGACUAGAGAAGAAACGGGGAACAAAAUGAUGAAAGAAUGAUUAUACCGAGGGAAUUCACUCAGAACUAACAAGAAUGAUAACGUGCUCCGACUGGAGCGGUUUAGGAACUGCUGGAAGGCUCUAGGGGAAUAAAGAUGGAAUGACUUCAAAUUUUUAGGUCUGUAUGAUUUGAAAUACUUGCACACAAACCGCAAGAAAGCGUUCCUGGAAAUCUCAGCCCAAAAAUGGACGUUUAGUAAUUCUAAAAGGGACUAUAGGAUGAAAAACAAUAGUUCUGGCAGUUAAAGUUUGAGAUUCGAUAAUGUCGUAGAUCCGUUCGGUCAUCAGGUGUAACGAGCCACACCCAUGUCUAGCUAGAGUAGUGUGCUAGGCUCAGACUAGAGAAGAAACGGGGAACAAACUGAUGAAAGAAUGAUCAUACCGAGGGAAUUCACUCAGAACUAACAAGAAUGAUAACGUGCUCCGACUGGAGCGGUUUAGGAACUGCUGGAAGGCUCUAGGGGAAGAAAGAAGGAAUGACUUCUAAUUUUUAGGUCCGUAUGAUUUGAAAUACGUGCACACAAACCGCGCGAAAGCGUUCCUGGAAAUCUCAGCCCAAAAAAGGACGUUUAGUAUUCUAAAAGGGACUACAGAAUGAAAAACAAUAGUUUUGGCAGUUAAAGUUUGAGAUUCGACGGUGCCGUAGAUCCGUUUGGUCAUCAGGUGUUACGAGCCACACCCAUGUCUAGCUAGAAUAGUGUGCCAGGCUCAGGCUAGAGAAGAAAAGGGGAACAAACUGAUGAAAGAAUGAUCAAACCGAGGGAUUUCACUCAGAACUAACAAUAAUGAUAACGUGCUCCGACUGGAGCGGUUUAGGAACUGCUGGAAGGCUCUAGGCGAAUAAAGAUGGAAUGACUUCUAAUUUUUACGUCCGUAUGAUUUUAAAUACUUGCACACAAACCACGCAAAAGCGUUCCUGGAAAUCUCGGCCUAAAAAGGACGUUUAGUAAUUCUAAAAGGGACUACAGGAUGAAAAAUAAUAGUUUGGGCAGUUAAAAUUUGAGAUUCGACGGUGCCGUAGAUCCGUUUGGUCAUCAGGUGUUACGAGCCACACCCAUGUCUAGCUAGAAUAGUGUGUUAGGCUCAGGCUAGAGAAGAAACAGGGAACAAACUGAUGAAAGAAUGAUCAUACCAAGGGAAUUCACUCAGAACUAACAAGAAUGAUAACGUGCUCCGACUGGAGCAGUUUAGAAACUGCUGGAAGGCUCUAGGGGAAUAAAGAUGGGAUGACUUCAAAUUUUUAGGUCCGUAUGAUUUGAAAUACUUGCACACAAACCGCGCGAAAGCGUUCCUGGAAAUCGCAGCCCAAAAAAGGACGUUUAGUAAUUCUAAAAGGGACUACAUGAUGAAAAACAAUAGUUUUGGCAGUUAAAGUUUGAGAUUCGUCGGUGCCGUAGAUCCGUUUGGUCAUCAGCUGUAACGAGCCACACCCAUGUCUAGCUAGAGUAGUGUGCUAGGCUCAGACUAGAGAAGAAAUGGGGAAAAAAGUGAUGAAAGAAUGAUCAUACCGAGGGAAUUCACUCAGAACUAACAAGAAUGAUAACAUGCUCCGACAUGAGCGAUUUAGGAACUUCUGGAAGGCUCUAGGGGAAUAAAGAUGGAAUGACUCAAAUUUUUAGGUCCGUAUGAUUUGAAAUACUUGCACACAAACCGCGAGAAAGCGUUCCUGGAAAUCUCAGCCCAAAAAAGGACAUUUAGUAAUUCUAAAAGGGACUACAGGAUGAAAAACAAUAGUUUUGGCAGUUAAAGUUUGAGAUUUGAUAAUGCCGUAGAUCCGUUUGGUCAUCAGGUGUAACGAGCCACACCCAUGUCUAGCUAGAGUAGUGUGCUAGGCUAAGACUAGAUAAGAAACCGGGAAGAAACUAAUGAAAGAAUGAUCAGACCGAGGGAAUUCACUCAGAACUAACAAUAAUGAUAACGUGCUCCGACUGGAGCGGUUUAGGAACUGCUGGAAGGCUCUAGGGGAAUAAAGAUGAAAUGACUUCUAAUUUUUAGGUUCGUAUGAUUUGAAAUACAUGCACACAAACCCCGAGAAACCGUUCCUGGAAAUCUCGGCCCAAAAAAGGAUGUUUAGUAAUUCUAAAAGGGACUACAAAAUGAAAAACAAUAGUUUUGGUAGUUAAAGUUUGAGAUUUGAUGGUGCCAUAGAUCUGUUUGGUCAUCAGGUGUUACGAGCCACACCCAUGUCUAGCUAGAAUAGUGUGUUAGGCUCAGGCUAGAAAAGAAACGGGAAACAAAGUGAUGAAAGAAUGAUCAUACCGAGGGAAUUCACUCAGAACUAACAAGAAUGAUAACAUGCUCUGACUGGAGCGGUUUAGGAACUGCUGGAAGGCUCUAGGGGAAUAAAGAUGGAAUGACUUCUAAUGUUUAGGUCCGAGGUCCGUAUGAUUUGAAAUACUUGCACAUAAACCGUGCAAAAGCGUUCCUGGAAAUCUCAGCCCAAAAAAGGACGUUUAGUAAUUCUAAAAGGGACUACAGGAUGAAAAACAAUAGUUUUGGCAGUUAAAGUUUGAGAUUCGACGGUGCCGUAGAUCCGUUCGUUCAUCAGGUGUUACGAGCCACACCCAUGUCUAGCUAGAAUAGUGUGUUAGGCUCAGGCUAGAGAAGAAACGGGGAACAAACUGAUGAAAGAAUGAUCAAACCGAGGGAAUUCACUCAGAACUAACAAUAAUGAUAACGUGCUCCGACUAGAGCGGUUUAGGAACUGCUGGAAGGCUCUAGGGGAAUAAAGAUGGAAUGACUUCUAAUUUUUAGGUCUGUAUGAUUUGAAAUACUUGCACGCAAACCGCGCGAAAGCGUUCCCGGAAAUAUCAGCCCAAAAAAGGACGUUUAGUAAUUCUAAAAGGGACUACAGGAUGAAAAACAAUAGUUUUGGCAGUUAAAGUUUGAGAUUCAACGGUGCCGUAGAUCCGUUUGGUCAUCAGGUGUUACGAGCCACACCCAUGUCUAGCUAGAGUAGUGUGCUAGGCUCAGGCUAGAGAAGAAACAGGGAACAAACUGAUGAAAGAAUGAUCAUACCGAGGGAAUUCACUCAGAACUGAUGAAAGAAUGAUCAAACCGAGGAAAUUCACUCAGAACUAACAAUAAUGAUAACAUGCUCCGACUGGAGCGGUUUAGGAACUGCUGGAAGGCUCUAGGGGAAUAAAGAUGGAAUGACUUCUAAUUUUUAGGUCCGUAUGAUUUGAAAUACGGGCACACAAACCCCGAGAAACCGUUCCUGGAAAUCUCGGCCCGAAAAAGGACGUUUAGUAAUUCUAAAAGGGACUACAAAAUGAAAAACAAUAGUUUUGGCAGUUAAAGUUUGAGAUUCGACGGUGCCGUAGACCCGUUCGGUCAUCAGGUGUAACGAGCCACACCCAUGUCUAGCUAGAGUAGUGUGCUAGGCUCAGACUAGAGAAGAAACGGGGAACAAACUGAUGAAAGAAUGAUCAUACCGAGGGAAUUCACUCAGAACUAACAAGAAUGAUAACGUGCUCCGACUGGAGCGGUUUAGGAACUGCUAGAAGGCUCUAGGGGAAGAAAGAAGGAAUGACUUCUAAUUUUUAGGUCUGUAUGAUUUGAAAUACGUGCACACAAACCGCGCGAAAGCGUUCCUGGAAAUCUCAGCCCAAAAAAGGACGUUUAGUAUUCUAAAAGGGACUACAGAAUGAAAAACAAUAGUUUUAGCAGUUAAAGUUUGAGAUUCGACGGUGCCGUAGAUCCGUCUGGUCAUCAGGUGUUACGAGCCACACCCAUGUCUAGCUAGAAUAGUGUGCUAGGCUCAGGCUAGAGAAGAAAAGGGGAACAAACUGAUGAAAGAAUGAUCAAACCGAGGGAAUUCACUCAGAACUAACAAUAAUGAUAACGUGCUCCGACUGGAGCGGUUUAGGAACUGCUGGAAGGCUCUAGGCGAAUAAAGAUGGAAUGACUUCUAAUUUUUACGUCCGUAUGAUUUGAAAUACUUGCACACAAACCACGCAAAAGCGUUCCUGGAAAUCUCGGCCUAAAAAGGACGUUUAGUAAUUCUAAAAGGGACUACAGGAUGAAAAAUAAUAGUUUGGGCAGUUAAAAUUUGAGAUUCGACGGUGCCGUAGAUCCGUUUGGUCAUCAGGUGUUACGAGCCACACCCAUCUCUAGCUAGAAUAGUGUGUUAGGCUCAGGCUAGAGAAGAAACGGGGAACAAACUGAUGAAAGAAUGAUCAUACCAAGGGAAUUCACUCAGAACUAACAAGAAUGAUAACGUGCUCCGACUGGAGCAGUUUAGAAACUCCUGGAAGGCUCUAGGGGAGUAAAGAUGGAAUGACUUCAAAUUUUUAGGUCCGUAUGAUUUGAAAUACUUGCACACAAACCGCGCGAAAGCGUUCCUGGAAAUCUCAGCCCAAAAAAGGACGUUUAGUAAUUCUAAAAGGGACUACAUGAUGAAAAACAAUAGUUUUGGCAGUUAAAGUUUGAGAUUCGUCGGUGCCGUAGAUCCGUUUGGUCAUCAGCUGUAACGAGCCACACCCAUGUCUAGCUAGAGUAGUGUGCUAGGCUCAGACUAGAGAAGAAAUGGGGAACAAAGUGAUGAAAGAAUGAUCAUACCGAGGGAAUUCACUCAGAACUAACAAGAAUGAUAACAUGCUCCGACUUGAGCGAUUUAGGAACUUCUGGAAGGCUCUAGGGGAAUAAAGAUGGAAUGACUCAAAUUUUUAGGUCCGUAUGAUUUGAAAUACUUGCACACAAACCGCGAGAAAGCGUUCCUGGAAAUCUCAGCCCAAAAAAGGACGUUUAGUAAUUCUAAAAGGGACUACAGGAUGAAAAACAAUAGUUUUGGCAGUUAAAGUUUGAGAUUCGAUAAUGUCGUAGAUCCGUUUGGUCAUCAGGUGUAACGAGCCACACCCAUGCCUAGCUAGAGUAGUGUGCUAGGCUAAGACUAGAUAAGAAACGGGGAAGAAACUGAUGAAAGAAUGAUCAGACCGAGGGAAUUCACUCAGAACUAACAAUAAUGAUAACGUGCUCCGACUGGAGCGGUUUAGGAACUGCUAGAAGGCUCUAGGGGAAUAAAGAUGGAAUGACUUCUAAUUUUUAGGUCCGUAUGAUUUGAAAUACGUGCACACAAACCCCGAGAAACCGUUCCUGGAAAUCUCGGCCCAAAAAAGUAUGUUUAGUAAUUCUAAAAGGGACUACAAAAUGAAAAACAAUAGUUUUGGCAGUUAAAGUUUGAGAUUUGAUGGUGCCGUAGAUCUGUUAGGUCAUCAGGUGUUACGAGCCACACCCAUGUCUAGCUAGAAUAGUGUGUUAGGCUCAGGCUAGAAAAGAAACGGGAAACAAAGUGAUGAAAGAAUGAUCAUACCGAGGGAAUUCACUCAGAACUAACAAGAAUGAUAACAUGCUCUGACUGGAGCGGUUUAGGAACUGCUGGAAGGCUCUAGGGGAAUAAAGAUGGAAUGACUUCUAAUGUUUAGGUCCGUAUGAUUUGAAAUACUUGCACAUAAACCGCGCAAAAGCGUUCCUGGAAAUCUCAGCCCAAAAAGGACGUUUAGUAAUUCUAGAAGGGACUACAGGAUGAAAAACAAUAGUUUUGGCAGUUAAAGUUUGAGAUUCGACGGUGCCGUAGAUCCGUUUGUUCAUCAGGUGUUACGAGCCACACCCAUGUCUAGCUAGAAUAGUGUGUUAGGCUCAGGCUAGAGAAGAAACGGGGAACAAACUGAUGAAAGAAUGAUCAAACCGAGGGAAUUCACUCAGAACUAACAAUAAUGAUAACGUGCUCCGACUAGAGCGGUUUAGGAACUGCUGGAAGGCUCUAGGGGAAUAAAGAUGGAAUGACUUCUAAUUUUUAGGUCUGUAUGAUUUGAAAUACUUGCACGCAAACCGCGCGAAAGCAUUCCCGGAAAUAUCAGCCCAAAAAAGGACGUUUAGUAAUUCUAAAAGGGACUACAGGAUGAAAAAGAAUAGUUUUGGCAGUUAAAGUUUGAGAUUCAACGGUGCCGUAGAUCCGUUUGGUCAUCAGGUGUUACAAGCCACACCCAUGUCUAGCUAGAGUAGUGUGCUAGGCUCAGGCUAGAGAAGAAACAGGGAUAAAACUGAUGAAAGAAUGAUCAUACCGAGGGAAUUCACUCAGAACUGAUGAAAGAAUGAUCAAUCCGAGGGAAUUCACUCAGAACUAACAAUAAUGAUAACGUGCUCCGAUUGGAGCGGUUUAGGAACUGCUGGAAGGCUCUAGGGGAAUAAAGAUGGAAUGACUUCUAAUUUUUAGGUCCGUAUGAUUUGAAAUACUUGCACACAAACCGCAAGAAAGCGUUCCUAGAAAUCUCAGCCCAAAAAAGGACGUUUAGUAAUUCUAAAAGGGACUACAGGAUGAAAAACAAUAGUUUUGGCAGUUAAAGUUUGAGAUUCGAUGGUGCCCUAGAUCCGUUUGGUCAUCAGGUGUUACGAGCCACACCCAUGUCUAGCUAGAAUAGUGUGUUAGGCUCAGGCUAGAGAAGAAACGGGGAACAAACUGAUGAAAGAAUGAUCAUACGGAGGGAAUUCACUCAGAACUAAGAAGAAUGAUAACGUGCUCCGACUGGAGCGGUUUAGGAACUGGUGGAAGUCUCUAGGGGAAUAAAGAUGGAAUGACUUCUAAUUUUUAGGUCUGUAUGAUUUGAAAUACUUGCGCACAAACCGCGCGAAAGCGUUCCUGGAAAUAUCAGCCUAAAAAAGGAUGUUUAGUAAUUCUAAAAGGGACUACAGGAUGAAAAACAAUAGUUUUGGAAGUUAAAGUUUGAGAUUCGACAGUGUCGUAGAUCCGUUUGGUCAUCAGGUGUUACGAGCCACACCCACGUCUAGCUAGAGUAGUGUGUUAGGCUCAGGCUAGAGAUUAAACGGGGAACAAACUGAUGAAAGAAUGAUCAAACCGAGGGAAUUCACUCACAAUAAAGAUGGAACUUCUUUCUUCCCCUAGAGCCUUCCAGCAGUUCCUAAACCGCUCCAGUCGGAGCACGUUAUCAUUCUUGUUAGUUCUGAGUGAAUUCCCUCGGUAUGAUCAUUCUUUCAUCAGUUUGUUCCCCGUUUCUUCUCUAGUCUGAGCCUAGCACACUACUCUAGCUAGACAUGGGUGUGGCUCGUUACACCUGAUGACCAAACGGAUCUACGACAUUAUCGAAUCUCAAACUUUAACUGCCAGAACUAUUGUUUUCCAUCCUGUAGUCCCUUUUAGAAUUACUAAACGUCCUUUUUUGGGCUGAGAUUUCCAGGAACGCUUUCUUGCGGUUUGUGUGCAAGUAUUUCAAAUCAUACGGACCUAAAAAUUAGAAGUCAUUCCAUCUUUAUUCCCCUAGAGCCUUCCUGCAGUUCCUAAACCGCUCCAGUCGGAGCGUGUUAUCAUUAUUGUUAGUUCUGAGUGAAUUCCCUCGGUUUGAUCAUUCUUUCAUCAGUUUGUUCCCCGUUUAAUCUCUAGCCUGAGCCUAACACACUACUCUAGCUAGACGUGUGUGUGGCUCGUAACACCUGAUGACCAAACGGAUCUACGGCACCGUCGAAUCUCAAACUUUAACUUCCAAAACUAUUGUUUUUCAUCCUGUAGUCCCUUUCAAAAUUACUAAACGUCCUUUUUUGGGCUGAGAUUUCCAGGAACGCUUUCGCGCGGUUUGUGUGCAAGUAUUUCAAAUCAUACAGACCUAAAAAUUAGAAAUCAUUCCAUCUUUAUUCCCCUAGAGACUUCCACAAGUUCCUAAACCGCUCCAGUCGGAGCACGUUAUCAUUCUUCUUAGUUCUGAGUGAAUUCCCUCCGUAUGAUCAUUCUUUCAUCAGUUUGUUCCCCGUUUCUUCUCUAGCCUGAGCCUAACACACUAUUCUAGCUAGACAUGGGUGUGGCUCGUAACACCUGAUGACCAAACGGAUCUAGGGCACCAUCGAAUCUCAAACUUUAACUGCCAAAACUAUUGUUUUUCAUCCUGUAGUCCCUUUUAGAAUUACUAAACGUCCUUUUUUGGGCUGAGAUUUCUAGGAACGCUUUCGCGCGGUUUGUGUGCAAGUAUUUCAAAUCAUACGGACCUAAAAAUUAGAAGUCAUUCCAUCUUUAUUCCCCUAGAGCCUUCCAGCAGUUCCUAAACCGCUCCAAUCGGAGCACGUUAUUAUUAUUGUUAGUUCUGAGUGAAUUCCCUCGGUUUGAUCAUUCUUUCAUCAGUUUGUUCCCCGUUUCUUCUCUAGCCCGAGCCUAAUACACUAUUCUAGCUAGACAUGGGUGUGGCUUGUAACUUCUGAUGACCAAACGGAUCUACGGCACCAUCAAAUCUCAAACUUUAAAUGCCAAAACUAUUGUUUUUCAUUCUGUAGUCCCUUUUAGAAUUACUAAACGUCCUUUUUUGGGCCGAGAUUUCUAGGAACGCUUUCUCGGGGUUUGUGUGCACGUAUUUCAAAUCAUACAGACCUAAAAAUUAGAAGUCAUUCCUGUAGGGUUUCGUAGUAAUUUCAAAAAAUUUCCUACGCACACACAGGAUCAUGUGAUGCAUAGCAACGAGGGGAGAGUAUUGUCUACGUACCCAACGCAGACCGACUGCGGAAGCGAUGACACGACGUAGAGGAAGUAGUCGUACGUCUUCACGAUCCAACCGAUCAAGUACCGAAACUACGGCACCUCCGAGUUCGAGCACACGUUCAGCUCGAUGACGAUCCCCGGACUCCGAUCCAGCAAAGUGUUGGGGAAGAGUUUCGUCAGCACGACGGCGUGGUGACGAUCUUGAUGAACUACAGCAGCAGGGCUUCGCCUAAACUCCGCUACAGUAUUAUCGAGGAAUAUGGUGGCAGGGGGCACCGCACACGGCUAAGGAAUAGAUCACGUGGAUCAACUUGUGUCAACUUGUGUGUUUGGGGUGCCUCUACCUCAGUAUAUAAAGGAGCCAAGGGGGGAGGGGGCGCCGGCCAAGAGAGAGAGGCGCAGGAGGAGUCCUACUCCUACCGGGAGUAGGACUCCCCCCCCAAUCCUAUUCCAACUAGGAUUCCCAAGGGGGAAAGAGGAUGAGGGGUGGCCGGCCACCUCUCCUAGUCCUAAUAGGACUAGGGGAAGGGGGGAGGCGCGCAUCCCCCUUGGUCUGCCCCUUUCUCCUUUCCACUAAGGCCCAUGAUGGCCCAUAUGGCUCCCGGGGGGUUCCGGUAACCUCCCGGUAACCCGGUAAAAUCCCGAUUUCACCCGGAACACUUCCGAUGUCCAAACAUAGGCUUCCAAUAUAUCAAUCUUUAUGUCUCGACCAUUUCGAGACUCCUCGUCAUGUCCGUGAUCACAUCCGGGACUCCGACCAACCUUCGGUACAUCAAAAUGCAUAAACUCAUAAUAUAACUGUCAUCGUAACCUUAAGCGUGCGGACCCUACGGGUUCGAGAACAAUGUAGACAUGACCGAGACACGUCUCUGGUCAAUAACCAAUAGCGGGACCUGGAUGCCCAUAUUGGCUCCUACAUAUUCUACGAAGAUCUUUAUCGGUUAGACCGCAUAACAACAUACGUUGUUCCCUUUGUCAUCGGUAUGUUACUUGCCCGAGAUUCGAUCGUCGGUAUCCAAUACCUAGUUCAAUCUCGUUACCGGCAAGUCUCUUUACUCGUUCCGUAAUACAUCAUCUCACAACUAACAUAUUAGUUGUAAUUCUUGCAAGGCUUAUGUGAUGUGUAUUACCGAGAGGGCCCAGAGAUACCUCUCCGACAAUCGGAGUGACAAAUCCUAAUCUCGAAAUACGCCAACCCAACAUCGACCAUUGGAGACACAUGUAGUACUCCUUUAUAAUCACCCAGUUACGUUGUGACGUUUGGUAGUACCCAAAGUGUUCCUCCGGUAAACGGGAGUUGCAUAAUCUCAUAGUCAUAGGAACAUGUAUAAGUCAUGAAGAAAGCAAUAGCAACAUACUAAACGAUCGGGUGCUAAGCUAAUGGAAUGGGUCAUGUCAAUCAGAUCAUUCUGCUAAUGAUGUGACCUCGUUAAUCAAAUAACAACUCAUUGUUCAUGGUUAGGAAACAUAACCAUCUUUGAUUAACGAGCUAGUCAAGUAGAGGCAUACUAGUGACACUUUGUUUGUCUAUGUAUUCACACAUGUAUUAUGUUUCCGGUAAAUACAAUUCUAGCAUGAAUAAUAAACAUUUAUCAUGAUUAUAAGGAAAUAAAUAAUAACAUUAUUAUUGCCUCUAGGGCAUAUUUCCUUCAAUUCCAUCUUUAUUCCCCUAGACCCUUCCAGCAGUUCCUAAACCGCUCCAGUCGGAGCACGUUAUCAUUCUUGUUAGUUCUGAGUGAAUUCCCUCGGUAUGAUCAUUCUUUCAUCAGUUUGUUCCCCAUUUCUUCUCUAGCCUGAGACUAACACACUAUUCUAGGUAGACAUGGGUGUGGCUCGUAACACCUGCUGACCAAACAGAUCUACGGCACCAUUGAAUCUCAAACUUUAACUGCCAAAACUAUUGUUUUUCAUCCUGUAGUCCCUUUUAGAAUUAUUAAACAUCCUUUUUUCGGCCGAGAUUUCCAGGAACGCUUUCUCGGGGUUUGUGUGCACGUAUUUCAAAUCAUACGGACCUAAAAUUAGAAUUCAUUCCAUCUUUAUUCCCCUAGAGCCUUCCAGCAUUUCCUAAACCGCUCCAGUCGGAGCACGUUAUCAUUCUUGUUAGUUCUGAGUGAAUUCCCUCGGUAUGAUCAUUCUUUCAUCAGUUUGUUCCCCGUUUCUUCUCUAGUCUGAGCCUAGCACACUACUCUAGCUAGACAUGGGUGUGGCUCGUUACACCUGAUGACCAAACGGAUCUACGGCACCGUCGAAUCUCAAACUUUAACUGCCAAAACUAUUGUUUUUCAUCCUGUUGUCCCUUAUAGAAUUACUAAACGUCCUUUUUGGGAUGAGAUUUCCAGGAACGCUUUCGUGUGGUUUGUGUGCAAGUAUUUCAAAUCACACGAACGUAAAAAUUUGAAGUCAUUCCAUCUUUAUUCCCCUAGAUCCUUCCAGCAGUUCCUAAACCGCUCCAGUCGGAGCACGUUAUCAUUCUUGUUAGUUCUGAGUGAAUUCCCUCGGUAUGAUCAUUCUUUCAUCAGUUUGCUCCCCAUUUCUUCUCUAGCCUAAGCCUAGCACACUACUCUAGCUAGACAUGGGUGUGGCUCAUAACACCUGAUGACCAAACGGAUCUACGGCACCUUCGAAUCUCAAACUUUAACUGCCAAAACUAUUGUUUUUCAUCCUGUAGUCCCUUUUAGAAUUAAUAACGUCCUUUUUUGGGCUGAGAUUUCUAGGAACGCUUUCGUGCAGUUUGUGUGCAAGUAUUUCAAAUCAUACGGACCUAAAAAUGAGAAGUCAUUCCAUGUUUAUUCCCCUAGAGCCUUCCAGCAGUUCCUAAACCGCUCCAGUCGGAGCAUGUUAUCAUUAUUGUUAGUUCUGAGUGAAUUCCCUCGGUUGGAUCAUUCUUUCAUCAGUUUGUUCCCCGUUUCUUCUCUAGCCUGACCCUAACACACUAUUCUAGCUAGACAUGGGUCUGGCUUGUAACACCUAUUGACCAAACGGAUCUACGGCACCAUCGAAUCUCAAACUUUAACUGCCAAAACUAUUGUUUUUCAUCCUGUAGUCCCUUUUAGAAUUACUAAACGUCCUUUUUUGGGCUGAGAUUUCCAGGAACGCUUACGCGCGGUUUGUGUGCAAGUAUUUCAAAUCAUACGGACCUAAAAAUUAGAAGUCAUUCCAUCUUUAUUCCCCUAGAGCCUUCCAGCAGUUCCUAAACCGCUCCAGUCGGAGCAUGUUAUCAUUCUUGUUAGUUCUGAGUGAAUUCCCUCGGUAUGAUCAUCCUUACAUCACUUUGUUCCCCGUUUCUUUUCUAGCCUGAGCCUAACACACUAUUCUAGCUAGACAUGGGUGUGGCUCGUAACACCUGAUGACCAAACGGAUCUAUGGCACCAUCAAAUCUCAAACUUUAACUGCCAAAACUAUUGUUUUUCAUUCUGUAGUCCCUUUUAGAAUUACUAAACGUCCUUUUUUGGGCCGAGAUUUCCAGGAACGCUUUCUCGGGGUUUGUGUGCAUGUAUUUCAAAUCAUACGGACCUAAAAAUUGAAAGUCAUUCCAUCUUUAUUCCCCUAGAGCCUUCCAGCAGUUCCUAAACCGCUCCAGUCGGAGCACGUUAUCAUUCUUGUUAGUUCUGAGUGAAUUCCCUCGGUAUGAUCAUUCUUUCAUCAGUUUGUUCCCCGUUUCUUCUCUAGUCUGAGCCUAGCACAUUACUCUAGCUGGACAUGGGUGUGGCUCGUUACACCUGAUGACCAAACGGAUCUACGGCAUUAUCGAAUCUCAAACUUUAACUGCCAGAACUAUUGUUUUUCACCCUGUAGUCCCUUUUAGAAUUACUAAACGUCGUUUUUUGGGCUGAGAUUUCGAGGAACGCUUUCUCGCGGUUUGUGUGCAAGUAUUUCAAAUCAUACAGACCUAAAAAUUUGAAGUCAUUCCAUCUUUAUUCCCCUAGAGCCUUCCAGAAGUUCCUAAACCGCUCCAGUCGGAGCACGUUAUCAUUCUUGUUAGUUCUGAGUGAAUUCCCUCGGUAUGAUCAUUCUUUCAUCACUUUGUUCCCUUUUUCUUCUCUAGUCUGAGCCUAGCACACUACUCUAGCUAGACAUGGGUGUGGCUCGUUACACCUGAUGACCAAACGGAUCUACGGCACCGUCGAAUCUCAAACUUUAACUGCCAAAACUAUUGUUUUUCAUCAUGUAGUCCCUUUUAGAAUUACUAAAUGUCCUUUUUUGGGCUGAGAAUUCCAGGAUCACUUUUGCGCGGUUUGUGUGCAAGUAUUUCAAAUCAUACGGACCUAAAAAUUUGAAGUCAUUCCAUCUUUAUUCCCCUAGAGCCUUCCAGCAGUUUCUAAACUGCUCCAGUCGGAGCACGUUAUCAUUCUUGUUAGUUCUGAGUGAAUUCCCUCGGUAUGAUCAUUCUUUCAUCAGUUUGUUCCCCGUUUCUUCUCUAGCCUGAGCCUAACACACUAUUCUAGCUAGACAUGGGUGUGGCUCGUAACACCUGAUGACCAAACGGAUCUACGGCACCGUCGAAUCUCAAAUUUUAACUGCCCAAACUAUUAUUUUUCAUCCUGUAGUCCCUUUUAGAAUUACUAAACGUCCUUUUUUAGGCUGAGAUUUCCAGGAACGCUUUCGCGUGGUUUGAGUGCCAGUAUUUCAAAUCAUACGGACGUAAAAAUUAGAAGUCAUUCCAUCUUUAUUCCCCUAGAGCCUUCCAGCAGUUCCUAAACCGCUCCAGUCGGAGCACGUUAUCAUUCUUGUUGGUUCUGAGUGAAUUCCCUUGGUAUGAUCAUACUUUCAUCAGUUCGUUCCCCAUUUCUUCUCUAACCUGAGCCUAACAUACUAGUGUAGCUAGACAUGGGUGUGGCUCGUAACACCUGAUGACCAAACGGAUCUACGGCAACGUCGAAUCUCAAACUUUAACUGCCAAAACUAUUGUUUUUCAUCCUAUAGUCCCUUUUAGAAUUACUAAACAUCCUUUUUUGGGCUGAGAUUUCUAGGAACGCUGUCGCGCGGUUUGUGUGCAAGUAUUUCAAAUCAUACAGACCUAAAAAUUUGAAGUCAUUCCAUCUUUAUUCGCCUAGAGCCUUCCAGAAGUUCCUAAACUGCUCCAGUCGGAGCACGUUAUCAUUCUUGUUAGUUCUGAGUGAAUUCCCUCGGUUUGAUCACUCUUUCAUCAGUUUGUUCCCUGUUUCUUCUCUAGUCUGAGCCUAGCACACUAUUCUAGCUAGACAUGGGUGUGGCUCGUAACACUUGAUGACCAAACGGAUCUACGGCACCGUCGAAUCUCAAACUUUAACUGCCAAAACUAUUGUUUUUCAUCCUGUAGUCCCUUUUAGAAUUACUAAACAUCCUUUUUUGGGCUGAGAUUUCCAGGAACGCUUUCGCGCGGUUUGUGUGCAAGUAUUUCAAAUCAUACGGUCCUAAAAAUUAGAAGUCAUUCCAUCUUUAUUCCCCUAGAGCCUUCUAGCAAUUCCUAAACCGCUCCAGUCGGAGCAUGUUAUCAUUAUUGUUACUUCUGAGUGAAUUCCCUCGGUUUGAUCAUUCUUUCAUCAGUUUGUUCCCUGUUUCUUCUCUAGCCUGAGCCUAGCACACUAUUCUAGCUAGACAUGGGUGUGGCUCGUAACACCUGAUGAUCAAACGGAUCUACGGCACCGUCGAAUCUCAAACUUUAACUGCCAAAACUAUUGUUUUUCAUCCAGUAGUCCCUUUUAGAAUUACUAAACGUCCUUUUUUGGGCUGAGAUUUCCAAGAACGCUUUCGCGUGGUUUGUGUGCAAGUAUUUCAAAUCAUACAGACCUGAAAAUUAGAAGUCAUUCCAUCUUUAUUCCCCUAGAGCCUUCCAGCAGUUCCUAAACCGCUCCAGUCGGAGCAUGUUAUCAUUCUUGUUAGUUCUUGGUGAAUUCCCUCGGUAUGAUCAUUCUUUCAUCACUUUGUUCCCCGUUUCUUUUCUAGCCUGAGCCUAACACACUAUUCUAGCUAGACAUGGGUGUGGCUCGUAACACCUGAUGACCAAACAGAUCUACGGCACCGUCAAAUCUCAAACUUUAAUUGCCAAAACUAUUGUUUUUCAUUCUGUAGUCCCUUUAGAAUUACUAAAUGUCCUUUUUUUGCCGAGAUUUCCAGGAACGCUUUCUCGGGGUUUGUGUGCACGUAUUUCAAAUCAUACGUACCUAAAAAUUAGAAGUCAUUCCAUCUUUAUUCCCGUAGAGCCUUCCAGCAGUUCCUAAACCACUCAAGUCGGAGCACGUUAUCAUUCUUGUUAGUUCUGAGUGAAUUCCCUCGAUAUGAUCAUUCAUUCAUCAGUUUGUUCCCCGUUUCUUCUCUAGUCUGAGCCUAGCACACUACUCUAGCUAGACAUGGGUGUGGCUCGUUACACCUGAUGACCAAACGAAUCUAUGGCACCGUCGAAUCUCAAACUUUAACUUCCAAAACUAUUGUUUUUCUUCCCGUAGUCCCUUUCAGAAUUACUAAACGUCCUUUUUUGGGCUGAGAUUUCCAGGAACGCUUUCGCGCAGUUUGUGUGCAAGUAUUUCAAAUCAUACGGACCUAAAAAUUAGAAGUCAUUCCAUCUUUAUUCCCCUAGAGCCUUCCACCAGUUCCUAAACCACUCCAGUCGGAGCACAUUAUCAUUCUUCUUAGUUCUGAGUGAAUUCCCUCGGUAUGAUCAUUCUUUCAUCAGUUUGUUCCCCGUUUCUUCUCUAGCCGGAGCCUAACACACUAUUCUAGCUAGACAUGGGUGUGGCUUGUAACACCUGAUGACCAAACGGAUCUAGGGCACCGUCGAAUCUCAAACUUUAACUGCCAAAACUAUUGUUUUUCAUCCUGUAGUCCCUUUUAGAAUUACUAAAUGUCCUUUUUUGCGCUGAGAAUUCUAGGAACGCUUUCGCGCGGUUUGUGUGCAAGUAUUUCAAAUCAUACGGACCUAAAAAUUAGAAGUCAUUCCAUCUUUAUUCCCCUAGAGCCUUCUAGCAGUUCCUAAACCGCUCAAGUCGGAGCACGUUAUCAUUAUUGUUAGUUCUGAGUGAAUUCCCUCGGUUUCAUCAUUCUUUCAUCAGUUUGUUCCCCGUUUCUUCUCUAACCUGAGCCUAACACACUAUUCUAGCUAGACAUGGGUGUGGCUUGUAACUGCUGAUGACCAAACGGAUCUACGGCACCAUCAAAUCUCAAACUUUAAAUGCCAAAACUAUUGUUUUUCAUUUUGUAGUCCCUUUUAGAAUUACUAAACGUCCUUUUUUGGGCUGAGAUUUCUAGGAACGCUUUCUCAGGGUUUGUGUGCACGUAUUUCAAAUCAUACGGACCUAAAAAUUAGAACUCAUUCCAUCUUUAUUCCCCUAGACCCUUCCAGCAGUUCCUAAACCGCUCCAGUCGGAGCACGUUAUCAUUCUUGUUAGUUCUGAGUGAAUUCCCUCGGUAUGAUCAUUCUUUCAUCAGUUUGUUCCCCGUUUCUUCUCUAGCCUUAGCCUAACACACUAUUCUAGCUAGACAUGGGUGUGGCUCGUAACACCUGCUGACCAAACAGAUCUACGGCACCAUUGAAUCUCAAACUUUAACUGCCAAAACUAUUGUUUUUCAUCCUGUAGUCCCUUUUAGAAUUAUUAAACAUCCUUUUUUCGGCCGAGAUUUCCAGGAACGCUUUCUCGGGGCUUGUGUGCACGUAUGUAGGAUCGAAAGUAUGUCUAGAGGGGGGUGAUUAGACUACUUGACCAAUUAAAAACUUAACCUUUUCCCAAUUUUAGUUCUUGGCAGAUUUUAGCUAUUUUAGGACAAGUCAAGCAAUCAUCACACAAUUCAAGCAAGCAUGCAAAGAGUUUAUGGGCAGUGGAAAGUAAAGCAUGCAACUUGCAAGAGUAUAAAUGGAAGGGUUUGGAGAAGUCAAACGCUAUUGGAGACACGGAUGUUUUUCCCGUGGUUCGGAUAGGUGGUGCUAUCCUACAUCCAUGUUGAUGGAGACUUCAACCCACGAAGGGUAACGGUUGCGCGAGUCCACACAGGGCUCCACCCAAGGGCAACGGUUGCGCGAGUCCACGAAGGGCUCCACCCACGAAGGGUCCACGAAGAAGCAACCACCCACAAAGGGUCCACGAAGAAGCAACCUUGUCUAUCCCACCAUGGCCAUCGCCCACGAAGGACUUGCCUCACUAGCGGUAGAUCUUCACGAAGUAGGCGAUCUCCUUGCCCUUACAAACUCCUUGGUCCAACUCCACAAUCUUGUCGGAGGCUCCCAAGUGACACCUAGCCAAUCUAGGAGACACCACUCUCCAAGAAGUAACAAAUGGUGUGUAGGUAAUGAACUCCUUGCUCUUGUGCUUCAAAUGAUAGUCUGCCCAACACUCAACUCUCUCUCUCAUAGGAUUUGGAUUUGGUGGAAAGAAGAUUUUGAGUGGAAAGCAACUUGGGAAGGCUAGAGAUCAAGAUUCAUAUGGCAGGAAUGGAAUGUCUUGGUCUCAACACAUGAGUAGGUGGUUCUCUCUCAGAACAUAUGAGUUGGAAUGGUGUGUGUGUUCUGAUGGCUCUCUCACUGAAUGAGAAAGAGGUGGAGGGGUAUAUAUAGCCUCCACACAAAAUCCAACCGUUACACACAAUUUACCAAUCUCGGUGGGACCGAAUCAGAAAACUCGGUCUGACCGAAAUAGUAAACCUAGUGACCGUUAGGAAUUUCGGUGGGACUGACAUGCAACUCGGUAGGACCGAUUCGGUUAGGGUUUGGGCAUAACGUAAUCUCGGUGAGACCGAUUACACAAACUCGGUGGGACCGAAUUUGGUAAUUAGCUAACCAGAGAGUUGGUCAGGCAAACUCGGUGGGACCGAUUUGCUCUUUUGGUGAGACCGAGUGGAACUCGGUGAGAUCGAAAGUUACAAAGGGGAAACACUGAGUUUACAUUGCAAUCUCGGUAGGACCUAUUCGCUCUUUCGGUGGGACCGAAAAGUUACAAAAGGGAAACAGAGAGUUUGCAACCCCAUCUCGGUGGGAACGAGAUCCUUAACGGUAGAACCGAAUUGCUAGGGUUUGGCAGUGGCUAAUGACAAGUGAAACUCGGUGGCGCCGGAUAGGAAGAAUCGGUAGGACCGAGUUUGGCUUAGAGUUUAGGUCAUAUGUGGAUAUGGGAAAGUAGUUGAGGGUUUUUGGAGCAUAUCACUAAGCACAUGAAGCAAGAGGCUCAUUAAGCAACACCUCAUCCCUCCUUAAUAGUAUUGGCUUUUCCUAUGGACUCAAUGUGAUCUUGGAUCACUAAAAUAUAAAAUGAAGAGUCUUGAGCUUUUGAGCUUGAGCCAAUCCAUUGUCCUUAGCAUUUUGAGGGUUCCACUUUCACAUCCAUGCCAUGCCAAUCAUUGAGCUUUCCUGAAAUAAUUAUCUUGUAAUAGUAUUAGCUCAAUGAGCUAUAUGUUGUUAUGAAUUACCAAAACCACCUAGGGAUAGUUGCACUUUCAGUCUCUCCCUUUUUGGUAAUUGAUGACAACAUAUAUAUCAAAGCUUCGACAAAAGAUAAUAAGCAUGAAAUAUAUCAUCGCUUUGAGAAGUAUGUGAUAAGUAAGAGCUCCCCCUAAAUUUGUGCAUAUUUAAAAUUUGCUUUGGACUGCAAAUGCACAAAAAGUUAGAGUCAUGGGUUACUCUUCCAUGUCACAUACAUCUUGGUGGAGCGCUCAAAAUGAUGAGAUUGAAAUGCAUGCACUCAUCACCAAGAAUAGUGAAUGAUCACAAACGAUAGAUAGAAUGGUAAUAUUUAAGCAAGCAUUAAGCAAACAUUAAGUGUAGCUUAUGAUCAAACACAUGAUCAUCGAUGUCUCACAAGCAUAAGGACGUAGUAUCUCACACACAAGCAAACAAGGUUCGAAAAACCACCAAAUAAAGCAAGAGAGAAAAGCAACACUCUCUCUCUCUCUCGAAGCCUAUGAUCUAUACAUAUUCUCCCCCUUUGGCAACAAGUUACCAAAAAGUUCCUAGAAAAUGCAUAGCACUAGAUCGACGCUCGGGCUUGAUCUUCAGGUGGUGGUGGAGUCCGGAUCACUCCAAGGACGAAGGCUUCAGUAGAUGUUGAAGUAGUCGCUGGAGUUGGAGCUGAAGUAGAUGCUGGAGCUGAGGCUGUAGCUGGUGCUGAAGUGGUGGCUCUGGUGUCAGCGACUGGCACGGCAGACGACCUCGGGCCUCGUGGCACUCUAGAAAAAGCAUGAGUCGUGGUCCUGCCUCUCCUCUCGUUCAUGUCCUCCUGGAGCUGCUCCACGGCAGACUGAACUUCCGUUACCUUGACGUCCAAGUCAUAGAACUUCUGUUCCAUGAUCCUCUCUAGGCUCUGCUGAUUCUUAGUGAGGGUGGCUAGACUUUACUCAAUUCUCAGCGUGGAUGCAAUCAAGUAACCAAGCUGCUCUAGUUUGGUCUUCAAGAAGUACUUAGAUGCCUCCUCUUGAGUGGGCAUCUUGGCAGCUUUCUCCUUCCUCGCCUUCUCCUUCUUUGCAAAUGCUUGAGCAGAUGAUGGUUCAUUCUCAGUCAUAACAACUUCAUUGUCCUCGAAAUCUGGACGGAUGGGUAGGUGUUCCUUAUCCAACAAAUAUACGCCCGUGCCCAUCUUGGAGUUGAUGAGCUCCUGAAUCUGAGGGGCAUAUCCACAGCUCCUCUUCUGAUCUGCCGCAGUCCUUUUGAUCGUUUCCACUAUGAGGCUCAUAACUUUGAAUUUUUUAGGCACGUCAAAAACAUGAAGCAAAUUGAUCGCGUGACCUCUGAUCAUCUUGUGAUCUCCAAACUUGGGCAGAAGGGUGUGCCUAAGGAUCCAGUUGAUCGUAGGAAAUCCUGAGAGCAGAUAAUGCACUGAGCCAAACUUGAACAUGUCAAGUGCUUCAUUCGGAAUCUCCUUGUACAUGUUGGACAUGGAGUUGUGGUCCAUCUUUUUCUUGGCAUAAAUGUCCAAGUCAUCUACUUGCUCCUCUGGGGCAUUGGUCAGCUUCGCCCAUUCUUCAACAGUAGAGUGGUACCUCGUACCCUCAGACAUCCAUGUAAUCCUCCCAUCUGGAUAAAAGUGAGCUGUGGAGUAGAACUGCAAGAUGAGUUCCUCGUUCCACUUUGUGAGCUUCUGCCCAACAAAGUCCUCUACUCCACAUGCCUUGAAGUUGUCCUGAACUCCUGGGUAGUACUCUUCAUUGUCCUUGAUAUAGGUCCAGUCGACCCAUCUCAUGUCACAUACGAUUGGCUUCUUGUCAAGUAGCACUGUCUCAUAGAAAUCUUGCUGCUCCUUGGUAUGAAAUCUGUAGUCCACUGCAGUCCUUCUCCUAGAAGCAUAUGGAUCUGCUUCUCUCCACUUCAUGAGCCCUGAGUCUCUCCUGAGCUUCAUAUCCUCAGCCACAGGAUGAGCAUCGUUGUGGUCUGGGAUCUUGGGCUUGAGCUUCCGAAGGACAUUCUCUUCCUCAUCCUCAGCAACAGUCUCAGGCACUGGGGCCUUGUUCUUCUCAGCUGCAGGAAUGCUCCGUGUGUUCCUCUUUGGUGCACUCUUAGGCUUAGAUGCAGCCUUAGGUGCUUCCUUGGGCUUGGAUGCAGCUCCCCCUGACCUUAUGGCAUCUCCCAUAAGUUUGGCUGCCUUGGGCGCUGGUGCAGCUGCCUCUUCUUCCUCCUCCUCUUCUACCAUGAUGGAGGCUUUCCCAAGCACUCUGGCUACAGUCUUCUUCACUCUUUCUUUCCUAUUCUUGCCCUCAGCUGCAACGGGCUCAAUGGGAGCAGGCUUCUCAUUUAAGGCUCUAGCCUUUGACAUGGGUUGCCUGCUUGUUGGCCUCUUGAUUUUCAGGCCUGGCUUUGAGCCUUGAGCUGGCUCAACUCUCUUGGAGGUGGCCUCUUCCUUUGCCACAUAGUCCUCAUCUUCUGAAUCUGAGGUUUUCUUCUUCCUUUGUCUCGUGGCAGCCUUUGGCAAAUUGCUAGGAGUGCUCCUGCUGCCUUCAUCAGAUGAACUGGAGGGACUAGUGCCCUCACUCAUCACCACUUGCUGCUCUGACAAGUUUUGGCUGUCACUGUGGUCUGACAUGCUGCAAACUGAUUGCUGACCCUGUGAAUAGAUUAUAGAAGAGAUAGAGUGGAUGAGCAUCACAAAAUGCAGAGAUUUUUUGCAAAAGAAUGAUCCAAAAACUUAGUUUUAGUUUCCCACUGAAAUCAUCUCGGAUCUACCGAUUUUAAAACUCGGUGAUACCGAAGCAGUUUUGGAACCUAAAGUAGUGAACUCGGUAGGACCGAGUCACAGUUCGGUGGCACGGAGACUGCUAGGGUUUCACUGAGUUCAAAAAUCGGUCACACCGAUAAGUAAUUCUUGGUCAGACCGAGUCUCACUUGUGCAAUGGCAAGAGCCAAAUCGGUGGGACCGAGUUUUUCAACUCGGCGGGUCCGAGAUGGUUUCGGCGGAAACCUAAACCUAGAAUUUUCGAAUCAAACCUAAUCUAUGAGUGUUUUGACUGGAUAGAAGUUUAUCAAACGUGGCCAGAAACAAUAUGAUCACAAUGUGCUAGGAAUCAGAUUGAGGAAUAGCACAGAGAUCAAGUCCAUACCCUAGUUCCGCGUGGACUUGCUACGGCGGCAACGGCUGGGCAGAAAUCCCAUUGACGGCGAUGGAGACCAGCGACUGGAGGCUGCUGGCGGCGAGAAGACAAUCCGGAGACCUCAAGGGCAGAGCAGGCUAUCGCGCGGGCGAAGGGGUUCGGAGAAAUUUCCAAAUUUUGCCCGUGACUAUAUAUAGCCCGACCCUGUCGGUGUGACCGAGUGGAACAACUCGGUGGCACCGAGAUUCACAACUGCGUGCAGUUAUUGAAACUCAGUGUGACCGAAAGGUUCAAAUCGGUUGCACCGAGAUUGAAAACUUAGAUCAACUUAAUGAUCUCGGUAUGACCGAAAGUGGAGUAUCGGUCAGACCGAGAAUCAUAAAGAGGUUUUGGAAGUUUAAGCCUAUGACGAAUCGGGAACUCCGAGCGCUCCUCACACAGAGUGGUUCGAAUCUGACUUGAUCAAAUUUUGUGAUGCAGCAUGAAUAGAGUUUGAGACGAGAAAAGCAUAGAUAGCUAGAGGAGGUUCUUAGGCAUUCUUUUCCAUCCACUUGGCAAAAGAAGAUAAAGCCGAACAAUCAAAGCAACAAGUGGAUGUCCUCGAAUGAGUAAAAUAUGCAAUCAGCAUGCUCACACAAUAAGAUAGCAAAUGAAAUAUGUGGCAAAGCAUGCACAACCAAUUCUAGCAUCUAUCAAGUAAUUUGCGAUGACUAGGUCAUCUAUAUAUGAGUAUAUUGACUUAGGAGUCAAGUGAGAACACUUGAUCGUAGGUCAUACUCAUCGUUUAAGCUCAAGUGGGGUUACCACUUUUACAUAAAGCAUUGUUUUGUUCACAUCUUUAGAGUUGCUUUAGCUCAGUCUUAGAGUAAAGCUCCCCCUAGAUGUGAUAUCCCCCCUAAGAGGGAUGAACUAACCUUGGGUUUUGUCGACGAUGACUUCAUGUAGACAUUUAAGAUGUGGAUGCUCAAUGUUGAUGUAGAUAUCUUGGAGCUAUCCAUUUGAGUGAAUUGCACUUUCAAUACCUACAUGGGUUAGUCCCACAAGGAACAAACAAGGAUAUCCAUAGACAUAGAGUGAUGCACACAAAAGAUGAUGUCCAUGAAAACUUUUAGGUUACCUUGUCCCUUGUCUUACCAACAAGAGGGUUUGUGACUCCUUGAACUAGUGCAAGAUGUGGAAGUUGAUUGCACUUGUUCUUGCCAAAAUGAUAAGAGUGAAGUAUGUUGGCAGAGUCACCGUCAAGAACUUUCUAGUUCUUCUUCUUUUGGAUCCACAUCAUCUUGAUGGGAAUCCUUGGAGUUGUAGUCGUACUUGAUGAAGUGGAACUUGAAGUAGUCUUGGGAAUCCACUUGACUAAGGUCUUAGGAGCUUCUUCAAAUGCAUCAAUUUCCUCUUGAAGCUUGUCCUUACCUUUUUGCUCGUAGUCUUGUGGUGGAAGAUCAUCUUGAGCUUGUGUCCCCUUGAAAAACUUCUCUUGUUGAGGGACAAACUUUGUCUUGGGGUAUUGAUCUUCUUCCCAUUCAACUCCAUUGGCAUUGAACUUUCGUUCAAAGCCAAUACCUUGAUUCUUCCGGUGCAUUCCUUGCUUGCGCACAAUUUCCUCAAAUUGCUUACUCCCGGCAAGGCUUUUGUACACUCCUUUCUCUAUAAUUCCCUUCAAUAAGCUAUUUUCUUGCUCAAGUGUAACUUGGCUAAGAGAAUCAUUAGUGGAAUCAAGAGAACUACUAGAAGCAACAAUAUUGGAUUUAGCAUGAUCAUUGUUACUACUAGCGGAAGAAUCUUUCUUGUUAGAUUUGACUUGAGGCAUGUAAGUGGAUAAGAGUAAACGCUUGGCAAUGUAAGAAGAACUUUUCUUGCGGAGAUCAUCAUUGAUUGCCUUUAAGAACUCAUGCUCUUGCUCAAGAUUGAGCUUUUCAAAGAGUAGCUUCUCAUGAGCUCUUAAAAGUUCUCGAUGAUCUUCGAAGAUAGUGUCAUGAGCUAACUUAAGAGUUUUUAGUUCUUUAGUUAGAGCCUCAAUAUUCUCCUUAUCAUUGUCAUUCGUUUUAUCUUGAUUAGCAUGAUUAAUUGGUCUUUCAUCAUAGUAUUCAUCACUAGAGUUGUCACCAAGCAAAUCAUCACCUAACAAGUCAUCUUCAUCACUAUUGAAAUCAACAUACUCGGGGUGUGUUACCUUAGGACCUUUGGCCAUGAGGCUUCCAAUUCCUUCAUUUGGUGAGUCAAAUAUGUCGUAGGAGUUGGUUGACACAAGUGCUAGACCGGCAACACCUUCAUCUUGAGUAUCUUCGGAGUCGGAGUGAUAACUUCUCUCGGAGUGGCUGUCGGAGUCGGAGUCGGAUACCCAUUCACCAACAUGAGCUUGAUGUCUUCGUCUUGUGUAGCUCCUUGAUGAUUUUUCCUUCCUUUCCGAAUCCUUGCUUCUCCGUGAGUAUCUUCGUUCAUAACGAUCAUCUCUACUCCUUCUCUCUCUUGGUGGUGAUCCUUUGCUUCUUCCUUUUGGAGAAUCUUCUCUUCUCUUGUAGGGAGCCGUACACUCGUUGGAAUAGUGUCCGGGUCUUCCACAAUUGUAACAGUUUCUCUCUCGACUAGAAGAUCUUUUGUCAUUGUAGGACCUUGACUUGGAGCUUCUAUCUUUGCUUCUACUCUUGUAGAACUUGUUGAAGUUCUUCACCAUUAAGCUCAAUUCUUCAUUGAAGUCUUGUUUCUCACUUGAUGAUGUAGGGGCUUCACAUGAGACUUUAUAGGCACCACUUGACUUGUUGUGAAGUUCCUCUUUAUCCUUAAGUGACAUCUCAUGAGCAACAAUUCUUCCAAUCACUUCUGUUGGCUUGAGAUCUUUGUAAUUGGGCAUCAUUUGGAUCAAUGUGCACACGGUAUCAUAUUUUCCAUCCAAGGCUCUUAAGAUCUUCUUGAUGAUGAAUCUAUCGGUCAUCUCUUCACUUCCUAAGCCGGCAAUCUCAUUUGUGAUGAGAGCAAGCCUAGAGUACAUUUCAGCGACACCUUCACCAUCCUUCAUCUUGAACUUGUCAAGUUGGCUUUGAAGCACAUCCAACUUGGAUUCCUUGACGGAGUCGGUACCUUCGUGCAUAUCAAUCAAAGUGUCCCAAAUUUCCUUUGCAUUCUCAAGGCGGCUGAUUUUGUUGAAUUCUUCUGGGCAUAAUCCGUUGAAGAGAAUAUCACAAGCUUGAGCAUUGUAUUGCAACAUCUUCAACUCAUCCGUGGUAGCUUCACGGUUUGGUUCUCUCCCAUCAAAGAAGUCACCUUGCAGACCAACACACACAAUAGCCCAAACAGCGGGGUUAUGUCCAAGAAUAUGCAUUUUCAUUUUAUGCUUCCAACUAGCAAAAUUAGUACCAUCAAAGUAAGGACCUCUACGGUGAUAAUUUCCCUUGCUAGACGCCAUACUCUCCUAGGUUGUGAAACCAAGGCUAUGACCACCAAAAGCUAUGGAGAUCAAGCAAAUGGAGACCAAAGCUCUGAUACCACUUGUAGGAUCGAAAGUAUGUCUAGAGGGGGGGUGAUUAGACUACUUGACUAAUUAAAAACUUAACCUUUUCCCAAUUUUAGUUCUUGGUAGAUUUUAGCUAUUUUAGGACAAGUCAAGCAAUUAUCACACAAUUCAAGCAAGCAUGCAAAGAGUUUAUGGGCAGCGGAAAGUAAAGCAUGCAACUUGCAAGAGUAUAAAUGGAAGGGUUUGGAGAAGUCAAACUCUAUUGGAGACACGGAUGUUUUUCCCGUGGUUCGGAUAGGUGGUGCUAUCCUACAUCCACGUUGAUGGAGACUUCAACCCACGAAGGGUAACGGUUGCGCGAGUCCACACAGGGCUCCACCCAAGGGCAACGGUUGCGCGAGUCCACGAAGGGUCCACGAAGAAGCAACCACCCACAAAGGGUCCACGAAGAAGCAACCUUGUCUAUCCCACCAUGGCCAUCGCCCACGAAGGACUUGCCUCACUAGCGGUAGAUCUUCACGAAGUAGGCGAUCUCCUUGCCCUUACAAACUCCUUGGUUCUGUGCUCCUAGGCAUUUUAUGAGAGAGCGAGGUGGGUCAUGUAACAACAAAGUAGUACAUAUUAAUAUUCAACUAUUGUACUUGCUGGCUACAAGCGUAGCUAUAUGUGACGUGACAACAUCAUAUAGCCAGCAGCCGGCUAUAUUAUUAACCAUGCUCUGAGUCAAUGACAUGCGGACGUUAAAUGUGGCUGGCCCACAUGUCAUUCUCAUGGUGGUGGUGUGGUUCACGACUCACUCGUUCGAGAUGAACCGGCCGGUGGUGGCGUGGUCGUGGCAAGGGUGCCACAGCUGGGUGUCGGGGCGUUAUGAGGCGUAGAUGGCCACACCGGCGGGUACUACCUGUAGUACAGAAGUACUCCAGCUGAGGAUUGAUGCCCAGGACGAAAUGUGUCACAGCCGCUGCAUGAAAAUUCAAUGAUGCGGGACGUGUGGUGUUAUGGGUUCGUGCGGCGUCGUGGGAAUCGCGUGUGGCUGUGGUAGAAACUUGAUGCUCGCCGCAUUUAAAGUGGCCCACAGUCAUGCACACAAAGGCAGAGAGGCGGUGCGGCCGAGAGGGGUGAGGCGCACGUCGGGGGACGUGGUGCCAUGGGUUGGAGCGGCGUCAUGGGAAUCGCGAGUGGCAGUGGAUGAAACAUGAUGGUCGUCGUAGUUGAACUUCCAUGGACAAGCUGUCAUUUCUACGGACACAUGCAUUGCAUACCGAUCACUAGAAGGAGUAGUAGAGAAAGCUAGGCGGAUAAAUAGUUCCUUAUAGUCAAGCGGACCCACGCUACUACCUGUUCCAAAGACAUGCACACCAUCGAAAUAGUCCAUCAAUAUCAAUAUACAUAGAGAGGGAAUAUUUUUUUACAAGAGAGGAAAUAGUUCAUCCAUCCAUAAUGCCCUGCUGCUGGUGCAACAUCUUCUUCUUCUUCUUCUUCUUCUUCUUAUUCUUAUUCUUCUUCUUCUUCUUCUCAUUUUCUGUGGGAGACGGCUUCGCAACAAGCUCUCUGGACCUUGCAGCUAUCUCGAAACUCAUACGGGCACCGAGGGCAGCAUAUUUUAUCUGCUCGUACGUUAAGGGAUAAUUCUCCCAUCCAGACGACCUUAAUGCCAGCGUCUCGCCACCCUUCUAAAGAUUUGUUCCUAGCACAAAAUUUGCUACGUUGAAUAGGGAUGGUGUCGGUUUAUCACAAUCUUCUAUAGGAAUUUUUAUUCUAGUUUGUAGGUCAGCGAUGCUUUUCAAAUCAAGGUUGUACGGCUCCAACUUCUGUUUGUCCCCUGCGAUGGCUGCCCCACAGAAGCAUAUGUCCUCCCGAGACAAGAAAUCAUGAAGCUCACCUGGUAUAGAGGGCGCGUGGAUGAUGUGGUACACCAAAACAUCAUCUUUGAGGCACAGCUGAAGGACUGCGGCGUGUUGGAUCUUCCUAGUGGCACGCUCCAUGUACUCUGCGUCGAGACCGAUGACAUUCAUCUCCACCUUUUGGAGGGAGUUGGAUACAUUGUUGAUCCACUUCCAAACAACCCUUGGGUGGUCGGUGAUUGUGGCAACUAUGCUCAACGAGCCUUCGACGAGGACAUGUUGGACGCUAAAAACCUGCAUCUCGAUCUCUUUCGCCAUUUGGAACCGCUGGACCGGAGGGCUAUGGUUUGGAGAAUUAGGAUUAGAUGGCUAAUCUAACUGAAGAAGAUGAUUAUUUAUAGGGGCUUCGGAAUUACUCCAUGAGGAUGUGAAGAGGUUAAAAAAAUGUGAAUGCAGUGUGGUUUGGAUGCAAAUGAAGAUCAAGGAGUAGUGAAAAGCCGAGGAAAUUUGGUUCCUGAUGGAGAAGUAAAUGGGAGAAGUUAUGCGCAUGCAUGAGGAGAGGUGCAGUGGUUUGACUGCUGCAUGCAAUGGAUUGGACGGGCUCUUCGGUUGCCUUUUCUCUCUCCCACGCGCACAGAGUGGCCCACUUGCAUGUUGCAGUUUAUUGGCUGGAGUCGGGCUGCAGCUGCUCAUGCGUACGCUAAUUAAUGCUGUGAAUGCGGGGCAUGGAGGGAAAUGGGUGCAUGCAAAAGGGUGUAUACGCAGACUAAUUAGAGAAAUACUGAAAAAAGUUAUGCGCAGACAAAAGAGGACCGGAGGGAGUACUACUCAUGUUCCUACUACGGUUAAGGAAUAUGUUGUUAUCCUCAAAAAAAGAAAAUUCCUUCUUCGCGCUUCCGCAUGCACGAGAAUUUGGUUCUGCUCGCAAUAUGGAUGAUAGCUGGAGGAUGAAGUGAACCCAGAGGCUUGCUAGCACGGGAAUGUACUCAUAUUCCUACUACUCCUACUACUAGUAGUAGUACAACUGUGGUACACUUGAUGGUCAAAAUACUAUUAUUCAUCCGGUCCUCACAGUGAAGUGACAAUACCCUGUGCCCGAGGUGACACCAGUCCAGGCGGCGUGUCGGGGUUACCAAAGUCAGCCUCACCUUGUGCACUAUGCAGUCACUGUCACAGCCGAUGUAUAGCAUGCCUCGCCUCGUCUCCCUCUCCCCUAGCACCACUCCAUCUCCAUCUCCGUCUCGCCAGAGAUCCUAAGGUCACUCUUCAUUAUUUCACUGUGCCCCCGCAUACCCUAGCCUCGCUCACCACCCCCAGUACCACUAUUCCCUCGCUAGCCGCUCCAGCACCGACAGCCUUCUCCCCCGUAAAUCAAGCCCCCCAAAACCCCACCUUCCAAACUCCACCAUGGCCGAACGCGAACCGCGCAGGAUCCAUAUGAGCCGCGAUAGGAGCUAUCUCCCCAGUGACGUCCUCGACCUCUGUUGUUCGUGUAUGGAUAUGUUGAGCGCCCUGCAGCUGGCUGCAUGCUCGAGGGGCAUGCACACGGCCAUCAUUGAAGCGAGGCCUAAGCUUUUCAAGACACCCUACUUGCUGCUAUCUGGUCUUACGAGAUUGGCUCACCAUGAUACGGAGGCGUACAUGAUGCCCUCGACUUCAAUCCGAUCUCCAUUAGCCAAAACUUCUUUGCGGGUAUGUAGUGGGUCGCCGUACAUCAUUUCCCUCGACUUUGAUCCGAUCACCAUCACCCGAAACUUCUUGGCACGUAUGUAUUAGGUCAGCAUGAACUCCCAAUGGAUGGCUGCCGUCAGAGAAGACAGUAAAAAGUUGGUGCUCGUCAACUUCCAGACCUCAUAUGAGAUUAUCCUUCCUCCGUUGGAUUAUAUAGAGUAUUACCAUCAUGGUCCUAGUCAUCUAGAUUACCGCGUCAGUUGGACGGACCUUGUUUUGUAGAAGAUUGUAAUCUGCCAAGUGCCCACACGACAUGCGGAUUACGCAGACUUCAAGCUAAUUGCCUUGUUCGACAAGGGACUCGCCUAUCUUUACGCCGGUGCCUUCUUUAGAUGGAGACAACUCAGCUCGCAGUGGAUCAUCAUCAAAGCUGAUAAACACUUCUGUGAUGCUAUUGAACACAAUGGCAUCAUCUACGCGAUCGACAAAGCAGAUGGCACCAUGUAUUGCUGGGACGGCGCAUGUAAGUUGUUUCCGUCUCAUGUUAAUGAUGACGCCAUGACACUGUUUGAACUUUUUGUGAUGAUUGGCAUAUCCCUGUUUGAGCAGAAUUUGAGUAGAACUAUGGCAAUGUAUUAGAGACGCCGUAAAUCAGCUAUAUUUGGAAUGAGUUAAUUCAUGCGAUUGUGAUCAUGUCAUUACAGCCAAUUUGUACCCCUGAAUAAUCAAAUGGUUAGGAAUAUAUGGAUAUUCUCCUUAUUUUAUAGUAAUCUAUAUAUCACUACUAAAUACGAGUGUGUAUCAAUGGCCAUGUUAGUUUCCUCAUUUUCAUGAUGUAGAAACAUGCACCACACUGCUGGUUUCAUCUAACCAUACAUUAGGGAAGUAAAUGUGCAUAUGGAGAACUCUAUAUUUGGAAGUAGUGAAUGUUGGGGAACGUAGCAAUAAUUCAAAAAUUUCCUACGUGUCACCAAGAUCAAUCUAGGAGAUGCUAGCAACGAGAGAGAGGGAGUGCAUCUUCAUACCUUUUCUUUGAAGAUUGCUAAGCGGAAGCGUUACAAGAACAUGGUUGAUGGAGUCGUACUCGCGGCGAUUCAAAUCCUAGAAGAUCCGAUCUAGCGCCGAACGGACGGCGCCUCCACGUUCAACACACGUACAGCCCGGGGACGUCUCCUCCACGUUCAACACACGUACAGCCCGGGGACGUCUCCUCCUUCUUGAUCCAGCAAGGGGAGAGGAGAAGUUGAGGGAGAACUCCAGCAGCACGACGGCAUGGUGGCGAUGGAGCUCGUGGUUCUCCAGCAAGGCUUCGCCAAGCACUACGGAGGAGGAGGAGUAGUUGGAGGAGGGAGGGCUGCGCCAGGGAAGAGUUACGGCUGCCCUCCCACCCCUCCACUAUAUAUAGGGGCAAGGGGAGAGGGGGAGGCGCCCUAGGGUUUCCCCUAGGGGGCGGCGGCCAAGCAGAUUGGAUCUCCCUAGGGAAAAUCCUAGGGAGACUUGCCCCCCAAGCCAAGCAGGUGGAGGCUUGCCUCCCAAGCCAGGUGGAGGCGCCCCACCUCCCCAAGUAACAUGGGAAAGGGUGUGGGGGACGCACCACCCCUUAGUGGGCUGGUUUGCCCCUUCCCCUUUGGCCCAUGAGGCCUUCCAACACUUGUCGGGGCUCCCGAAACACCUUUCGGUCAUGCUGGCCAUAGCCUGGUACCCCCAGAACACUUCCGGACUCCAAUACCCUUCAUCCAAUAUAUCAAUCUUCAUCGCCGGACCAUUCCGGAACUCCUCGUGGCGUCCGGGAUCUCAUCCGGGACUCCGAACUACCUUCGGUAACCACAUACUAUUUCCCAUAACAACUCUAGCGUCACCGAACCAUAAGUGUGUAGACCCUACGGGUUCGGGAACCAUGCAGACAUGACCGAGACACCUCUCCGGCCAAUAACCAAUAGCGGGAUCUGGAUACCCAUAUUGGCUCCCACAUGUUCCAUGAUGAUCUCAUCGGAUGAACCACGAUGUCAGGGAUUCGAUCAAUCCCGUAUUCAAUUCCCUUUGUCAAUCGGUAUGUUACUUGCCUGAGAUUCGAUCGUCGGUAUCCCAAUACCUUGUUCAAUAUCGUUACCGGCAAGUCACUUUACUCGUUCCGUAAUGCAUGAUCUCGUGACUAACUGCUUAGUCACAUCGAGCUCAUUAUGAUGAUGCAUUACCGAGUGGGCCCAGAGAUACCUCCGUCAUACGAAGUGACAAAUCCCAGUCUCGAUUCGUACCAACCCAACAGACACUUUCGGAGAUACCUGUAGUGCACCUUAAUAGCCACCCAGUUACGUUGUGACGUUUGGUACACCCAAAGCAUUCCUACGGUAUCCGGGAGUUGCACAAUCUCAUGGUCUAAGGAAAUGAUACUUGACAUUAGAAAAGCUUUUAGCAAACGAACUACACGAUCUUGUGCUAUGCUUAGGAUUGGGUCUUGUCCAUCACAUCAUUCUCCUAAUGAUGUGAUCCCGUUAUAAAUGACAUCUAAUGUCCAUGGUCAGGAAACCAUAACCAUCUAUUGAUCAACGAGGUAGUCAACUAGAGGCUCACUAGGGACAUGUUGUGGUCUAUGUAUUCACACAUGUAUUACGGUUUCCAGUUAAUACAAUUAUAGCAUGAACAAUAGACAAUUAUCAUGAACAAGGAAAUACAAUAAUAACAAUUUUAUUAUUGCCUCCAGGGCAUAUUUCCAACAGUCUCCCACUUGCACUAGAGUCAAUAAUCUAGUUUACAUCACUAUGUGAUUGUAAUGAAUCCAACACCCAUGGGGUUUGAUCAUAUCUCGCUUGUGAGAGAGGUUAUUAGUCAACGGGUCUGUACCUUUCAGAUCCGUGUGUGCUUUACAAAUCUCUAUGUCAUCUUGUAGAUGCAGCUACCAUGCGCUACUUGGAGCUAUUCCAAAUAACUGCUCUACUAUACGAAUCCGGUUUACUACUCAGAGUCAUCCGGAUUAGUGUCAAAGUUUGCAUCGACAUAACCCUUUACGAAGAACUCUUUUACCACCUCCAUAAUCGAGAAAAUUCCUUAGUCCACUAGUUACUAAGGAUAAGUUUGACCGCUGUCAUGUGAUCCAUUCCUGGAUCAGUCUUGUACCCCUUGAUUGACUCAUGGCGAGGCACACUUUAGGUGCGGUACACAGCAUAGCAUACUGUAGAGCCUACAUCUAAAGCAUAGGGGACGACCUUCGUCCUUUCUCUCUCUUCUGCCGUGGUCAGAUCUUGAGUCUUACUCAAUGCUCACACCUUAUAACACAGCCAAGAACUCCUUCUUUGCUGAUCUAUUUGAACUCCUUCAAAAUCUUGUCACGGUAUGUAUUCAUUUGAAAGUACUAUUAAGCAUUUUUUUAUCUAUCCUUAUAGAUCUUGAUGCUCAAUGUUCAAGUAGCUUAAUCCAGGUUUUCCACUGAAAAACACUUUUCAAAUAACCCUAUAUGCUUUCCAUAAAUUCUACAUCAUUUCUGAUCAACAAUAUGUCAACAACAUAUACUCAUCAGAAAUUCUAUAGUACUCCCACUCACUUCUUUGGAAAUACAAGUUUCUCAUAAACUUUGUAUAAACCCAAAAUCUUUGAUCAUCUCAUCAAAGUGUAUAUUCCAACUCCGAGAUGCUUACUCCAGUCCUUAGAAGGAUUGUUGGAGCUUUGCAUACUUGUUAGCAUAUUUCAGGAUUGACAAAACCUUCUGGUUGUAUCACAUACAACCUUUCCUCAAGAAAAUUGUAGAGGAAACAAUGUUUUGACAUCCUAUCUGCAAGAUUUCAUAAAUAAUGCAGUAACUGCAAAUACAAUUCCAACAGACUCUUAGCAUCGCUACGAGUGAGAAAAUCUCACCGUAGUCAACUCCUUGAACUUGUCGGAAAACAUCUUAACGACAAGUCGAGCUUUCUUAAUUGUGACACUUACCAUCAUUGUCCGUCUUCCUUUUAAAAUCCAUCUGCACCCAACAGCCUUACGACCAUCAAGUAGUUCUUCCAAAGUCUAUACUUUGUUUUUAUACAUGGAUCCUCUCUCGGAUUUUAUGGCCUCGAGCCAUUCGUCGGAAUCCGGGCCCACCAUCGCUUCUCCAUAGCUCAUAGGUUCAUUGUUGUCUAGCAAAAUGACUUCCAAGACAGGAUUACGUACCACUCUAAAGUAUUACGCAUCCUUGUCGACCUACGAGGUUUGUUAGUGACUUGAUCCGAAGUUUCAUGAUCACUAUCAUAAGCUUCCACUUCAAUUGGUGUAGGUGCCACAGGAACAACUUCCUGUGCCCUGCUACAUACUAGUUGAAGUGACGGUUCAAUAACCUCAUCAAGUCUCCACCUAUCCUCCCACUCAAUUCUUUUGAGAGAAACUUUUCCUCGAGAAAGGACCUGUUUCUAGAAACAAUCACUUUUGCUUCUGGAUCUGAAAUAGGAGGUAUAGACAACUGUUUUGGGUAUUCUAUGAAGAUGCAUUUAUCCGCUUUGGGUUCGAGCUUAUCAGCCUGAAACUUUUUCACAUAAGCGUCGUAGCCCCAGGUUUCUCUAAACCAUAGUUCAUACGGUGUCGUCUCAACGGAAUUGUGUGGUGCCCUAUUUAAAGUGAAUGUGGUUGUCUCUAAUGCCUAACCCAUAAACGAUAGUGGUAAUUCAAUAAGAGACAUCAUGGUAUGCACCAUAUCCAAUAGGGUGCAGUUAUGAUGUUCGGACACACCAUCACUGAAGGAAAUAUGCCCUAGAGGCAAUAAUAAAGUUAUUAUUUAUUUACUUAUUUCAUGAUAAAUGUUUAUUAUUCAUGCUAGAAUUGUAUUAACAGGAAACAUAAUACAUGUGUGAAUACAUAGACAAACAGACUGUCACUAGUAUGCCUCUACUUGACUAGCUCGUUAAUCAAAGAUGGUUAUGUUUCCUAACCAUGGACAAAGAGUUGUUAUUUGAUUAACGGGAUCACAUCAUUAGGUGAAUGAUCUGAUUGACAUGACCCAUUCCAUUAGCUUAGCACCCGAUCAUUUAGUAUGUUGCUAUUGCUUUCUUCAUGACUUAUACAUGUUCCUAUGACUAUGAGAUUAUGCAACUCCCGUUUGCCAGAGGAACACUUUGUGUGCUACCAAACGUCACAACGUAACUGGGUGAUUAUAAAGGAGCUCUACAGGUGUCUCCAAAGGUACAUGUUGGGUUGGCGUAUUUCGAGAUUAGGAUUUGUCACUCCGAUUGUCGGAGAGGUAUCUUUGGGCCCUCUCGAUAAUACACAUCACUUAAGCCUUGCAAGCAUUGCAACUAAUGAGUUAGUUGCGGGAUGAUGUAUUACAGAACGAGUAAAGAGACUUGCCGGUAACGAGAUUGAACUAGGUAUUGGAUACCGACGAUCGAAUCUCGGGCAAGUAACAUACCGAUGACAAAGGGAACAACGUAUGUUGUUAUGCGGUCUGACCGAUAAAGAUCUUCGUAGAAUAUGUAGGAGCCAAUAUGGGCAUCCAGGUCCCGCUAUUGGUUAUUGACCGGAGACGUGUCUCGGUCAUGUCUACAUUGUUCUCGAACCCGUAGGGUCUGCACGCUUAAGGUUUCGAUGACAGUAAUAUUAUGAGUUUAUGAGUUUUGAUGUACCGAAGGAGUUCGGAGCCCCGGAUGAGAUCGGGGACAUGACGAGGAGUCUCGAAAUGGUCGAGACGUAAAGAUCAAUAUAUUGGACGACUAUAUUCGGACAUCGGAAAGGUUCCGAGUGAUUCGGGUAUUUUUCGGAGUACCGGGUAGUUACGGGAGAAGCAAUGGGCCUUGAUGGGCUUUAGUGGGAAGANNNNNNNNNNNNNNNNNNNNNNNNNNNNNNNNNNNNNNNNNNNNNNNNNNNNNNNNNNNNNNNNNNNNNNNNNNNNNNNNNNNNNNNNNNNNNNNNNNNNNNNNNNNNNNNNNNNNNNNNNNNNNNNNNNNNNNNNNNNNNNNNNNNNNNNNNNNNNNNNNNNNNNNNNNNNNNNNNNNNNNNNNNNNNNNNNNNNNNNNNAUUGGACUAGGGAAAAGGGGGCCGGCCACCUCUCCUUCUCCUCCACUUCCUUCUUCCUUCCUCCCCUCUUGGUGGACUCCUACUAGGACUUGGAGUCCUAGUAGGACUCCACAUCCUGGCCGCACCAAUUGCCUUGGCCGGCCUCCUCCUCCUCCAUACUUUAUAUACUGAGGCAAGGGGCACCCCAUAGAGAAGUUGAUCCACGUGAUCUUAUUCUUAGCCGUGUGCGGCGCCCCCAGCCACCAUAGUCGUCGAUAAUAUUGUAGCGGUGCUUAGGCGAAGCCCUGUAGCAGUAGUGCAUCAAGAUCGUCACCAUGUCGUCGUGCUGAUAGAACUCUUCCCCGACACUUUGCUGGAUCGGAGUCCGGGGAUCGUCACCGAGUUGAACGUGUGCUAGAACUCGGAGGUGCCGUAGUUUCGGUGCUUGAUCGGUUGGGCCGUGAAGACGUACGACUACAUCAACCAAACGCUUCCGUUGUCGAUAUACCAAGGGUACGUAGAUCACACUCUCCCCUCGUUGCUAUGCAUCACCAUGAUCUUGCGUGUGCGUAGGAAAAUUUUUGAAAUUACUACGUUCCCCAACAGUGGUAUCAGAGCCUAGGUUUUAUAUGUUGAUGUUAUAUGCACGAGUAGAACACAAGUGAGUUGUGGGCGAUAUAAGUCAUACUGCCUACCAGCAUGUCAUACUUUGGUUCGGCGGUAUUGUUGGAUGAAGCGGCCCAGACCAACAUUACACGUACGCUUACGCGAGACCGGUUCUCCCGACGUGCUUUGCACAGAGGUGGCUUGUGGGUGACAGUUUCUCCAACUUUAGUUGAACCAAGUGUGGCUACGCCCGGUCCUUGCGAAGGUUAAAAUGGAGUCAAAUUGACAAACUAUCGUUGUGGUUUUGAUGCGUAGGUGAGAUUGGUUCUUACUUAAGCCCGUAGCAGCCACGUAAAACUUGCAACAACAUAGUAGAGGACGUCUAACUUGUUUUUGCAGGGCAUGUUGUGAUGUGAUAUGGUCAAAACGUGAUGAGAUAUAAGUUGUUGUAUGAGAUGAUCAUGUUUUGUUAAAGGUAUCGACAACUGGCAAAAGCCUUAUGGUUGUCUCCAUAUUGCAUAAGAUGCAAGCGCCAAAUAAUUGCUUUACUUUAUCGCUAUGCGAUAGCAAUAGUUGCAAGAGCAAUAGUUGGCGAGAUGACCAUGUGACGACACAUUGAUAUAGAUCAAGAUGAUGGAGAUCAUGGUGUCAUGCCAGUGACGAUAGAGAUCAUGACAGUACUUUGGAGAUGGAGAUCAAAGGCGCAAGAUGAUGAUGGCCAUAUCAUGUCACAUAUUUUGAAUGCAUAUGAUGUUUAUCUUUUAUACAUCUUAUUUUUAGUUUGAUGGUAGCAUUUUAAGAUGAUCUCUCACUAAUUAUCAAGAAGUGUUCUCCCUGAGUAUGCACCAUUGCCAAAGUUCGUCGUGCCCAGACACCACGUGAUGAUCGGGUGUGAUAAGCUCUACGUCCAUCUACAACGGGUGCAAGCCAGUUUUGCACACGCGGAAUACUCAGGUUAAACUUGACGACCCUAGCAUAUGCAGAUAUGGCCUCGGAACACGGAGACCGAAAGGUCGAGCGUGAAUCAUAUAGUAGAUAUGAUCAACAUAGUGAUGUUCACCAUUGAAAACUACUCCAUCUCACGUGAUGAUCGGUUAUGGUUUAGUUGAUAUGGAUCACGUAAUCACUUAGAAGAUUAGAGGGAUGUCUAUCUAAGUGGGAGUUCUUAAGUAAUAUGAUUAAUUGAACUUAAAUUUAUCAUGAACUUAGUCCUGGUAGCAUUUUGCAAAUUAUGUUGUAGAUCAAUAGCUUGCGUUGUUGCUUUCAUAUGUUUAUUUUGAUAUGUUCCUAGAGAAAAAUUGUGUUGAAAGAUGUUAGUAGCAAUGAUGCAGAUUGGAUCCGUGAUCUGAGGUUUAUCCUCAUUGCUGCACAGAAGAAUUAUGUCCUUGAUGCACCGCUAGGUGACAGACCUAUUGCAGGAGCAGAUACAGACGUUAUGAACGUUUGGCUAGCUCAAUAUGAUGACUACUUGAUAGUUUAGUGCACCAUGCUUAACGGCUUAUCGGGACUUCAAAGACGUUUUGAACGUCAUGGACCAUAUGAGAUGUUCCAGGAAUUGAAGUUAAUAUUUCAAGCAAAUACCCGAGUUGAGAGAUAUGAAGUCUCCAACAAGUUCUAUAGCUAAAAGAUGGAGGAGAAUUGCUCAACUAGUGAGCAUGUGCUCAGAUUGUCUGGGUACUACAAUCACUUGAAUCAAGUGGGAGUUAAUCUUCCAGAUAAAAUAGUGAUUGACAGAAUUCUCUAGUCACCAUCACCAAGUUAGUAGAACUUCGUGAUGAACUAUAAUAUGCAAGGGAUGACUAAAGUGAUUCCCAAGCUCUUCGUGAUGUUGAAAUCGACGAAGGUAGAAAUCAAGAAAGAGCAUCAAGUGUUGAUGGUAGACAAGACCACUAGUUUCAAUAAAAGGGCAAAGGGAAGAAGGGGAACUUCAAGAAGAACGGCAAGCAAGUUGCUGCUCAAGUGAAGAAGCCCAAGUCUGGUCCUAAGCCUGAGACUAAGUGUUUCUACUACAAAGGGACUGGUCAUUGGAAGCGGAACUACCCCAAGUGAUUGGCAGAUAAGAAGGAUGGCAAAGUGAACAUAAGUAUAUUUGAUAUACAUGUUAUUGAUGUGUACUUUACUAGUGUUUAUAGCAACCCCUCAGUAUUUGAUACUAGUUCAGUUGCUAAGAUUAGUAACUCGAAACGGGAGUUGUAGAAUAAACAGAGACUAGUUAAGGGAGAAGUGACGAUGUGUGUUGGAAGUGGUUCCAAGAUUGAUAUGAUCAUCAUCGCACACUCCCCUAUACUUUCGGGAUUAGUGUUGAACCUAAAUAAGUGUUAUUUGGUUUUUGCGUUGAGCAUGAAUAUGAUUUGAUCAUGUUUAUUGCAAUUCGGUUAUUCAUUAAAGUCAGAGAAUAAUUGUUGUUCUGUUUACAUGAAUAAAACCUUCGAUGGUCAUACACCCAAUGAAACAAGUUCAUUGGAUCUCGAUCGUAGUGAUACACAUAUUCAUAAUAUUGAAACCAAAAGAUGCGAAGUUAAUAAUGAUAGUGCAACUUAUUUGUAGCACUGCCGUUUAGGUCAUAUUGGUGUAAAGCGCAUGAAGAAACUCCAUGCUGAUGGAAUUUUGGAAUCACUUGAUUAUGAAUCACUUGAUGCUUGCGAACCAUGCCUCAUGGGCAAGAUGACUAAGACUCCGUUCUCCGGAGCGAGCAACUGACUUAUUGGAAAUAAUACAUACUGAUGUAUGCAGUCCGAUGAGUGUUAAGGCUCACGGCAAGUAUCGUUAUUUUCUGAACUUCACAGAUGAUUUGAGCAGAUAUGGGUAUAUCUACUUGAUGAAACAUAAGUCUGAAACAUUUGAAAAGUUCAAAGAAUUUCAGAGUGAAGUGGAAAAUCAUCAUGACAAGAAAAUAAAAUUUCUACGAUCUGAUCGCGGAGACAAAUAUUUGAGUUACGAGUUUGGUCUUCAAUUAAAAAAUGUGGAAUAGUUUCACAAACUCAUGCCACAUGGAACACCACAGCAUAAUGGUGUGUCCGAACGUCAUAACCAUACUUUAUUGGAUAUAGUGCAAUCUAUGAUGUCUCUUACCGAUCUACCACUAUCGUUUUGGGGUUAUGCAUUAGAGACAGCUACAUUCACGUUAAAUAGGGCACCAUCUAAAUCCGUUGAGACGACACCAUGUGAACUAUGGUUUGGCAAGAAACCUAAGCUGCCGUUUCUUAAAGUUUGGUGUUGCGAUGCUUAUAUGAAAAAGUUUCAUCCUGAUAAGCUCAAACUCAAAUCGGAGAAGUGCGUCUUCAUAGGAUAUCCAAAGGAAACUAUUGGAUACACCUUCUAUCACAGAUCCGAAGGCAAGACUUUUGUUGCUAAAUUCGGAAACUUUCUGGAGAAAGAGUUUCUCUCGAAAGAAGUGAGUGGGAGGAAAGUAGAACUUGACAAGGUAACUGUACCUGCUCCCUUAUUGGAAAGUAGUACAUCACAGAAAACUGUUUCUGUGACACCUACACCAGUUAGUGAGGAAGCUAAUGAUGAUGAUCAUGAAACUUCAAAACAAGAUACUACUGAACCUCGUAGAUCAACCAGAGUAAGAUCCGCGCCAGAGUGGUAUGGUAAUCCUGUUCUGGAAGUCAUGCUACUAGAUCAUGAUGAACCUACGAACUAUGAAGAAGCGAUGGUGAGCCCAGAUUCCGCAAAGUGGCUUGAAGCCAUGAAAUCUGAGAUAUGAUCCAUGUAUAAGAACAAAGUAUGGACUUUGGUUGACUUGCCCGAUGAUCGGCAAGUCAUAGAAAAUAAAUGGAUCUUCAAGAGGAAGACGGACGCUGAUAGUAGUGUUACUAUCUACAAAGCUAGAAUUGUCGCAAAAGGUUUUCGACAAGUUCAAGGUGUUGACUACGAUGAGAUUUUCUCACUCGUAUCUAUGCUUAAGUCUGUCCGAAUCAUGUUAGCAAUUGCCGCAUUUUAUGAAAUCUGGCAAAUGGAUAAACAAAACUGCAUUCCUUAAUGGAUUUACUAAAGAAGAGUUGUAUACGAUGCAACUAGAAGGUUUUGUCGAUCCUAAAGGUGUUAACUAAAUAUGCAAGCUCCAGCGAUCCAUCUAUGGACUGGUGCAAGAAUCUCGGAGUUGGAAUAUACGCUUUGAUAAGUUGAUCAAAGCAUAUAGUUUUAUACAGACUUGCGGUGAAGCCUGUAUUUACAAGAAAGUGAGUGGGAGCACUACAACAUUUCUGAUAAGUAUAUGUGAAUGACAUAUUGUUGAUCGAAAAUAAUGUAGAAUUAUUCUGCAAAGCAUAAAGGAGUGUUUGAAAGGAGUUUUUCAAAGAAAGACCUCGGUGAAGCUGCUUACAUAUUGAGUAUCAAGAUCUAUAGAGAUAGAUCAAGACACUUGAUAAGUUUUUUCAAUGAGUACAUACCUUGACAAGAUUUUGAAGUAGUUCAAAAUGGAACAGUCAAAGAAAAGGUUUCUUGCCUGUGUUACAAGGUGUGAAGUUGAGUAAGACUCAAAGCCCGACCACGGCAGAAGAUAGAAAGAGAAUGAAAGUCAUUCCCUAUGCCUCAGUCAUAGGUUCUAUAAAGUAUGCCAUGCUGUAUACCAGAUCUAUUGUAUGCCCUACCACUGAGUUUGGCAAGGGAGUACGAUAGUGAUCUAGGAGUAGAUCACUGGACAGCGGUCAAAAUUAUCCUUAGUGGAAUAAGGAUAUGUUUCUCGAUUAUGGAAGUGAAAAAAAAAGGUUCAUCGUAAAGGGUUACGCCGAUGCAAGUUUUGACACUAAUCUAGAUGACUCUAAGUCUCGGUCUAGAUACAUAUUGAAAGUGGGAGCAAUUAGCUAGAGUAGCUCCAUGCAGAGCAUUGUUGACAUAGAAAUUUGCAAAAUACAUGCGGAUCUGAAUGUGGCAGACCCGUUGACUAAGAUUCUCUCACAAGCAAAACAUGAUCACACCUUAGUACUCCUUGGGUGUUAAUCACAUAGCGAUGUGAACUAGAUUACUGAAUCUAGUAAACCCUUUGGGUGUUGGUCACAUGGCGAUGUGAACUAUGGGUGUUAAUCACAUGAUGAUGUGAACUAUCGAUGUUAAUCACAUGGUGAUGUGAUCUAGAUUAUUGACUCUAGUGCUAGUGGGAGACUGAAGGAAAUAUGCCCUAGAGGCAAUAAUAAAGUUAUUAUUUAUUUCCUUAUUUCAUGAUAAAUGUUUAUUAUUCAUGCUAGAAUUGUAUUAACAGGAAACAUAAUACAUGUGUGAAUACAUAGACAAACAGAGUGUCACUAGUAUGCCUCUACUUGACUAGCUCGUUAAUCAAAGAUGGUUAUGUUUCCUAACCAUGGACAAAGAGUUGUUAUUUGAUUAACGGGAUCACAUCAUUAGGUGAAUGAUCUGAUUGACAUGACCCAUUCCAUUAGCUUAGCACCUGAUCGUUUAGUAUGUUGCUAUUGCUUUCUUCAUGACUUAUACAUGUUCCUAUGACUAUGAGAUUAUGCAACUCCCGUUUGCCAGAGGAACACUUUGUGUGCUACCAAACGUCACAACGUAACUGGGUGAUUAUAAAGGAGCUCUACAGGUGUCUCCAAAGGUACAUGUUGGGUUGGCGUAUUUCGAGAUUAGGAUUUGUCACUCCGAUUGUUGGAGAGGUAUCUCUGGGCCCUCUCGGUAAUGCACAUCACUUAAGCCUUGCAAGCAUUGCAACUAAUGAGUUAGUUGCGGGAUGAUGUAUUACAGAACGAGUAAAGAGACUUGCCGGUAACGAGAUUGAACUAGGUAUUGGAUACCGACGAUCGAAUCUCGGGCAAGUAACAUACCGAUGACAAAGGGAACAACGUAUGUUGUUAUGCGGUCUGACCGACAAAGAUCUUCGUAGAAUAUGUAGGAGCCAAUAUGGGCAUCCAGGUCCCGCUAUUGGUUAUUGACCAGAGACGUGUCUCGGUCAUGUCUACAUUGUUCUCGAACCCGUAGGGUCCGCACGCUUAAGGUUUUGAUGACAGUAAUAUUAUGAGUUUAUGAGUUUUGAUGUACCGAAGGAGUUCGGAGUCCCGGAUGAGAUCAGGGACAUGACGAGGAGUCUCGAAAUGGUUGAGACAUGAAGAUCGAUAUAUUGGACGACUAUAUUCGGACAUCGGAAAGGUUCCGAGUGAUUCGGGUAUUUUUCGGAGUACCGGGUAGUUACGGGAGAAGCAAUGGGCCUUGAUGGGCUUUAGUGGGAAGAGGAGAAAGGGCCAAGGGGCUGCUGCGCCCCCCCCCCCCUCCCCUCUGGUCCGAAUUGGACUAGGGAAAAGGGGGCCGGCCACCUCUCCUUCUCCUCCACUUCCUUCUUCCUUCCUCCCCUCUUGGUGGACUCCUACUAGGACUUGGAGUCCUAGUAGGACUCCACAUCCUGGCUGCACCAAUUGCCUUGGCCGGACUCCUCCUCCUCCAUCCUUUAUAUACUAAGGCAAGGGGCACCCCAUAGAGAAGUUGAUCCACGUGAUCUUAUUCUUAGCCGUGUGCGGCGCCCCCAGCCACCAUAGCCCUCGAUAAUAUUGUAGCGGUGCUUAGGCGAAGCCCUGCAGCAGUAGUGCAUCAAGACCGUCACCAUGCCGUCGUGCUGACAGAACUCUUCCCUGACACUUUGCUGGAUCGGAGUCCGGGGAUCGUCGUCGAGCUGAACGUGUGCUAGAACUCGGAGGUGCCGUAGUUUCGGUGCUUGAUCGGUUGGGCCGUGAAGACGUACGACUACAUCAACCAAACGCUUCCGUUGUCGAUAUACCAAGGGUACGUAGAUCACACUCUCCCCUCGUUGCUAUGCAUCACCAUGAUCUUGCGUGUGCGUAGGAAAAAUUUUGAAAUUACUACGUUCCCCAACAAUCACACUAUGGUGUUCCAGGAGGUAUUAGUUGUGAAACAAUUUCCACAAUGUCUUAAUUGUGUGCCAAACUCGUAACUCAGAUAUUCAUCUCUAUGAUCAUAUCAUAGACAUUUUAUCCUCUUGUCAUGACGAUCUUCAACUUCACUCUGAAAUUACUUAAACCUUUCAAUAAUUCAGACUUGUGUUUCAUCAAGUAAAUAUACUUAGCGUCUACUAAAAUCAUCUGUGAAGUAAGAACAUAACGAUAUCCACUAUGUGCCUCAACACUCAUUGGACUGCACACAUCAAAAUGUAUUACUUCCAACAAGUUGCUUUCUUGUUCCAUCUUACUGAAAACGAGGCCUUUCAGUCAUCUUGCCCAUGUGGUAUGAUUUGCAUGUCUCAAGUGAUUCAAAAUCAAGUGAGUCCAAACAAUCCAUCUGUAUGGAGUUUCUUCAUGCAUAUCUACCAAUAGACAUGGUUCGCAUGUCUCAAUUUUUUUCAAAAACGAGUGAGUCCAAAGAUCCAGCAACAUGGAGCUUCUUCAUGCGUUUUAUACCAAUAUGACUCAAAUGGCAGUGCCACAAGUAUGUGGUACUAUCAUUACUAUCUUAUAUCUUUUCGGCAUGAACAUGUGUAUCACUAUGAUCGAGAUUUAAUAAACCAUUCAUUUUAGGUGCAAGACCAUUGAAGGUAUUAUUCAAAUAAACAGAGUAACCAUUAUUCUCCUUAAAUGAAUAACCGUAUUGCAAUAAACAUAAUCCAAUCAUGUCUAUGCUCAACGCAAACACCAAAUAACAAUUAUUUAGGUUUAAUACUAAUCCCGAUGGUAGAGGGAGCGUACGAUGUUUGAUUACAUCAACCUUGGAAACACUUCCAACACAUAUCAUCAUCUCACCUUUAGCUAGUCUUUUUUUAUUCCGUAGCCUUUUAUUUCGAGUUACUAACACUUAGCAACCGAACCGGUAUCUAAUACCUUGGUGCUACUAGGAGUACUAGUAAAGUACACAUAUGUACAUCCAAUAUACUUCUUGUUGGGGAACGUAGUAAUUUCAAAAAAUUUCCUACGCACACGCAAGAUCAUGGUGAUGCAUAGCAACGAGAGGGGAGAGUGUCGCCUACAUACCCUUGUAGACCGAAAGCGGAAGCGUUAUAUCAACGCGGUUGAUGUAGUCGUACGUCUUCACGAUCUGACCGAUCCAAGCACCGUUACUCCGGUACCUCCGAGUUCUUGGCACACGUUCAGAUCAAUGACGAUCCCCGGGCUCCGAUCCAGCAAAGCGUCGGGGAGGAGUUCCGUCAGCACGACGGCAUGGUGACGAUCAUGAUGUUCUACCGUCGCAGGGCUUCGCCUAAGCACCGCUACAAUAUGACCGAGGUGGAAUAUGGUGGAGGGGGGCACCGCACACGGCUAAGGAACGAUCAUGAAGAUCAACUUGUGUGUCUAUGGGGUGCCCCCUGCCCCUGUAUAUAAAGGAGUGGAGGAGGGGAGAGCCGGCCCUCUCUAUGGCGCGCCCUAGGGGAGUCCUACUCCCACCGGGAGUAGGAUUCCCCCUUUCCUAGUCCAACUAGGAGUAGGAGACAAGGAAGGGGAAGGGAGAAGGGAAGGAAGGAGGGGGCGCAGCCCCUCCCCCUAGUCCAAUUCGGACUAGGCCUUGGGGGGGGCGCGGCCUGCCCUAGGCAGCCCCUCUAUCUUUCCCGUAUGGCCCAAUAAGGCCCAAUACUUCUCCCGGCGAAUUCCCGUAACUCUCCGGUACUCCGGAAAAUACCCGAAUCACUCGGAACCUUUCCGAAGUCCGAAUAUAGUCGUCCAAUAUAUUGAUCUUUAUGUCUCGACCAUUUCGAGACUCCUCGUCAUGUCCCCGAUCUCAUCCGGGACUCCGAACUCCUUCGGUACAUCAAAACUCAUAAACUCAUAAUAUAACUGUCAUCGAAACCUUAAGCGUGCGGACCCUACGGGUUCGAGAACAAUGUAGACAUGACCGAGACAUGUCUCUGGUCAAUAACCAAUAGCGGAACCUGGAUGCUCAUAUUGGCUCCUACAUAUUCUACGAAGAUCUUUAUCGGUCAGACCGCAUAACAACAUACGUUGUUCCCUUUGUCAUCGGUAUGUUACUUGCCAGAGAUUCGAUCGUCGGUAUCUCAAUACCUAGUUCAAUCUCGUUACCGGCAAGUCUCUUUACUCGUUCCGUAAUACAUCAUCUCGCAACUAACUCAUUAGUUGCAAUGCUUGCAAGGCUUAUGUGAUGUGCAUUACCGAGAGGGCCCAGAGAUACCUCUCCGACAUUCGGAGUGACAAAUCCUAAUCUCGAAAUACGCCAACCCAACAAGUACCUUCGGAGACACCUGUAGAGCACCUUUAUAAUCACCCAGUUACGUUGUGACAUUUGGUAGCACACAAAGUGUUCCUUCGGUAAACGGGAGUUGCAUAAUCUCAUAGUCAUAGGAACAUGUAUAAGUCAUGAAGAAAGCAAUAGCAACAUACUAAACGAUCGGGUGCUAAGCUAACGGAAUGGGUCAUGUCAAUCACAUCAUUCUCCUAAUGAUGUGAUCCCAUUAAUCAAAUGACAACUCAUGUCUAUGGCUAGGAAACUUAACCAUCUUUGAUCAACGAGCUAGUUAAGUAGAGGCAUACCAGUGACACUCUGUUUGUCUAUGUAUUCACACAUGUAUUAUGUUUCCGGUUAAUACAAUUCUAGCAUGAAUAAUAAACAUUUAUCAUGAAAUAAGGAAAUAAAUAAUAACUUUAUUAUUGCCUCUAGGGCAUAUUUCCUUCACUUCUGUCGACCUUGCCUGCCUUCUCAUCUACCAAGUAUCUAGGGUAGUUCUGCUUCAGUGACUGUUCCCCUUAUUACAGAAGCACUUAGUCUCGGGUUUGGGUUCAACCUUGGGUUUCUUCACUAGAGCUGUAACUGAUUUGCCGUUUCAUGAAGUAUCCCUUUCUUGCCCUUCUUGAAACUAGUGGUUUUACUAACCAUCAACAAUUAAUGCUCCUACUUGAUUUCUACUUUCGCGGUGUCAAACAUCGCGAAUAGCUCAAGGAUCAUCAUAUCUGUCCCUGAUAUGUUAUAGUUCUUCAUGAAGCUCUAGUAGCUUGGUGGCAGUGACUUUGGAGAACCAUCACUAUCUCAUCUGGAAGAUUAACUCCCACUCGAUUCAAGUGAUGGUAGUACUCAGACAAUCUGAGCACAUGCUCAACGAUUGAGCUUUUUCUCCCUUAGUUUGCAGGCUAAGAAACUUGUCGGAGGCCUCAUACCUCUUGUCAUGGGCACGAGCCUGAAAUCCCAAUUUCAGUUCUCAGAACAUCUCAUAUGUUCUGCGACAUUUCAAAAAAUGUCUUCGGCGCCUCAAUUCUAAACCGUUUAACAUUAUGCACUGAACUAUCAUGUAGUCAUCAAAACGUGUAUGUCAGAUGUUCGCAACAUCCACAACCGACGCUCGAGGUUCAGCUCACUGAGCGGUGCAUUAAGGACAUAAUCCUUCUGCGCAGCAAUGAGGACAAUCCUCAGUUUACUGACCCAGUCCGCAUAAUUGCUACAAUCAACUUUCAACUAAAUUUUCUCUAGGAACAUAUCUAAAACAGUAGAACUAAAGCAUAAGCUACGACAUAAUUUGCAAAGACCUUUUGACUAUGUUCAUGAUAAUUAAGUUCAUCUGAUUAUUUAAUGAACUCCCACUUAGAUAGACAUCCCUCUAGUCAUCUAAGUGAUACAUGAUCCGAGUCAACUAGGCCGUGUCCGAUCAUCACGUGAGACGGACUAGUCAUCAUCGGUGAACAUCUUCAUGUUGAUCGCAUCUACCAUACGACUCAUGUUCGACCUUUCGGUCUCUCGUGUUCCAAGGCCAUGUCUGUACAUGCUAGGCUCGUCAAGUCAACCUAAGUGUUUUGGAUGUGUAAAUCUGGCUUACACCCGUUGUAUGCGAACGUUAGAAUCUAUCAAACCCGAUCAUCACUUCGUGCUUCGAAACAACGAACCUUCGCAACGGUGCACAGUUAGGGGGAACACUUUCUUGAAAUUUUAGCGAGGAAUCAUCUUAUUUAUGCUACCGUCGCUCUAAGCAAAUAAGAUGUAAACAUGACAAACAUCACAUGCAAAUCAUAAAGUGACAUGAUAUGGCCAAUAUCAUCUUGCGCCUUUUGAUCUCCAUCUUCGAGGCACAGCAUGAUCACCUUCGUCACCGGCAUGACACCAUGAUCUCCAUCAUCAUGAUCUCCAUCCUCGUGUCUUCAUGAAGUUGUCUCGCCAACUAUUACUUCUACUAGUAUGGCUAACGGUUAGCAAUAAAGUAAAGUAAUUACAUGGCGUUUUUCAUUGACACGCAGGUCAUACAAUAAAUUAAGACAACUCCUAUGGCUCCUGCCGGCUGUCAUACUCAUCGACAUGCAAGUCGUGAUUCCUAUUACAAGAACAUGAUCAAUCUCAUACAUCACAUAUAUAUAAUUCUUCACAUCCUUUUGGCCAUAUCACAUCACAUAGCAUACCCUGCAAAAACAAGUUAGACGUCCUCUAAUUGUUGUUGCAUGUUUUACGUGGCUGCUAUGGGUUUCUAGCAAGAACGUUUCUUACCUACGCAAAAGCCACAACGGUGAUAUGCCAAUUGCUAUUUACCCCUCAUAAGGACCCUCUUCAUCGAAUCCGAUCCGACUAAAGUGGGAGAGACAGACACCCGCUAGCCACCUUAUGCAUCAAGUGCAUGUCAGUCGGUGGAACCUGUCUCACGUAAGUGUACGUGUAAGGUCGGUCCGGGCCGAUUCAUCCCACAAUGUCGCCGAAUCAAGAUAAGACUAGUAACGGCAAGCAAAUUGAACAAAUCAUCGCCCACAACUACUUUGUGUUCUACUCGUGCAUAGAAUCUACGCAUAGACCUAGCUCAUGAUGCCACUGUUGGGGAACGUAGCAAUAAUUCAAAAUUUUCCUACAUGUCACCAAGAUCAAUCUAGGAGAUGCUAGCAACGAGAGAGAGGGAGUGCAUCUUCAUACCCUUGAAGAUCGCUAAGCGAAAGCAUUACAAGAACGCGGUUGAUGGAGUCGUACUCGCGGCGAUUCAAAUCGCGUAAGAUCCGAUCUAGCGCCGAACGGACGGCGCCUCCGCGUUCAACACACGUACAGCGCGGGGACGUCUCCUCCUUCUUGAUCCAGCAAGGGGAGAGGAGAAGUUGAGGGAGAACUCCAGCAGCACGACGGCAUGGUGGCGAUGGAGCUCGUGGUUCUCCAGCAGGGUUUCGCCAAGCACUACGGAGGAGGAGGAGUAGUUGGAGGAGGGAGGGCUGAGCCAGGGAAGAGUUGCAGCUAGUUGCGGCUGCCCUCCCACCCCUCCACUAUAUAUAGGGGCAAGGGGAGAGGGGGAGGCGCCCUAGGGUUUCCCCUAGGGGGCGGCGGCCAAGCAGAUUGGAUCUCCCUAAGGGAAAUCCUAGGGAGACUUGCCCCCCAAGCCAAGCAGGUGGAGGCUUGCCUCCCAAGCCAGGUGGAGGCGCCCCACCUCCCCAAGUAACGUGGGAAAGGUUGUGGGGGGUGCACCACCCCUUAGUGGGCUGGUUUGCCCGUUCCCCUUUGGCCCAUGAGUCCUUCCAACACUUGUCGGGGCUCCCGAAACACCUUUCGGUCAUGCUGGCCAUAGCAUGGUACCCCCAGAACACUUCCGGACUCCAAUACCCUUCGUCCAAUAUAUCAAUCUUCACCGCCGGACCAUUUCGGAACUCCUCGUGACAUCCGGGGUCUCAUCCGGGACUCCGAACUACCUUCGGUAACCACAUACUAUUUCCCAUAACAACUCUAGUGUCACCGAACCUUAAGUGUGUAGACCCUACGGGUUCGGGAACCAUGCAGACAUGACCGAGACAUCUCUCCGGCCAAUAACCAAUAGCGGGAUCUGGAUACCCAUAUUGGCUCCCACAUGUUCCAUGAUGAUCUCAUUGGAUGAACCACGAUGUCGGGGAUUCGAUCAAUCCUGUAUUCAAUUCCCUUUGUUAAUCGGUAUGUUACUUGCCCGAGAUUCGAUCGUCGGUAUCCCAAUACCUCGUUCAAUCUCGUUACCAGCAAGUCACUUUACUCGUUCCGUAAUGCAUGAUCCCAUGACUAACUGCUUAGUCACAUCGAGCUCAUUAUGAUGAUGCAUUACCGAGUGGGCCCAGAGAUUCCUCUCCGUCAUACGGAGUGACAAAUCCCAGUCUCGAUUCGUACCAACCCAACAGACACUUUCAGAGAUACCUGUAGUGCACCUUUAUAGCCACCCAGUUACGUUGUGACGUUUGGUACACCCAAAGCAUUCCUACGGUAUCCGGGAGUUGCACAAUCUCAUGGUCUAAGGAAAUGAUACUUGACAUUAGAAAAGCUUUUAGCAAACGAACUACACGAUCUUGUGCUAUGCUUAGGAUUGGGUCUUGUCCAUCACAUCAUUCUCCUAAUGAUGUGAUCCCGUUAUCAAUGACAUCUAAUGUCCAUGGUCAGGAAACCAUAACCAUCUAUUGAUCAACGAGCUAGUCAACUAGAGGCUCACUAGGGACAUGUUGUGGUCUAUGUAUUCACACAUGUAUUACGGUUUCCAGUUAAUACAAUUAUAGCAUGAACAAUAGACAAUUAUCAUGAACAAGGAAAUACAAUAAUAACCAUUUUAUUAUUGCCUCUAGGGCAUAUUUCCAACAGUGAAAUCCUGUAAUGCUUACCAUGUGUACAUACCUAUAUUCGCCCUUCAGCAAUCAAUGGCUAGAAUAAUAUCCUCACAAAAAUUUUGCCGACAGAACACGAGUAUAUAACAAUGCAUGGUCUGUUAGUUACCUUGAAGAAUUUGUUUGUGAGGACAGAACAUGAUUCCAUAACAUGCAUGACAUGGUAGUUUCCUGUGAAGAAUCGAUUGCGAGAUAACAUGAGUAUAACCAUGCAUGGCACUUCUAUAUUUUCGAACCCAGUAUACAUUUCCCCGUACUUUCCUCCCAGUUCCAACAGGGACACAUCAAUGAUGUUUUCUUGCAUUAUCCUACUCAUACUCUGAACAAUGCUGAUCUUACAUUAACAAUGCCUGUCCUUUUUGAUAUGAUGCAGUGUCCCUACAGUUACUGCCCUUUGUAAUCACACCACCUUUGCCAAGAACAGGGAAGCACAACUGGUUCCUCGCUCGAUCAGACGAUGACAAAAGACUGAUGAUCAUUCGGACACAUGAGCCGGAAAAGUUAUAUUGCAAAAACCCCACUAUAUACAAGCAUCGUGAAAUACGUGAGUAUCCGGACAGUGGUUGUUACGUCUAUGAGCAGGAUACUAGCUUGUUGGGGCCUUCAGGAUUUUUUAGUUGGAGGCGGGUAAAUAGCCUUGGUUCACACUCUUUGUUUCUCGGACUCAAUUAUCCGAUUAACCAGGAGAUCACCGUUGGCAACGACCUUGAUGGCAGAGAGGCUUUGUUUGCUAUGGAAAAUUGUGUCUACACGGUGAGCCCUAGGAGUUCGGGAGCAAACUCCCCUGAUUGUCAAUGAUACAGCCUGCAGGCAAAAGAAGGUGAGAAUGACAAAGGCAUCUAGAUUAACUUUGAUCCUUGGAUGUGUCACUUACGACGGGCAGUGAUGUGGUUCAAGCCUUCAGGUUGAUAGGUAAUUGGGUUGUUGCGUCGAAAGGGUGGAGUACUGGUGUCUCUGGAUCAUUGGUCGCUGAAGCGGGGCUGCAAAUUAUGAUGGUGUUGGAUCAUCUCUUCGAAUGACUUUGUUGUCUUUGCUGCUUGUUCUGGAUGGGUAGUUCUUUCUUUUGUUAUGCAUAUUCCUUGUCAUUUGGUCAUCCUCGUCUAUGUCACUCUUACUAUGUAAUAGUUGGGUCUAUUUAGAAUGUCAUUCUCGUCUGGAUCACGAGAGUCUGAGCGCUGCAGAUGGGUGCGUUUUGGUGGUGUAGCAAGACUUCUUAUGAACUAUCAUGUCUUGUUGUUUAUGUCAGUAGUAGUCACUAGGUAGUGUUUGAAUGUUGUAUAUACCGUUGUUUCGAAUUGUUUAUUGUCUUGAACUACUGGUGGGCUAAAUGAGGGCAUCACCAUUCUCCAGUGUUCAAAGUGUAUCUCCUUUUUUCAAAUUAUAUAAUUUGAGCUUAGUGUCUUUUCGAUGAUGUACACUUGUUUGGGCCAGUGAGGUGUCAUUGAAUAUGGGCCGAGUAGUAAUGCAAGCCAAACAGCUCAAUUAUGACUCUCAGGCCGGGCUCUCAAAAGAUCCUAAAAAUAAGGCUGGGCUCUCCAAAAAAGAAAGAAUAAGGACUCUUAGGCCGACAUGUGGGCACCACCGGUGUUUUCAUGCGCUUGCACGCCGAGAGCAUAUUGGUGCGUGUUUGAAAUUCAAGCUACCUUUUCAUCCCCAAUCUCCUGCCCCUCCCCCACCUCUGGAAUCUCGAUUCCUACUCCAGUUCCCCCAAGUCCCCCUCCUGUACUCCCUGUACUCAAGCUCACUAUCAUGUCGCCGGUCAACGCGGAUCUCUGAGCCAGAGAUCCUAAGGUCUGUCCUGCCUUCGAUCGCUACGUGCUACCGCUCAACAGUGGCAUGGCGGCGCUUGACGACUAGUUUGUCGGCAAAGUGCUGAUGGUAACCAUCAACGGCGACCGACCUCCCGUCUCGCCGGACGACCUUGUCAAAGCUCUUGGCAUUGUGCACGGCAUCCAAAAAAGUGACAUGCUCAUCGAAGUCUGUCCGCCACCGGCUGAUUUCUUUGUCAGGUUCCGGACAACUUUCGACUGCAGUCGUGUGUUCGAAUCUUCCCGACGUUUGUUCUGCAAUGGCGCGCUGGUGAGCUUUGAUCGGUGGUACCCAGGAUGGGGCUCGGUGCCCUCUGAGCUUGAGUUUUUAACAAAGCUUACCUUCCACGGCAUGCCUCGACGUGCUUGGAACAGCGAGUCCAUGAAUGAGCUUAUCAACGAACUUGGAGGUGAGCUCGUAAGUAUGUUUGUUCCUCCAGACAGCUGGGCUCUGACGGUUAUGGCAUGGAUGAAGAAGCCAUCCACCAUACCGAAGGUGAUUGGUGUUGAGAUACCGGUGCAAGAACCGGGGUUGUACUAUUCGUCGCCACCAAGGCCGUCGCGGACCACAUUAGGGAUGUACCUGUAUCGAGUGUUCGUGCAUGUCAAAGAAGUGGUCAAUCCAUCAAUCGAAGUCCUGCCACCGCCACUGGUGCCAGGGUCCGUCGACGACGUCCAUUACAGGAGUCAACGUCAGACUUUCCCCGUGUUGCUCGGAACGAUCCAUCGUGUGGCGGAGGCCAAGAAGAGGCAGGGCUGGCUGUCUCGAUGUGCUCUAAUUUGAGGUAACAACUGAAUAUUGUCAGAUACUAGUUAAAUCCGAGCUAUGGGUGUGAAGCACUGAUGUGCCAGUACAUUUGAUUGUGACCUGUUCUAAUUUUGUACCUGAACUUUUUUUAGAAAGGGUUGUACGUCAACUUAAUGUGCUAGCAGAACUUAUUGUGUUGUCUGUCUAUUUUCUUUGCACAUCAUUCAAGAUAUUUCCCUCUCAUUGAUAAAGAAGACGAACCGUUAUGUACGAGUUCGUUGGUUUCAACAUAGCCCUACCCGUAGCGAUCCACUGCUUCCAUCCUGAUUGUGCCGCCUACGUGAAAUUUUUGUAUGCAAGUGAAGUGUGCUAUGAUGUUCUAUAUGAUUACGUCAACUAUAUAAGUUUUUACUGAGCAUCAGCAAUGCAUAUGGCUGAAAGAUGUAUUUACGAGCAUCGACCGAUGGGUCUCUCUCUCUCACACACACACACGCACACACGCACACACGCACAAGUGGGACCCGUUGAAUUAUUUCUUUACUCGUGACAGCUUUUAAUUAGGUUCCACUGUAAUCUAACUUUUUUCUUAAGUUAUUAAUUGAACUCAGUGACUUCAAAAAGUUGUAUAGAAGCCUUCUUUGGGCCUUUUCGGCAUUGCUGAAUAUGGGCUGAGUAGCCAUAUUAGGUUGUACUAUACUACACAUGCCUUUUUUCAACAUCAGCAAUGCAACUGGGCACAAUAUCCGGGUCAACUUGUUAUUCUCCGCCCGCUGGGCUGCAAACUUUCCUAGGAGGUAUGCAUUAGGCUUAACAAGAAAAUGGACUUUAAGAAAUAAUAAAUGAGAUAUAAUUAUAAUAACUGGGCAGUAACUAUAAAAAGAUGCAAUAAAAGCGUAAUUAGUUUAAAAAAUAUAUUAUUUUCGGAAUUUGGAAAUUUUAAUUUCAUUAUUUGUUGCGCGCGCAAUAUUUCGUUGGAUUUUAACGUAAUACAACUUUAUUUUGAAAUUAUAUUUAAUCUGACUAGAAAUUUCAGAUAAAAUAUUUGGGAUCCCAUAAAAAUGUGGGAUUUUUUUUAAUUCUGUUUUGAGCGGUUGGUUGAAAUUAUUAAUCGUUGUCCUAGCUAGAAAAUGGGCUGUACUUUUAACAAACUAUAAAUGGGUUGUAGUAAAUUCCAUUAGAAUUAAAAAAUGGGUUGUACAUUCUUACAAAUCGCAAAUGGGCUAUAUGUUCUCUGCCACACACUUGUGGGCCUUCUAAGUUGACGCGUCCCCUAAAAAACUAAGUUGACGCGUAUGCAAGGCUUUGUCAACAACACACGGUUCUGGCAGCUGUGGCUGUUGGAUGUCCAUCCAACGGAUGUCGUGCUUCUUCUUCAAUCUCGGAUAUUCUUACUUCAACCGCCCAAAAAAAGAUUCCUCCCCCUGACAUCUGGGGCACACCAUUUCGGAGGCUGACCUGUGGGCCUACUAAGUUGAUGCAUACCAAGGGCUUUGUCAACUUAGUCAAUAUAAGCGAUUCUAGCUGCAGUGACCGUAUGAUGUCCAUCCAACGGCCGUAGUGCUUCUUCAACCUCCAGUCUUCUUGCUCCAGCUGCCCAAAGCAGCGCUGGUCGUGUCGCGUGCUCCUGCCUCUCAUGGCCGACUGUGAUGCCGCGGAGGCCUCACCGCCCCCUACUACUCCCACUGCUGGCCAGGCCAUCCCUCUACUUACCCACACCCCCUGUUAUUCCACGGCGACGACAGCCUCACACCGCAGCCGAACCAGUGAACCCUCGUACUCCUCUCCGUGCGGGCUUCCACUGCCGCGUCUUCCCUGGCUAUGCAUCGUCCCCUUCCUAAGCCUCGCCGUCGUCCAUCGCCCUGGUGCUCUCUGUGCGGCAUGGUCAACGUGGUCAAGGAACGGCUUCCAUCGGACGUGGAUUGCAUGUGGAGAGGCUGACAGCUGGGUCCACGGCCGCAGCUAGGAAGUGCCUCCUUAUUACGCGCAAAAUAAUUAUUCCUCCACCUGACAGUGGGGACCCACCGGACGGGCCACCGUAUUUCAUGAAAAAAAAACAUUUCCCCCUGACUGCUGUGACCCAUCAGCUACAUCUUCGCAUGCAAGGAAGUGCAUCCGGGCAAAAAAAAUGAUUCGCCCCCCUGACUGCUGGGACCCACCAGCUACAUGUUCGCAGGCAAGGAAGUGUCUGACAGUCGGGACCCACCUGGUCGAGGCGUACAUAGCAUUGUCAUUCUGGUCGCAAACGUGUACGUACAUACUGGUCGAUGUAGAGGCGCGCACGUACUACAUACAGCAGCCAGUGUGCAAGAAAGAAAAUACGGUCACGUACAUACAUAUGGGUAGGGUCUCGAACGCCUACUCGCACAUACGUACGGCCAGGGCUCGUGUACAUGGCUGGGUCGGAACGGAGAAAUAGCAUCAUCGUCGUGUUCAUGGGGAGCCAACCGGCUGGGUCGGAACGGAAUGCGUCGUCAUGUUCAUCGGGCGGGCUUGGACGGAACAGCCGAUGGAAACGAGGCCUGGUGUACCGCAGAACGGAGGAAACGGCCUUGUGUUCGACCAUCCACGUUCGAAACGGGAUCCUGUUCAUCGGGAGGGGGUCUGGCGUACCGCAAAACGGAGGAAACGAACCUCCUACGGUCGAAAUGGGGGUCCUGUUGAUCGGGAGGGGUGUGGCGUACUGCAAAACGGAGGAAACGGACUUGUGUUGGAGCGCUACGGUCGAAACGAGGAACCUGUUCAUCGGGAGGGGUGUGGCUUACCGCAAAACAGGACUCCACGGGAUACUGUUCAUCUCCACCGUCGACCCCCUCCAGCCUCCACGGGCUAUUGUUCAUCAAUUGUCGACCUCCUCCAGCCUCCACCUACGACUGUUCAUCCACGGGCUCCUGUUCAUCCAGCCUCCACCGCGCGCUACUCCACCGGCUACUGUUCAACUAGCCCUCUCCACGGGCUCCUGUUCAACCACCCCUCCAUGGGCUACUGCUCAUCCUGCCCUCCACCGUCUGCUGUUCAUCCUGCCCUCCACGGGGUGGACAUGUUCAUCCUGCCCUCCACGGGGUCAUGUUCAUCCAGCCCCAACUGGCUCGAACGAUCGAGGUCCUGUUCAUCCACCCCCACUGGGAACUAUUCACCCAAACCCCCCCAGCAACGCUCACUGUUCAUCCAGAGGCAACGCCACAAGGUCCUGUUCAUCCACCCCCAUCGGGAACUGUUCAUCCAACCGCCCCCCCCCCCAGCAAUGCUCACUGUUCAUCCAAAGGCAGCGUCGAUCAGCUUUAGUUAGAGCAGUAGCGAAGGAAUCACUCGAUCGGGUUCAGUUAACAGCCAUCAAUCGAUCGCUCAGGUUCAGUAACGCGUAGCCUGCAGUGCAAUCGCUCAGGUUCAAUUACAGCCCAACGCCUCGCUCGGGUUCAGUUAGAGCCCAACGCCUCGCACACACGCGCGUACGUACGAGAGAAACGCGCAUCGCUCGGCCCCCGACCACCCACCGUAACCGGGGACUCCCCGAUAUUUUCCACGCCCUCGCUUCUACCACGGUUUUUUCCGUCAUAAGAAUGUCAUGCAGCUGCGUCUCCGGCCCGCCCAGGACAAAAAGCCCAUUUUCUGUCAUGAUUUUUUGUCAUGGAAGUAGGACCCCACCACAUCUAUGAUGAUACUGUGACGCCCCCGAUUCAAUCGUACACUAAUCAU